Molecule: long non-coding RNA, 109936 nt
Filed under: Malus domestica (apple)
Lineage: Eukaryota; Viridiplantae; Streptophyta; Magnoliopsida; Rosales; Rosaceae
Source: RNAcentral
UUGAGGGAGAAUACUCUAUGAUAUGAUUAAGAAUCUCUAUCCAGAGUAUGAAUGAGAUUUAGGAAGUCGUUCCAAAUCACAUUCAAGGUAAUCAUAUAAGCACACGAAUCACAAUGGAUAGUAGACAUGAAUAAACUAUCAAACCAAACAAUGUGGUCAAGAGUAUUGUAUUAGAGAAAGACCGUAUUGCAUUUGUAAUCCUAAACUGAAUAGGUUCUCCACCUCUUCUGAUUAGCUUGGGUAACCAUGAUAUGCUGCUAGGUGUCACUCAUGGUUUGUGGAAGCCCUAAACGUGUAUAAUCACUAAAGGGAGAAUUGAAAGUAAGUUUCAAUUCACAAUCGAUUUGAAAUGGUUUUAAUCGCCCAUUGCCUCGCUAAAAGGAACCUAAUGGAUCGUACACCGUGUAAGGUGGAGAUUGAAGAAACAAUGGAGAUGAGUAAGAAUAAUUAAAUGGUUUAAUUAUUUAUGGCAAGGAUUAAUUAAUAUGUUAAUUAAUCAAACGAAUAAGUUCGUUAAAGACCUCGGGAUAGUUUUGGACCUUAAGGCCCAAUGGGCUUCGAACGUCAAGCCCAUUGACUUAAGUUGUAUGACAACUUAAUGAAUAAUGAUUCACAAAGGCCCAAUUAGCCCAAUAAUACCCUAAGGCCGGCCAUUUAGGGGAAAGGUAGUGAACUUGCUUUAAUUACAAGUUUGCCACUCCAAUGAAUAAAGGUAUAAAUAUGACUUUAUAGCCAAAAUUCAUUUAGGGUUUUCUUUUGGGGAAAGGAUGAGAACAUAAGCUCUCCUUUCUCUCUAAAGUGGCCGGCCUCCUUGGAGGGUUUAGCUAUGAAUCCCACUACUCCAAGGUCACUCAUUUCUUCUCCAAUCUAACCUUGGUGAAGAGACUUAGAGGUUCUCAAUUUUGGGAACUUGGAGAAACCUAUUCUUCCAUCCAAAUCCAUGGAUCUAAGAAGCAAGGAAUGAAGGCCCUAUCUCUUGGGUGAUUAUCCUUUGCUUAUGCAAAGAGGAAUCAACAAAGGUAUAAAUUUCUGAACUCACUUUGUUUUGAGUUGAGUCUUGGUUCACCAAUCUACUAGGCUUUGAAUUUCAUGGUUAAUGUUUUGUUUUUGAGUGCAUGCAAGCAUGAUUCCGCCUUUUAAUUGUUAAUUGCAUGCUAUAGAUGUUGCUCAAAUGAACAUGUUUUUCACAAUAUUUCCUUCAUCUAUAUCAAGCCCCCCUCAAGGAAAAGGGUGUCAAGACCAAUUUCCUCAACCAGGCUAGACCAAUGGAUAUACAUGAUCCAGUGCUCAACUUAUCAGGACAGUUGAACAUAAUCCACCUAGAUGCUUCAGACUUCAUUGUGGAAAGAGGGAAUGAAGUGUAUCGAUUUGAUUGAAUCAUUUAUGUUUGAUGUAUUUUUAUUCUGAACUUGUAAUUUAAAACUCGCAUUUCAAUUCAAUAAAAGUGGCAUUUGAAUUUCCUUUUAUUAUGAAUAAAUUGUUUUUUAACUGUGAUCCCAUUUACUCAGAAAGCAUGGAGAAAAACUAUGGUUAUUCUCAAAACAUGAGAAAUGGCGGAGAUAUUUGUCUUGUAGACAGCGCAACCACGUAUAUAAUACUUCGUGAUCGAAAGUAUUUCUCAAGCUUAAUGCUUACAAAAGUAAGGGUAAAAACAAUAUCAGGCCAAUCAGAUGUAAUUGAAGGCUAAGGGAAAUCCCAUAUUAUGUUACCAAUUGGAACAAUAUUGUCUAUACAAAAUGCAUUGUAUGUUACUCGAUCUACUCAAAAUUUGUUGAGUUUCAAAGACAUACGUUUAAAUGGAUACCACAUUGAAACGAAAAGUGCAGAAAAUGUGGAGUAUCUAUGCAUUACCUCCAAUGAUAGCCAGAAGCGUAUAUUAGAGAAGUUGCAUGGUUUGUCGAGUGGAUUAUUUUAUACAUACAUAAAGACAGUUGAAUCACAUACUGGCAUGAACCAGAAGUUAAUUGAUUCAAAAGUUUACAUGUUUUGGCAUGACCAUCUGGGUCAUCCAAGCUCGACCAUGAUUUGUAGGAUCAUUACCAACUCUAAUGGAGAUCCAUUAUUAAGCAUACACAUCGCUAUCUCAAAUGAUAAACCUUGCAAAGCUUGUUCUCAAGCGAAGUUGGUAAUCGAACCAUCACAACUAAAGGUUGAUGCUGAAUCCCCAUCAUUUUUGCAAAGAAUUCAAGGGGAUAUUUGUGGGCCUAUUCAACCAUCUUGUGUACCAUUUCGAUAUUUUAUGGUUUUGGUUGAUACAUCUACCCGAUGGUCACAUGUUUGUCUCUUGUCUACUCGAAAUGUAGCUUUUGUGAGACUUCUUGCUCGGAUAAUUAAGUUGCAAGCACAGUUCCUAGAUUACCUCCAUUAAGUCAAUUCGACUUGACAACAUUGGUGAAUAUACGUCCCAAACCUUUGAUGAUUACUGCAUGACAUUGGACAUUGAUGUUGAACACCCUGUUCCUUAUGUCCAUGCUGAAAAUGGUUUAGCAUAAGCAUUGAUCAAACGACUUCAGUUAAUAGCUCGCACUUUGCUCAUGAAAACAAAAUUGCUAGUUUCUGCAUGGGGACAUGCCAUCUUACAUGUUGCAUCAUUGGUUCGAUUGAGACCUAUAGCCAACCACCAAUACUCCUCAGUACAACUCGUUUUUGGGCAGCAUCUAAACAUUUCACAUUUACGAGUUUUUGGUUGUGUUGUUUAUGUACCUAUUGAACCGCCGCAACACACUAAAAUGGGACCUCAGCGGAGAUUAGGAAUUUUUGUGGGUUUUGAUUCACCAUCUAUCAUUAGAUAUUUGGAACCCUUGGCAGGUGAUAUGUUUACAACUCGUUUUGCUGAUUGUCACUUUAAUGAGAUAGUCUUCCCGUCGUUAGGGGGAGAAAAGACUAUUCUAGAAGAACAACAAUAGCUGACAUGGGUUGUACCCACCUUGUCUCAUUUUGAUCCACAUAGCACACAAUGUGAAAAUGAAGUGAAAAAGAUCAUUCAUCUUCAAAGUAUUGCCAAUCAAAAGCCAGAUGCAUUUAAUGAUGUUAUGAAAGUGACAAAAUCACAUAUGCCAGCUGCAAAUGCACCUACAAGAAUUGAUGUCCUUGUUGGAUAAAAUAAAGUGGCGGCGAAUGAAUCAUCUAGUACACUCCUGAAGCAUGGUAGAUCCCCAAGUUAAAAAGAUUCAGCCUCUCGAAAAAGAAAGAUAAGAGCACAACUGAAUCCAAAUGAAAUUAUUCAGGAAGUGAGAAUGAAUGACAAAUCCACAAUUCAUGAUUCUGAACUUCCAGAAAAAGAAAAUGUCCUUGAUGAGACACAUGUCCCUAAAGAGACAGAAGUACAUGAAAGCAAAGAAAUCUCCAUAAAUUAUGUAUGUACUAAUGAAUUGUGGAAUCGGAAUGAAAUAAUCAUCGACGAUAUGUUCGCAUUCGCAGUAGCCACUAAAAUCAUAUUAAGUGAUGAUAUUGAGCCCCACUUUGUUGAUGAAUGCAAACAGAGACAAGAUUGGCCUAAGUGGAAAGAUGCAAUCCUGAUAGAAUUAAAUUCCUUGGAAAGAUGAAAUGUUUUUGGAUCAGUAGUCCAAACUCUGCCUGAUGUAAACCCUGUAGGUUACAAAUGGGUAUUCAAAAGAAAGCGCAAUGAGAAAAACGAGAUUGCAAGAUACAAAGCACAAUUCGUUGCACAAGGCUUUUCACAAAGACCUGGAAUUGAUUAUGAGGAGACAUACUUUCUUGUAAUGGACGCAAUUACGUUCCGUUACUUAAUAAGUUGAGUGGUUUCAGAAAAACUUGACAUGCGACUUAUGGAUGUCAUCACUGCGUAUCUAUAUGGAGAAUUAGAUACUGACAUAUACAUGAAGGUCCCAGAAUGACUUAAGUUGCCUGAAACAACUAACAAACCAUGAGGUAUGCUCUCAAUCAAAUUAAGACGAUCAUUGUAUGGGCUGAAACAAUCUGGAUGAAUAUGGUAUAAUCGUCUCAAUGAGUAUUUGAUCAAAGAAGGAUUUAUCAAAAAUGUCAUUUGCCCUUGUGUGUUCAUUAAGAAAUCCAAUUCUGGAUUUGCUAUAGUGGCAGUAUAUAUCGAUGAUAUGAACCUAGUUGGAACUCCUGAAGAGCUCAAUAAAACUGCUGAAUAUCUGAAAAGUGAAUUUGAAAUGAAAGACCUUGGGAAAACAAAAUAUUGCCAUGGCCUGCAGAUCGAGCAUUGUGCUAGUGGAAUUUUGGUCCACCAAUCAACUUAUAUUGAAAAAAUCUUGAAGCGAUUUGGCAUGGACAAUGCUUAUCCACUUAGCACGCCAAUUGUCGUUCAUUCUUUGGACAUUAAGAAAGAUCUAUUCUGUCCAAAAGAAGAUGAUGAAAUGGUCAUUGGUCCAAAAGUACAAUAUUUGAGUGCAAUGGGUGCUUUAUUGUAUUUAGCAUAAUGUACUAGACCAUAUAUAGCUCUUUCAGUUAACUUGUUAGCAAGGUAUAGCUCUGCUCCAACAAUUCGUCAUUAGAAAUGAAUCAAAGAUGUUUUGCGAUACCUUCGUGGGACAACAGACAUGGGUCUUUUCUACUCAGAGAAAUCCACAAAUGACCAGAUCCUUGCUGGGUAUGCAGAUGCUGGUUUCCUCUCUGAUCUGCAUAAAGCCCGCUCACAAACUGGAUAUGUGUUCACUAAUGGAGAUACAGCAAUCUCAUGGCGCUCAACAAAGAAAACACUAGUUGCUACAUCUUCCAAUCACUCGGAACUACUUGCUUUACAUGAACCUAUACAUCUAUGAGGUUUUGUAUUGUUAAUAAACAUGUGUUUAAGGGUGAUUAAUUGAAAUUAGUUCAUGCAUACUAACACCAGGUGAAAGAAAAAACAAAGUUUAAAAACCAUUUGAUAAAUAAAGAACAAAAAUACCCACUUAUUAAACAACAAUGGCUUACCUAUUUGAGAAUAACGACUAGUUAAUAGGUACGUGUAGGGAUGCGCACGGUUUGAUCCAGUACUAACACACCUCGACCUAGAUCGAGGCUUGUUGGCCGUCACAUGAGGGUGACGUAGCCAGAUGCAUAGUGCGGAAGAAUAACGAUAUAAAAAAGUGCGCAUAAAUAAAAACCAAACUAACUAAAACACUAGAUAAGAUAAGGUGAAAGAUGAGAAUAAGUGUUACAACACAUAACUAGAGCGUAGGUAGCCUAAGUGCAGUCCAGCAAGACAAAUACUAAUUACACAAUACCAAAGAUGGUCUUACAUUGAUGAUAAUUUGUCAGAACCGCCAACGAUUCCUCGUAAGCCACCAACAAGCACUCCUACCUAAAACCUGGAGGGCGUAAAACAAAAAGUGUGAGUGGGCAAAAACAAAGCUUUCCAAAACCAUUUCACUUAUCAAAAGUAGUAACCCCUCGCCCUAAAACCUAUAUAAUUCCCAGAAAAUAGCAUACAUGUUUAUAUCUCAAAACCAAAUUCAAAAUAACAAUUCCACAAAUAUACCAUGUCAAAUCUCAGCAAGAAAUAAGUAAGCCAGGUGAAAUAAAUCAAUAUGACAUAGUAUGCAAGUCGGAGUCACAUAACUUGACCUGUACAGCUGAGUCUAUAGCUUCUCAACUAGUUCUCUACACACAAGUCGGAACCACCUAAUGUGGUUUGUACGACAAGCUGGGUGUAAAUAAAUACGCUCAAGUGCUACGAUCAUGUGAAGGCUGUGCGAAGUAUUGCAAGUCACCUACAAGUCGGAACCACCUAAAGUGAUCUAUACGACAGGCUGGCACCUGCCUUGGAUCCAAGGUGAGCGUGUGGUGUGGGAGGUGAACGAUCACGUGAAAGCUAUGCCUUAUCCUCGGGCGGAGCACAAACACCAGGGUGCAGGAUAAGAAGCUCGAAAUAUAUCUCAGCACUAUUAUACUAACUACCAUCAACAUACUCACCUGAAGCGUACCUAAGCGUCCGCAGCAUCGAGCAACAAUAUAUAUAUAACCAUACUAAUGCACAUUUAAACAUAGAGAGCAUUUGACAUGGCAUUUCAAAAUAUCAAACCAUUUAAUUAAGUUUUCUGGGAAAAAAACCAAGUGUGUUUAUAUAUAUAUAUAUAUAAAUACUGAAAACCAAAAGCCCACUCACUGAUAUGUAGAAGGGUCGUAACCCCCGAGCCUUGCUUGACUGUGCUGUUCCUUUGGAUAGGUCUCACCUAUAUGCGAAACAACUAAGGUUAUUUUAAAGCACAUAAAAAAAACUAGGUAAUAACUUCUCAUACCAUGCUUAACUGGGGUAUUCGAAUAUACCAACAUGAUCUACUCAACCCCACGCACAUCCCCAUAUUAAUAGAAAACUUUUUCGAUCACCCAUGUGCCCAUACGAGUCAGUCAAGGCACGGCCAGAUGCGCCGCCCAUGCGCAGGCACAUGGCUAGCACACUGACGGAUUCCCUAACGACGUUAAGGAAUAUUCCAUUAAAUAUAAGCAUAUGCCGUUAUAUUUACCUAACGGCGUUAAGAAUAUUUUGCCAAAAUUGAUGGAAUAUGCUCCUUCUUGUUCUUUGGUUCACCAAAGUCCUGCGUCGGCCGCCGCUGCGAUCGCCGGAAACUAGAAAAACUUCAAACCUUAAUAUCUCAUCCAAUACUCAACCAAACUUCAUGAAAUUUGUCUCAAAAUGAAGCUUUAAACUAGUAUAACACAUUCUUACCUUUCAAAGAUCCUAAAAACCACGAUAAGUGGUCGGAAAUUCCUUCAUUAUUUCGGCUAAACCUGCAACUUCCCAAACCCGUGUAAUCCGACGUUCAAUACUUUCCAAAAUUGCUCCCAGAGCUUCAUAGAGUAGUUCUAAGACUUCUUCGAGCCUAAAAACGCCGUGAAAAAUACACGAUCGCCACUGAGCAACAAAGCCAUCGUCAGAGGUUAUAGGGGUUUUUUGAAGUCCUUACGUCCAACCAAAGGUACGAUUGUGAUCCUGAGCUUGCAAGGAACCCAAAAAUCACGUCCACAACCUCGAUCUGUGACUUAAAGGGUUGUUUUGGAAGUUAGUCCUUAUAAUUGUACGAAAAUGGAAAGAAGUCCGAGAAGGAAGGAGAGAGAGAGAGAGAAUCAACGGGAAAAUGUGAGAGUGUGAGUGUGUUGUCCAGGUUGCAGCCCAACAAAACAAACAAAACAAUCUAACUUCCAAUUGGGCCCAACAACUUAGGAAGAAAAUGAAUUGGUACACAACCUAAGUUCAUUUCACACAAUCACAACCCAACGCUCAAGGGCAACAUAGUAAUUUCCACACUCUCGAGGAUAAAAUAAUACAUAUCUUCGAAACGAGCUGUCACAACCUACCCCCUUAAGAAAAUUUCGUCCCGGAAAUUUCACAUAUUAACAUACAAACCACUAAUAACCAUAAAAUAUGCGUGGAUACAUUUCCUUCAUGCGAUCCUCCGUCUCCCAGGUAGCUUUCUCCACAAAACUUUCAUUAAGCGCGCGAUCUUAUUCCUCAGAACCUUAUUUUUCCAAUCCAAAAUCGUCACCGACUCCUCAUCAUAAGUUAAAUUCAGAUUAAUUUCCAAUGGAUGAGGAAGUAUCACAUGUGAUGGAUUUGAAACAUAAUGACGAAGCAUGGAAACAUGAAAAACAUCGUGCACUUUAGAUAACUUUGGAGGCAACUCAAGCCUGUAAGCAACUUCACCGACUUGCUCGGUGAUCUGAUACGGUCCGAUGUACCUAGGACUUAGCUUACCCUUUUUUCCGAACCGCACUACACCUCUCCACGGUGAUCGCUUCAAAAACACCCAAUCACCAAUUUUAUACACCCGGUUAGUGGCAUGCUUGUCUGCUAAACUUUUCUGUCGAUCCUGGGUCAUUUUCAGGUUAGACUUAAUUACCUGAAUAUUCUGAGUAGUCUCAUCUACAAUCUCAAGGCCCACCAAAACUCUUUCACCAACCUCUAACUAGCACAAAGGUGUACGACAAGACUUGCCAUAAAGUGCCUCAAAAGGUGAUAUACCAAUACUCAAUGACAGCUGUUAUCAUAUGCAAACUCCAUCAAAUCUAACCGCUGCUGCCAAGCAUUGCCAAACUGUAAGACAUAAGAUCUUAGCAUAUCUUCCAGCGUCUGAAUAGUCAUAUCUGAUUGCUCAUCUGUCUGAGGUUGAUAUGCCGUACUAUAGAGUAAUCUUAAACCAAGAGCCUCCUGAAAUGCUACUCAGAACUUAGAAGUGAAUCUAGGAUCACGAUCUGAGAUAAUACUAACUGGAACCCCAUGAUACUUAACAAUCUUCGAUAUGAAUAAUUAAACUAAUCGGGUGACUUAGUAAACCGAUCAACUAUCACCCAAAUGCCAUCAUAACCAUUUCAUGUACGAGGAAGCUUGUACACAAAAUCCAUAGUAAUAUCUUCCCACUUCCAUUAUGGAAUGGGAAGUGGCUGCAUCAAUCCAAAUGGCUUUUUCCUUUCAGCUUUGACCUGCUGACAAACAUACAUUCUUCCUUCCUGCAUAAGCAUGCCAUCCAAUUUUCUAAUCUUUAGAUCUUUCUUUCUCCCCUCAUUUCUUGAAUUAAUUCUUGGGUUUCCUCAUCAUUCAUUUGAGCCUCGAGCACUCGAUCAAUUAAUAUUGGCCUGACCUAAAAAUUAGCAAGUAAGGCUUCCUCUCGACCUUCCACCCCUAACUUCAUUCCAGUGGACCUCAAAUUCGCAAGAAAAGGAACAUGACAAACAUACAAAGCAUUAAUUCUCGCUUGAGGCUUCUUACUUAGUGCAUCCGCCACCAUAUUUGCAUGACUAGGGUGAUAAUCAAUCGUGCAAUCAUAAUCACUGAGCAAUUCAAUCCACCUUCACUGUCGAAGAUUAAGAUCCUUCUCAAUGAAAAGAUACUGAAGACUCUUAUGAUAUGUAAAAAUCUUACAUUUUCCACCAUAAAGAUAAUGUCUCCAAAUCUUCAAGGCAAAGAUAAUAGCUGCUAAUUCAAUAUCAUGAGUAGGAUAAUUCAUCUCAUGAGGCUUCAACUCUCGUGACGCAUAAGCAAUCACUUACCAUACUGCAUCAACACACAACCUAGGCCAUUCAAGGAAACAUCACUGUAGAUCUCAAAAUUACCACUAUCAUCUGGAAGUGCUAAAAUAGGUGCAUGAAUGAGACAAUAUUUCAACUGUUGAAAACUUUGCUCACAGUUAUUAUCCCACUCAAACUUAAAAUCAUUUCUAGUUAACCUCGUUAGUGGUAAAGCAAUGAUUGAAAAAUCUUUAACAAAUCGUUGAUAAUAACCUGCUAGGCCAAGAAAACUCCGUACCUGAGUGACUGUUCGUGGUUGUUCCCAAUUCUCAACUGCUGCCAGUUUUUGAGGAUCCACCAGAAUCCCUUGAGCUGAUAUAACAUGUCCCAAAAAUGCUACUUGAUCUAGCCAAAAUUGGCAUUUGCUAAACUUAGCAUACAACUGUGUUCCCUCAAUUUCUUCAACACCAAAGUGAGAUGUCGAACAUGCUCUAAUUUAGACUUAGAGUACACCAGAAUAUCAUCGAUAAAGACAAUGACAAACUUGUCUAACUAUUGCUGGAACACUUGAUUCAUCAAAUCCUUAAAAGCUGCAGCUACAUUAGUUAACCCGGAUGGCAUCACAAGAAACUCAUAAUGACCAGUCCUAAAAGUUGUCUUAGGGACAUCCUCAUUUCUGGUCUUCAAUUGUUAAUAACCAGACCUCAAAUCAAUCUUAAAAAACACACAGGCGCCUCAAAGCUGAUUAAAUAAAUCAUCUAUACGCGGCAACGGAUAACGGUUUUUAAUUGUUACCCAAUUCAAUUGUCUAUAAUCGAUACAUAGCCUUAAAGUCCCGUCUUUCUUCCUCACAUAUAUAACUGGAGCUCCCCAGGGUGAAGUACUAGGCUGAAUAAAACCCUUAUCAACUAAUUCCUGCAACUGGAUUUUUAAUUCCCUCAAUUCAGCAGGAGCCAUUCGAUAAGGAGUUAAAGAUAUAGGAUCUGUACCUGGAAGUAAAUCAAUGGUGAACUCCACAUCUCGGUCUGGCUGCAAUUUAGGUAAAUCAUUAGGGAAUACAUCAGGAAAAUGCCUGACCACACGAACAUUCUCCACGCUACGAACGUUCUCCACGCUAGUAGGAGUAUUAUCAUUCAACACCACAUGAGCCAAAUAUCCCUGACAACCUUUCUCUAACAAUCUUUUAGCCCUUAUGGCAUAAAUAAUACCAUAUCUCACCCCACUACGCUCGCCCACAAAUGUAACCUCAGGCAAUCCAAGACGAUGGAAAGUAACUGACUUCUCGUAGCAAUCUAUAUUAGCACGAUUAUAAUGCAACCAAUAUGUGCCCAAAAUAACAUCAAAAUCAACAAUAUCUAACGAGAUGAGGUUAGCGGGCAUAACAACAUCCUUCACUAACACGGGACAUCCUGGAUAUACACAACUAACAUAACAUAUCUCCCCUCUAGGCAUCGCAAACUCUAAAUCAUACCCAAGAAGUGUAAGAUGAGGUUGGGUUAUCUGAGUGAACGUAUGAGAAAUAACAGAAUGCGUAGCACCACAAUCAAUUAAUACUCUAGCAAAAUGACCAAGAAUAUUCAACGUACCCAUGAUCAAAUCAGGAUUAUUUUGAGCAACUUGCAGUGUCAUGUGGUGAAUACGUCCCUGAGCCUGUUGUCGUCCUCCACUAUCUCUGCUAGUCUGCCCACUACGACCUUGCAUAUUACGCCACUGGCCUGGCUAAUUAGACUGCCUCGAUGAUUCUGCAUUACUAGAAGCAACCUCCACGUGUUGGGAUUGUCCUCUAGGAAACCACUAAGACCCAUUAUCUAAAUAUGGAGGAUACGACGUAUAAUCUCCAGGAUACUAAGGGUAACCAUUUUGCUGAUACGGGUCCUGCAGAUACUAAUACUACCCUGCAGAAUAAGGAGUUACAUCGCCCUAGUAAUGAUAAGCACCUCUGCGGCCCGUCUGGCAUAACUACUAGGUCCUGAAACUUACUGGAUCGGCACUUGUGGUGGUAAGGAAGGCUGCUGGGGCCUUUGCUAAUUCUAAGGACAAUGCAUAGCCCGAUGCCCCAAUUGACCACAGGUAAAACAUCUUCUACUACCCUGCCUGCACUCCCCAAAAUAUCAGUUAUUACAUCUAGACAAAACGGACUACUAGAACCACUAUAACCACCACAAUCUCUCUACCUCUAAAAACGAGGACCUCUAGAAAAUCUACCACCUCUCAUUUGCCCAGUGGAACUCAUACCCCCGCUAGAAGAACUAAAACUAGCACCACUCAUCUUAAAACUUUGAGUCUUACGAGGUCCCUGAGAUGAUUGACCCUUAUCUUUAUCAUCUUUCUUCUUCUGGUUAUCUUCUUCCUCCUCGCUCUCACUAGGCAUAUUCUCUGAAUCUUUAAUCCACAGUAAAAUCUCAUAAAACUCUUGUUAAGUAGCACAGGGAGUCGUGGUCACCAUAGAACUGUUGGAAGUAUGCCCAUAAAGCCACUCAUUUGAUGUAAUAGCUUUUUGGAAUACUUAAUGUAUUAAACUUUUAUAUGUUUAAUGAAGGGCAAAGCUUAUUGUUAAUCACUAUUUAUUGUAUCAUGUGUUUAAGCAAUAAGGGAAUCCAAGGGAUGUAUUUGAUCUAAGAGACAAGUGAUCUAAGUGAGUUAGAUUAUCGAGACCAUUCUCUUAUGUUCAUUCCUAAAACGUUCCUAGCCAUAGGAUUGCCAAUUGGGUAUUGACAAUCCGCUAAGGUUAGUAUGUGUUAUGUCAACUCAAGCUUGAGUAUGACUAGUCUCAAGUCAUUUGGUGUUGGACACUAAGACAAACACAUAGGUGCUCGAAAGAGUAAUCGAGUACACUGAACAACGAUCAAAAGAGAGUUCAAACAUACAUGUCAUGUAAGAACUCGAAAGUUGCAAUAUGCAAAGUAGUCCUUUGACCUGAGGCAUCAUAGAUGUCUAAUGGUUAGGUCCUUGACCUUUGAUCAUGUCAAAGGCAUUCCAUUGGAGUGUCCACGGCAUUGUUGGGGUCAAGCUAUCUAGUCAUGUAGGCAUAUGAAUGCACAACAAGGGAUCUCUAACCUUCCAUGGUGGAAGGAGAAUACUCUAAGAUAUGAUUCUAAAGUCUUUGGCCAAAGCAUAUGAAUAUGACUUAGGAAGUUUGUUCCAAAUCAUAUUCAAGGGAAUCAUAUAGAUAAGUAUCACAUUGGAUAGUAGACAUGAAACAAACUAUCACUUAAACAAUGUGAUUAAGAGUAUUGUAUUAGAGAAGGACCGUAUUACAUUGUAGUUGUAACUGGAUAGGUUCUCCAACCACUUCUACUUAGCUUGGGUAACCAUGACAUACUGCUAGGUGUCACUCAUGGUUUGUGGAAGCCCUAAUGAUUAGCAAACACUAAUCAUUAAGGGAGAAUUGAAAUGUGGUUUCAAUUCACAAUCGAUCGUUAAGAGUAACAAUCGCCCACUACCUCGCUAAUUGGAACCUAAUGGAUCGUACACCGAGUAAGGAUGUAUGUGAACAAAUUAAAUGAAAUGGAUAAGCAAUUAAAUGGUUUAAUUGAAGAAUGGUCAAGGUUAAUUAAUUAGUUAAUUAAUUAUACACAAUGUUCGUAUUGGGCUUAUAUGUUGGUUUUGGGUUUCAGGGCCCAAAAGCGUUUUGGUCCACAAGGCCCAUUAUGUUUAAGUUGUAUGACAACUAAAACAAAAUGGGCAAAUAGCCCAAUAACAUUAAUAUGGCCGGCCAUUAGGGUGGAUGAUGCAAACUUGGAUUAAUUACAAGUUUGCCACUCACUUGUAAUGAAGUAUAAAAGCAACUUUAUAGCUUUAUUUUCAUUUAGGGUUUUCUUGAAGAAAUUGGGUGAAACAUUUUCUCUCCUUUUUCUCUAAAGAGGUCGGCCACUUAGGGGAGGGACAUCUAGCAAUCUCUUCUUCCCUAAGUCAUCCAUAUCAUCUUCACAAGAUACAUCCUUGGUGAAGAGACUUAGAGACAUCAAACUUUUGGUGUUUUGGAGAACAAAUCCUCAAAUCCUCAAAGAAGCAAAGGAGCACUAAAAGGAGGAAAAUCACAAGGAAUAUUCAAGGAGCUUGGAGGUGACUUGAAGGCCCUCCACUUGGGUGAAUCCCUUGUGUAAACAAGGAUGAGCUUCAAGGGUAAAGAAAUUCUAAAUCUUUACUUCUCUUUAAUGUUGUUAAAGAGUUUAUUGGUUCACCAUAUACUAGGCUUUGAAAGUCAUGGGUUUUAUGAAUUGUUUUUGAAUGCAUGCCUACUUUAAAGUGUUAAUAGUUUGCAUAUGUAUUCAAAUGUUCUUACUUGUUCUUAGCUAGGACAAAAUUUUUCCUUCAAGAACGCCAUUUCUUCCAAGUACCCAACCUGAAACAACGAAGCAUCUCAACCGAAUUAGCAGCCACCUCACGAUCAUAGCGAGACAAAUCAGUAAACCUCAUGUAGUACUCAUUACCUGUCAUUUUCCCUGUUUUAGGUGCAUGAAUUCUUGCUUCUUGCGAUCUAUAUACUCUGGAGGAAUGAAUCUCUUAUGAAAUAACUACUUAAAAACUUCCCAAUUAGCAGCUUCCUUUGGUGAUAACUUAUAAGACUCAUGUCUCCACCAGGAUGCAGGCUGCUCACCUAAAAACUAGGUAGUUGUCUCAACCUACCUAUCCUCCGGAAGAUUCCCCUAUUUAUGCAUCAAACAGAAAGUCUUCUCAAUAUGAUUAAGUUAUUUCUCUGUUCCUUCAAACCCUUCAUUACCCAUGAAAUGAUUCAACUUCAAAUUAUACACAAUCUCCAAAUGAGUCCUUUGGGGAAGACGAAAUGAAAACUAAAUAGGAUUAGCUAUAACUUCCCAUAACUGAGCUAUAGUAGGGAAGCCAGACUCAGCUGAAGGACGUGGCUCUCUAUAAGGCGGCAUAGUUCUGAUAGAAGACACCAAGAUAAUUAGAACAUUCACAAGAUAUGCAGGACUGCCAAACCUAGGCUCUAAUACCAAACUGACACACCCUGACCUAGAUCUGAUGUGAAAUUAAACUAGCACACAAAUUAAACCUUCUUUUUGACAAUUGUAGUAUGGAUAAAUAAGGAUCGCUCUAGGCCGGGGAUUAGAAGGGACUACUAAUCUACUCAAAUUAGACUCAAUUUUACUUAACUAGACUUAAAAACACUAAACUAGACUCCUAUGACUCAAAACUGACUCAAAAUACUAAAAACUACACAAAACAAACAAAUUGACUCAAAACUAACACUAAGGAUGACUUUGGACGAAUUUUGAACUAAAAAGACUCAAAACAUUAAAAAGACAUCAAUUGGACAGAUUCUAACCUAAAAACACGAAAUAGAAAGGGGGGUUGGUUUUUUGACGAAUUUAAAACUUAAACUAAGUACUUGCAGACACAAACCAAAGGUGAUAUGAAAUUAGAUGUUUUUAAGAGGUGGAUGGUUAGCUAGAGGGUCCUUCUCCACACAUGACACAUAUGCAUACAAAUCAAUUUCCAAUUACUCUUUGUAUAAACCAUGAAUGACAAUGCCCCAGAUUAAACGUGAACAACACUAAUUAACCCUCAGAUUUUCCUAAGUUCAUUGAAUUAGACUCAGCGUCGCAACCAAAUUAUUCUUGUCAAGUUCCCUACACAAAUAGCAUGAUAGAUAUACAUAUCAAAGAUCAUUAAAUUCUAUGAAAAUCAUAAGCAUUGACAAGACAUUCGUAACUAUGAACAGCAUGAUACUCCAGGAAUUCACUUAACACAAUCAUGAUUAGUGACCUCCACUACUUGUAAAUAUAAGUUCAUAACUAUUAGGUGAAACUCCUUUAUAUUUUAGCAUCAAAUUCAUGCAUACAAACUAAGUAUGCAUCCUUAAUCAACGUACAAGAACAAGUUCUGAAUUAAACAGUUAAGCAAAUUGCAUUCACGAUUCAUGGAGUAAUAACUGAAAGUAAUCAAUUCAUAUGCAAUAUAUGUUCAUGUCUUUGAAUUCACCUCUAGCCCAAACGAAUUUAGUUCCUCAUGUUCGCACUUAAACAAAGAUAACUUAAAUUAAACAUUGAAAACAAAAGAUAGAAUACACCUAAGAAUGCUCCAGCAAUCCAAUCUUGAAUGGCAAGGCACGGAAAAGGGUCUCCUCUCCUUUCUUCUUGCAAAGCUACGGCACAAGAGGGAUUUUUUGUGUAUGAUGGAUGUGUGGUGUUUGGUGCGAAAUUGUGGUGAGAGAUGGGUGAAUUAUGAGGGCUGUGACACUAAUUUAUUUAUAGGGAGAAGGGAAGGCACGGCAUAGGCUGAGAAGGAAGGGAAUUAGGACUCCAAAUUAGCAAGGAAAGAGGACACUUCUCAUCAGAUUCCAGAGAGGAAAAGGAGUAGUCUUUGCAUCAGGAAAUACAACUUCUAGAAGGGCUAGGUGCGGCACCAAUUUAGGGAUAGGAACUUGGCUUCUAGAAACCUGAUUUGUAGGUGUUUUAAUGUGAAAUUGAUCCCCCAUUUCAGCUGGAAUUAAGGUAAGAUAAGAUUAGGAUAGGAUAAGAUAAGGUUAGUUUGGAUAAGAUAAGGUUGGAUAAUGUUUUGGAUAAUGUUCCUUCUUUUUGGUUGAUUCCUUAUCUUCUUUGUCUUGCAUUCAUUUCUUCCAGAUCUUUAGCACAUUCCUAGCCUCUUUGAACUUCAAAAACGUCCAUCCACCUUGCUCCAUUCAUUGUUAUCCAUUCUUGGCCCAAAACUGCUCCAAAACACUCCAAAUUGCACUUUCUUGCCAACUUUGUCAUUUGAACCUACAAACACACAAAAAUAGCUUAAAUCACUAUAAUAAACAGAAACUAGCUAUGAAAAUGCAAGAAAAAAAGCUAACUAAGUCGCAUAAAUAUGCUCCUAUCAAGAUCGAGGCAUGCUGGCCGUCACAUGAGGGUGACGUAGCCAUGUGCACAGUGCGGAAGAAUAACAAUAUAAAAAAAUGCGAAUAAAUAAAAACCAAAUUGACUAAAACACUAGAUAAGACAAGGUGAAAGACGAGAAUAAAUGUGACUACACAUAACUAGAGCGUAGGUAGCCUAAGGCCUGGUUUGGUACUGAGGUGAUUUUGAAAAAAGUUGGUAUCAAAAAAAGCUGGGAGGUUUUUUUGUGUUUGGUAAACAUGCAGCUUCAGCUUUUUUUCACGGUUUUGGAAGAAAAAAAAAGCCAAAAACAAGAAGCUGUAAAACCUAGUUUUGAAAAACCUGCUUUUUUCACAUCUGUUUUACAUAAAAGUUUACCAAACACUAUAAUAAUGCUUUUUUUUUCAUAAGCAUUUUUACAAAAAAGUUUACCAAACACUCUACAGCUUUAUUUCACAGCCGCUUAUUCUCACAGCACAGCAGAAAUAGAUUUUUUUCAAAGCAUAGCAAUACCAAACCAGCCCUAAGUGCAGUCCAGCAGGACAAAUACUAAUUAUACAAUACCAAAGAUGGUCCUACAUUGGUGAUAAUUUGUCAGAACCGCCUAUGAUUCCUCGUAAGCCACCAACAUGUACUCCUACCUAAAACCUGGAGGGCACAAAACAGAAAGUGUGAGUGGGCAAAAACAAAUCUUUCCAAAAUCAUUUCACUUAUCAAAAGUAGUAACCCCUCGCCCUAAAACCUAUAUAAUUCCCAGAAAAUAGCAUACAUGUUUAUAUCUCAAAACCAAAUUCGAAAUAACAAUUCCACAAAUAUACCAUGUCAAAUCUCAGCAAGAAAUCAGUAAGCCAGGUGAAAUAAAUCAAUAUGAAAUAGUAUGUAAGCUAGAGUCACAUAACGUGACAUGUACGACUGAGUCUAUAGCUCCUCAACUAGUUCUCUGCACACAAGUUAAACCACCUAAUGUGGUAUGUACGACAGGCUGGGUGUAAAUAAAUACGCUCAAGAGCUACGGUCACGUGAAGGCUGUGCAAAGUAUCACAAGUCACCUAUGAGUCAGAACCACCAAAAGUGGUCUAUAUAACAGGCUGGCACCUGCCUUGGAUCUAAGGUGAGCGUGUGGUGAACGAUCACGUUGAAGGAAAUUUUGUGAAAAACAUGUUCAUUUGAGCAACAUCUAUAGCAUGCAAUUAACAAAUUAAAGGCGGAAUCAUGCUUGCAUGCACUCAAAACAAAACAUUACCCAUUAAAUUCAAAGCCUAGUAGUUAGGUGAACCAAGACUCAACUCAAAACAAAGUGAGUUGAGAAAUUAUACCUUUGUUGAUUCCUCUUUGCAUAAGCAAACGAUAAUCACCCAAGAGAUAGAGCCUUCAUUCCUUGCUUCUUAGAUCCAUGGAUUUGGAUGGAAGAAUAGGUUUCUCCAAGUUCUCAAAAUUGAGAACCUCUAAGUCUCCACACCAAGGUAAGAUCUUUGGAAGAAAUGAGUGACCUAGAGGAAGUAAGAUUACAAGCUAAUUUCCUCUAGGGUGGCCGGCCUCUUUAGAGAGAAAAAGAGUUUGUGUUCUCAUCUUUUCUCCAAAAAAAAAACCCUAAAUCAAUUUUGGCUAUAAAGUCAUAUUUAUACCUACAUUCAUUGGAGUGGCAAACUUGUAAUUAAGUCCAAAACCCACUCCUUUAUCAAUAUGGCCGGCCAUAUGGUUUCAUUGGGCUUUUUAGGCCUUUGUGAAUUAUUUGUCAUUAAGUUGUCAUACAACUUAAGUCAAUGGGCUUGACGUUCGAAGCCCAUUGGGCCUUGAGGCCCAAAACUAACCUGUGGUCUUUUAACGAACUUUAUUCGUUUGAUUAAUUUACAUAUUAAUUAAUCCUUGCCAUAAAUAAAUAAUUAAACCAUUUAAUUAUCCUUACUCAUCUCCGUUGUUUCUUCAAUCUCUAUCUUACACGGUGUACGAUCCAUUAGGUUCCUUUUAGCGAGGCAGUGGGCGAUUAUAACUCUUUCAAAUCGAUUAUGAAUUGAAACUUACUUUCAAUUCUCCCUUUAGUGAUUAUACACGUUUAGGGCUUCCACAAACCAUGAGUGACACCUAGCAGUAUGUCAUGGUUACCCAAGCUAAUCAGAGAGGUGGAGAACCUAUUCAGUUUAGGAUUACAAUGCAAUACGGUCUUUCUCUAAUACAAUACUCUUGAUCACAUUGUUUGGAUUGAUAGUUUAUUCAUGUCUACUAUCCAAUGUGAUUCAUUUACUUAUAUGAUUACCUUGAAUGUGAUUUGGAAUGAAUUCCUAAAUCUCAUUCAUACUCUGGCCAGAGAUUCUUAAUCAUAUCAUAGAGUAUUCUCCCUCAAACGGUUUGAAGGUUAGAGAUCCCUUGUUGCGCAUUCACUUGCUCCAUGGCUAAGUGGCUUAACCCCAACUAUGUCGUGGACACCCGCGAAUGGAGUGACUUUGACAUAAUCAAAGAUCAAGGACCUAACCACAAGACAACUAUGAUGCCUCAGGUCAAAGGACUACUUUGCAUUAUCCCAACCAUGAGUUCUCAUGUGUUGGAAAUGUGCCCUAAAACCAAUCAUGUGAUGAUACUUUACGGACAUUUCACAUGUUAAACUAAUCUAGUUUAAUAUAAAGGGCAAAGAUUAUUGUUUGAGCCGUCUCAUAUAAAUGUUAUAUGCUUAAACGAUAAAGUCCAAGGAAUAUGUGAUUGGGAGAAUGCAAUCUAAUGAAGUUAGAUUCAUGAGACCAUUCUUUCGUAGACACAUCCUAAAUGUUCCUGAUCAUAGGAUUGCCAAUUGGGCAUUGACAGUCCGUCAAGAUCGGUACGUGCUAUGUCUUCUCUCAGGGAUAGUGACUAGUCUCGGGUCAUUGGUGUGUGUGACACCAAGACAAGUACGUAGGUGCUCAGUAGAGAACGAGUUCACUGAACGCGAUCAACGAAGAGUUCUCAUACUCAUGUCACAUGAGAACUCAUGGUUGGGAUAAUGCAAAGUAGUCCUUUGACCUGAGUCAUCACAGUUGUCUUGUGGUUAAGUCCUUGAUCUUUGAUUAUGUCAAACGUCAUUCCAUUGGAGUGUCCAUGGCAUCGUUGGGGUUAAGCCACUUAGCCAUGGAGGCAAGUGAAUGCGCAACAAGGGAUCUCUAACCUUCAAACUGUUUGAGGGAAAAUACUCUAUGAUAUGAUUUAGAAUCUCUGGCCAGAGUAUGAAUGAGAUUUAGAAAAGUCGUUCUAAAUCACAUUCAAGGUAAUCAUAUAAGCACACGAAUCACAUUGGAUAGUAGACAUGAAUAAAUUAACUAUCAAACCAAACAAUGUGGUCAAGAGUAUUGUAUUAGAGAAAGACCGUAUUGCAUUUGUAAUCCCAAACUGAAUAGGUUUUCUCUACCUCUUCUGAUUAGCUUGGGUAACCAUGAUAUGCUGCAAGGUGUCACUCAUGGUUUGUGGAAGCCCUAAACGUGUGUAAUCACUAAAGGGAGAAUUGAAAGUAAGUUUCAAUUCACAAUCGAUAUAAAAUGGUUUUAAUCGCCCACUGCCUCGCUAAAAGGAACCUAAUGGAUCGCACACCGUGUAAGGUGGAGAUUGAAGAAAUAAUGGAGAUGAAGUAAGAAUGAUUAAAUGGUUUAAUCAUUUAUUUAUGGCAAGGAUUAAUUAAUAUGUUUGAUUAAUCAAACGAAUAAGUUCUUUUAAAGACCUCGGGAUAGUUUUGGACAUUAAGGCCCAAUGGGCUUUGAACGUCAAGCCCAUUGACUUAAGUUGUAUGACAACUUAAUGAAUAAUGAUUCACAAAGGCCUAAUUAGCCCAAAAAUACCCUAGGGCCGGCCAUGAUGCUAAGGGUAGUGAACUUGGACUUAUUUACAAGUUUGCCACUCAAAUGAAUAAAGGUAUAAAUAUGACUUUAUAGCCUAAAAUUCAUUAGGGUUUGUUUUGGAGAAAAUUGGAGAGAACAUGUCUCUCCAUUUCUCUCUAAAGAGGCCGGCCACCUUGGGGGGUGCAUCUUGCAAUUCCACUACUCCAAGGUCACUCAUUUCUUCUCCAAUCUCUCCUUGGUGAAGAGACUUAGAGGUUCUCAAUUUUGGGAACUUGGAGAAACCUAUUCUUCCAUCCAAAUCCAUAGAUUUUAGAUGCAAGGAAUGAAGGCCCUCUCUUUGGGUGAUUAGCCUUUGCUUAUGCAAAGAGGAUUCUACAAAGGUAUAAAUUUCAACUCACUUUGUUUUGAGUUGAGUUUUGGUUCACCAAUCUACUAGGCUUUGAAUUUCAUGUAUAAUGUUUUGUUUUUAAGUGCAUGCAAGCAUGAUUCCGCCUUUAAUUGUUAAUUGCAUGCUUAUUGAUGUUGCUUAAAUGAACUAGUUUUCACAAAAUCAUCCUUCAUCAUGUGACAUGAGUAUGAGAACUCUUCGUUGAUUGUGUUCAGUGGACUCAUUCGCUAUUGAGCACCUACAUGCUUGUCUUGGUGUCAAUCACACCAAUGACUCGAGACCAGUCACUCUUCAUGAGAGAAGACACAGCACGUACUAAUCUUAACGGACUGUCAAUGCCCAAUUGGCAAUCCUAUGAUCUGGAACGUUUAGGAUAUGUAUACGAAAGAGAAUGGUCUCAUAAAUCUAACUUGUUUAAAUUACAUUCUCCUAAUUACAUAUUCCUUGGACUUAUCGUUUAAGCAUAUAACAUUUAUAUGAGACGGCUUAAAACAAUAAUCUUUGCCCUUGAUAUUAAACUAGAUUAGUUUAACAUGUGAAAUGUCCGUAAAGUAUCAUCACAUGAUUGGUUUUAGGGCACAUUUCCAACAAUCUCCCACUUGCACUAGAGCCAAUCAGCUUGGUCAUCAGUGAUGAUACCUCUUCUGUAGUCAUUUCAAAAAUGGCUGAGUAGUAGGCCUAGACAAUGGAUAUCUAUAUGUUAUCCAUAGAAGCAACCUUGAGAAUAACGACGUCACCAUUAUACAUGAUUCUCAAUCAUGUGGUUCAGUCUCUCAUUUGAGUUCAGAUCGUGAUGAGACCUUGAUUCCCUGGCUUGAGCUAUCGCCCCAUUAGUGUCGUAGUGUCGGUACACUAGAGACACUUUUUGGUUGGAACCGAAUAGAGAGUUCAUAAAUGAACUUUCUCAUCCAAACAACAUUGUUGUAAGCUUCUAUAUGGCAAUAUAUUUUGCAUUCACAAUGGAACACACUAAAGUCAUUACUUUUAAUGUUUCCAUCCAAAUAUCUCUUUUAGUCAUAAUAAAGAGAUAUAUGAUUAUCUUUUCAUUCAUAAUGAAGAAACAUCCAAUGAUGGAUUAGAUUCAUAAUCUAAUACAUUUACGCUUCCAUUUCGUUACUCUAAUUCUUCCUCAUUCUUUGAGGAAUCUAUCCUUUAGUAUUUCUUAAAUACUUAAGGACUCACUUGACAGUUGCCAUGGUUCUGAUCCUGGGCUUGCAUUGAUAUUGUCUUGUACCGAUCUAGGUACAAUUCAUAUCAAUGUUUUUCAUACAAUAUGAAAUACAUAAAUCACCUUUCUACGUAUGCAUAAAGGAUUCUAUUUACGCAUUAUUUCUUUGGGAGUCAAAGGGUACGUUCCCUUUGAGAAGGGCAACUUGCUAGUCUCACUAGAGUUGUCCUUCUAAUUGAAGUUUAUCAUCAUAUGAGAAACUUCCUAGCAUCUUUUGUCUAUUAUUAGGGAUUGAUAUAAUCCAAUUAUAUCUUGAAAUAUAUCAUUAUAGAUUUCCAUCCCAUGUAUAUAGACUAUGUCUCCCAUAUCCAUUCUAUCGUUAUAGAAUGUUUAAAGUCAUAACUUUAACGAAGAAGUAUUCUUUUCAUUUCCAAAAUUAAUAUAUCAUAUAUGUGUGUGUGUAUAUAUAUAUAUAUAUAUUUAAAUUUAGGAACAUGAUUAACUCCCACUAAUCUUUUGUAAACCUAGUAAACAAAAGAUUCAUUUACAUCUUUAUGAGAAAUCAAACAAUUUGAUCUUUCUCUCAUAAGACGUUUAUAGCUCCCACUAGCUUGCUAAGAUCCAUGAUGGAUGGAUCUCUACAACUUACAUGUCUUGUGAUUCAUAGUUUUAGACAUAUAUAUUAUCAAGACUAUCUUAAUAAUGGUUUCGGAAACCCAUAUAAUGUCCAAACAUUGAAUCACCAUUUAGUUGUAGCUAGCGAUCUUCGAAUUAAUUGAAACCAAGACUACGUCAAAGAUGGUUUCUUCCAAAGUCAACCAAUCUCUUUGAAUUGUAGUCACCUUAAGCUACCAAUUAGCUAUGGAGGUUUCAUUAUUUCGGGUCAAAUGGUACUUUACCAUUUCCUUGAGUAUAUAUCGUAUAUACACUCAAUGUAGUCAUAAGGAUUUUCAUUCUUAUUUCUUUCGAAUUAAGAGGUGUAACUCUAUGACAUAGUCAUAAAGUUCAAACCAUUCAACUGAGACGGUUUAUAAAUCCUUCUCGACUACCUUGGAGCUUAUGGUGUAGGAACUAGGUUGUUAUAUUUGUUGAUCACUAUCUUGUUUCUCAAAGAACCCAUUCUUUGAGUUCUAUCCCUCGUUCAUUUGCUCUAUCUUAGGCAAAUCCUAGUGUAGGAUUACAAUGAACUACCCAACAAAACACAUUUGUUAGUUGGUUUAUAGAAGUGAUAUCCAAAGGUUAAUUUAAGGAUAUCCACAAGAUAAUUCUCAAACAAAUAUUGCUUAUUAGCACACAACCCCAAAUCUUAACAUGAUUAAGAUUUGUCUUUCUUUCCAACUACAUCUUAUGGAGUCAUGAAAAUUUUGGAAGAUCUUCUAAUUGACAAUCAUAUUGUCUUAGAAGCAUAUAUCCUAUAUAUGGGUAAUUGAUAACAUCCAACGAACUAAAUCUUAUUCAAGUUCGUUCUUCUCCUAAUGGAGAAAUCCAUUAUCUUUUUAUGCUUCUUUCCUUGAUAUUUUUCAAGGAAACUGUUCUAAAGUGUUAUCUUUCCUUGGAUCAAAUCUAAGGAGGCAAAUACUUUAGACGUCUUACUCAUCAACUUACAUUUCUUGAAUUCUUUGAAACCUUUUGCAAAGUAUUCGGACUUGUGUUUAUUCAAAAUAAACUAUAGUCCAACCGAGAGUGAUCUUCGGUGAAUGUCAUACAACAUGAGUAGUAUUAUGUUGUGGACAAGUGCCACUAACAUCUAAGUGAAUUAACCUCAACAACUUUGUGAUUCUUUCUUCUUUCCAAAAGAAUAAAGAUUCGAACAUUUCGCCUCUAUACAAUUUUAACAAGAAGGUAUUGGAUCCGGAUCUAACGAUCCAAAGCAUCCAUCUAUGACCAACUCGUAAUUUUAUGUUUUUGAGGUAUCACAACUCAGUUGGGAUUAGUCACUACCUUGCAACCUUUUGGGUUUUUAAGCAUCGUUAUAUUCUAAACAGUUAACACUACCAUAUCAUCUCUACUAUAGAGAUAAUCAAUUAGAUUACAAUAAUCUAAUCAUUCAUUAAUAAAGAACAAUGUUUUGUCAAACAAAACAUUCAUCCAUCCCUUAUAGUGAUGGAAUUAAGUUCCUUAAAAUUUGGAAUGUAAAGACAAUCUUUGGUUUUUCCAAUUUCUUUGGUAGUUCAUAUGAGGAAGUAAGUACCAUCUGCUUUCGCAGAGAUCUACAUUUGAUUCACGUUCCGAAUGUGAAGUACUUUCUCUUCUCUCAUUAAUCUUCUACUUCUUAUUAGCCACACUUUUACAACGAUUGUAAAACAUAGUUACUAAUACGGAAUCAAGCAUUCAAGUAGAAGAACCAACUGUUUUGAACUUUUCAAGAACAAUUUACAACACCUUCGAAAGGUGUGUUCUUGACACUUGCAAGACAUUUCUUGCAAAUACCCCUUCCAAUGUCCAUCCUUUCAUAAAGAAAGUUUGUUCCCUUGGAGUUUAUUUCGCUUUUUUCAUUUGACUUCUCCUUUGACUACAAUAGUCAUGGUCCCUAAACUCCCACUAUCUCUCUUGAAACUUAUUUCAAUUGUGUUAUACACAUCAAACGAUUUGGAGAGUGUGUGGUUAUUGUUCACUAUAUAGUUUACAAUAAACUUAGUGAACCAUUUGGAUAGGGACACAAAGGUGAAGUCCUUGCCUAGUUUCCUUUUCUAAAAGUGGUUUAACACUUCAACACUCAAUGAUUCAAAAUCAUCAUAAGUCCAUGUUGAUGGACUAUUUUUGUCAACCAACCAUUAUGUUCUAAACAUAAUUACAAACUUUCAAGAGUUGUUCAAGGCAACUCUCAUUUCUUCAUACAACAAUUUGUAAGUGAAGAAUCAUGGCACAUAAAGUGUCCAUGCCCUUGUGCUUUCUUCUCAAGUUCUUUGUUCAUUUAACAAAGAAACAAGCACUAGUGUUUGCAUUAGCUAAGGGUUGUUCAAAGCAACUCUUAUUUCUUCAUACAACGAUUUGUAAGUUGAAGAACUUAUGACAUUAAAAGUGUUGUCCUCUUUAUGAUAGACUUAUCUAACAUGUUCUUCCAAUGAUACAUUAUCAAUAGGAAGAUUGUGAGGAUUAGACUACUUAGGUACAUAUACAAUCCAUUUAAGACAAUCUUUGGGAUUGUGGUACCAAGUCCGGAAACUAAAGCAUUCGGCUUUUUCUUUGUCAAGUUUUGGAUAGCGUUUGCAAAAUAUAUUGGUAAACAAAUACAUAACGAAUAUAAAUUGAUUGAUUUGAAGCCAUUUGAUUCGGGUCUUUAAAUCAAAUAGCACCACCCACUAUUUUUGGCAAAUUCCAUAUCCCUCAUCGGAAUUCGAGAGUUUUGGAGGAAACUCUUAGUAGGGUAUGGGAGACUCAUCAUUACCAAGCCCACCUCAGAAUUAUAUCAUGUUGGCUAGCAACAAUAAUAAUGAGAGAGUAACGCUUACUCAUUUGCAACUUUUGCAAUUACCCAUCUUGUUUUUUGGCCUCUAGAGAAUGAUUGCCUCACAAUGAUAUCAUUUUUUGGCACCAUUGCACUUAGUUAAGUCAUUCCCACCAUGCUAGUUCGAUGUAGGGGUUCAAGCACAACCUCAGAAUUAUAUCAUGUUGGUCAUACUCGUUGCCUACACUUCACUUCAUCAUAUAUGUUAUAGGAACUCCUCCUGAGUGUAAGCACAUACUUUGUAACUUCCCCAUUAUAGGGUGAAGCCGGUGUAUGAGUCACAAACGAUUGGAGCCCACCACGGUGGAAGGCCACGAAAGAGUGUUCAAAGCACUCUCACGCUUAUCAACUUAAUAUUGGUUUGGUUGAGGGUUUUAGGUCUCAUCACAUAUAAGCAUGCAUUUUAAUCUUAUUAAAACAAUUUGGUCCUAUUACAACUAUUGGUCCAUGUGAUUGAUUUAGUUGUACAUGAUACUCCCACUAUGCUUAUAAAACGGUUUUUAAAGCAAGAGUAUAUGGUACUACUAACAUAAGGUUUGCAUUCAUUGAUGGACUAUAUAGUUGCCUUAAGGGCCUUAGGAUGAACUAUGAACCUUUGAUUUAGAUCCAACACGAGCCUAGUGUUGAAUCUCGGUCUAGGGAUGGUGAUUGAUUUUAGUUACGCGUUUAAUCACAUUAAGGCGUGUUGUCUUAUUGGGCAUUGGACCCGCUACUCCAUUUUUCAUGCAUAUCAAAUAAAACAAGAAAUUAAUACUUCAAAGUAAAGAAGAGCUUAUGCUCUUUUACAACAUUUGAUCAAAACAAAUUACUUUAAAGUAAAGAAGAGCUUAUGCUCUUUUACAACAUUUGAUCAUAUCAAAUUACAACCAAAAUCUAAUCUACACAUUCCCAUGGUUCAAACAAAUUUGAAACGGCCUUUCACAUAGCUCAAUUAUCGUAGGCUUAGGUUCAUAAUCACCCUUUAAUUAAUUAACGCUUUAACUAAUUAAACUUUGAAUGCAACAUUGUCAUUUGGUUUUUGUAUCCAUAAAAUUGAUUUAAAUGGAGCUAAAUGAAAUGAAAAUCCAAUUCUCAUUUAAAGAGACAAAACAAUUUUGUUCUCAACCUAAUUUGGGCCAAAAUGCAAUUACCACAACUUUUUGGGCUAUAUUGCAAAAACAUAAACUUUUGGGGUCACUUUGUAAAAACACAAAAGUCCACUACUUCAUGUAAUUACAACUAGAACCCAAAAAUUUCAACAAAUACAAAAACUUCAUUAAAGGAGCAAAACAAUUUGUCCUUUAGCGUUUUUGGACCUAAAAGUAAAAACGUAAACUUUUGGGCCAAAGUGCAAAUACACAAAAGUAUCAAAACUUUAUGUAAUUGCAUAAAAGCCCCAAAAGUACCCUAUUUUAAUAGGGUGGCCGGUUUUAGAUAUUAAAGGGAGUGAUGUGUGUGUUGAUUUGUAGUUUUGACAUAAAGUCAUGUAAGAGGUGCAUGACACAAAAGUAAUGCAAGUGGUGUGUGUGAAAGGGAAUUAAUCCUUACACACCCAUCAAUAUUUCUAUCACCUUUCUAAAUAAAUAUCUAACACAUUUAAACAUUUGAAAAGCACAAAACAAAAACUUUAUGAAAUAAAUCAAAACUUUGAAUCAAAACACCAAACCUUUUUGUUCUUGGCUAAAAUAUCAAGAACAAUAAAGAACAUUCAUGAAAAACUCAAAAAAUCUCCAUGAACAUUUUUCACCCAAAGACAUCCCAAAACCACUCAAACUUAAGGGAAAUAAUAUAUAACCAAACUAGGGUACAUAGGGGUUCCAAAAGUUACUUGAAAACACUUUUAACAAGUCAAACAUGAACCCAAAAAUCCACCCUUUGGAUUUGGCCGAAUUUUCCCAAAAACAUGGCACCAAAUUUUAGCUCCAAUAUUCAUGCUCAUAUGAACUACAUCUACAACAUUUGAGAUGGCAAAUUUUCCAACAAAAUUUACAUUCAAAGAAACAAGAAUAAAGCUUGUAACAUAUUACAACAUUUAAAUCAAAGACUAUGAACUACAAAACCCAAAAGGAUUCACCAACUACUAGACCUAGGCUCUGAUACCACUUGAAGGAAAUUUUGUGAAAAACAUGUUCAUUUGAGCAACAUCUAUAGCAUGCAAUUAACAAACUAAAGGCGGAAUCAUGCUUGCAUGCACUCAAAACAAAACAUUACCCAUUAAAUUCAAAGCCUAGUAGUUAGGUGAACCAAGACUCAACUCAAAACAAAGUGAGUUGAGAAAUUAUACCUUUGUUGAUUCCUCUUUGCAUAAGCAAAGGAUAAUCACCCAAGAGAUAGAGCCUUCAUUCCUUGCUUCUUAGAUCCAUGGAUUUGGAUGGAAGAAUAGGUUUCUCCAAGUUCUCAAAAUUGAGAACCUCUAAGUCUCCAUACCAAGGUAAGAUCUUUGGAAGAAAUGAGUGACCUAGAGGAAGUAAGAUUACUAGCUAUUUUCCUCUAGGGUGGCCAGCCUCUUUAGAGAGAAAAAGAGUUUAUGUUCUCAUCUUUUCUCCAAAAAAAACCCUAAAUGAAUUUUGGCUAUAAAGUCAUAUUUAUACCUACAUUCAUUGGAGUGGCAAACUUGUAAUUAAGUCCAAAACCCACUCCUUUAUCAAUAUGGCCGGCCAUAGGGUUUCAUUGGGCUUUUUAGGCCUUUGUGAAUUAUUUGUCAUUAAGUUGUCAUACAACUUAAGUCAAUGGGCUUGACGUUCGAAGCCCAUUGGGCCUUGAGCCCCAAAACUAACCCGUGGUCUUUUAACGAACUUUAUUCGUUUGAUUAAUUAACAUAUUAAUUAAUCCUUGCCAUAAAUAAAUAAUUAAACCAUUUAAUUAUCCUUACUCAUCUCCGUUGUUUCUUCAAUCUCUACCUUACACAGUGUACGAUCCAUUAGGUUCCUUUUAGCGAGGCAGUGGGUGAUUAGAACUCUUUCAAAUCGAUUGUGAAUUGAAACUUACUUUCAAUUCUCCCUUUAGUGAUUAUACACGUUUAGGGCUUCCACAAACCAUGAGUGACACCUAGCAGUAUGUCAUGGUUACCCAAGCUAAUCAGAAGAGGUGGAUAACCUAUUCAGUUUAGGAUUACAAUGCAAUACGGUCUUUCUCUAAUACAAUACUCUUGAUCACAUUGUUUGGAUUGAUAGUUUAUUCAUGUCUACUAUCCAAUGUGAUUCAUUUACUUAUAUGAUUACCUUGAAUGUGAUUUGGAAUGACUUCCUAAAUCUCAUUCAUACUCUAGCCAAAAUUCUUAAUCAUAUCAUAGAGUAUUCUCCCUCAAACGGUUUGAAGGUUAGAGAUCCCUUGUUGCGCAUUCACUUGCCUCCAUGGCUAAGUGGCUUAACCCCAACUAUGCUGUGGACACCCGCGAAUGGAGUGACUUUGACAUAAUCAAAGAUCAAGUACCUAACCACAAGACAACUAUGAUGCCUCAUGUCAAAUGACUACUUUGCAUUAUCCCAACCAUGAGUUCUCAUGUGACAUGAGUAUGAGAACUCUUCGUUGAUCGUGUUCAAUGGACUCAUUCGCUAUUGAGCACCUACAUGCUUGUCUUGGUGUCAAUCACACCAAUGACUCGAGACCAGUCACUCUCCAUGAGAGAAGACACAGCACGUACUGAUCUUAACGGACUGUCAAUGCCCAAUUGGCAAUCCUAUGAUCAAGAAUGUUUAGGAUAUGUAUACGAAAGAGAAUGGUCUCAUAAAUCUAACUUGUUUAAAUUACAUUCUCCUAAUUACAUAUUCCUUGGACUUAUCGUUUAAGCAUAUAACAUUUAUAUGAGACGGCUUAAAACAAUAAUCUUUGCCCUUGAUAUUAAACUAGAUUAGUUUAACAUGUGAAAUGUCCGUAAAGUAUCAUCACAUGAUUGGUUUUAGGGCACAUUUCCAACACACGUGAAGACUAGGCCCUGUCCUCUGGCGAAGCACUAACACCGGGGUGCAGGAUAACAAGUUCGAAAUAUAUCUCAGCACUAUUAUACUCACUACCAUCACUACCAUCAACAUACUCACCUGAAGUUUACCUGAGCAUCCGCAGCAUCGAGCAACAAAAUAUAUAUAGCUAUACUAAUGCACAAUUAAACAUAGAGAGCAUUUGACAUGUAUAUAUAUAUACUGAAAACCAAAAGCCCACUCAUUGAUAUAAAGAAGGGUCAUAACCCCUGAGCCUUGCUGAAAACCAAAAGCCCACUCACUAAUAUGUAGAAGAGUCGUAACCCCCGAGCCUUGCUUGACUGCGCUUUUUCUCUGGAUAGGUCUCACCUAUAUGCGAAACAACUAUUUAAAUGUUAUUUUAAAUCACAUAAACAAAACUAGGUAAUAACUUCUCAUACGAUGCUCAAUUUGGGUAUUCGAAUAUACCAACGCGAUCUACUCAACCUCAUGAACAUCCCCAUAUUUUUAGAAAACUUUUCCGAUCACCCACGCGCCCUCAUGUGCUGGCCAAGGCACGGCCAGACGCGCCGCCCACGUGCAGGCAGUGGCGAAGCUACAGAGGAGCAAGGAGGGGCGGUCGCCCCUCCCCUCGCCAGAAAUCAAGCCUAGGAGCGGUGGUUCCGCCCCUCUGGUCCCGUCGGAAAUUAUGGUUGCUCAGCCCAAUCUCUGGUUUUCUGGGUUUCUGCUGCUGCGCAGCAAGAGUGUUAUAAUUUUUUUUUUUUAAAAUCCUUUAGCAAAAACGACGCCGUCUCGUUUGGUGAUUUUAAAAAAAGUAAAUGGGACGACGUCGUUUGAGCUUUUAGCCCGUUACCUCUUCACCUCGUUUUCCUAUUUCCAGAACAAAUUAGAGCACAUAACAGCGCCCUAUACGCCUCCCCUCCUCCCAACCCAAACACUCAAAGGUUCGUUCUUUUCCAAUUCAAUUCGUUUUUUAGCAAAUGGGUUUUUUGGGUAUUUGAAUUUUGUGUUUCAUGUACGAUUUCGGGUUGAAAGAUUUGAUUUUUUUUUUGUUCACUUGGGGAUUCCCAAUUGCCUGAUUGAUCGGUUAAUAUUGAAACCCUAGGCGUUUGAUGAUUUGCUUUCGAACAAUGGAACUAGGAGUGGGCCAUUGGCAGAGUUUGAUUGUCUUCCUCCACCUAUCUCUAGGUGUUUGAUAGUCUUCCUCCAUCUGCCUCUCGUAUUGCUUUUUGCUUGUCUUUAUACACUCCAUGUGUUUGUUUUAAUGCCUCAAAGAAUUAUCUGACGAAUUAGUCCCCAGGGGCAAUGUGAAUGAAAAUGAGAAUGAUAUGGCGGUAAUUCUGAGUAUACCAUUGUUGAUGUUGAGGUGGCGAACGAGGAAAGUGAGGGUAAUAGAGAUGAAGGGGAGGUAGCAAAAUGUUCAGUACAAAGGUAUUAAACUUGGUCUAAGGGAUUUCGUUUUCUACGGUGUUCUUGUGCGCAGAGCUGCAAUGCAUGACAUUAUGACUAUGUAUGCCUAUUAUCUUGCCAUUAUUUUGGGACUCAUAGUGCACUCUUAUUUUGUGGUCAGUGUACCAUCGAGCUUUGCCAAUAUCUAUCAUCUUGGGUGUCAUUUUUUACUUCUUUACUCGGUUAUUACUGGAGCCUUAUGUUAUUGGGACAUCUACAACUUGUUGAUAUUUUGAUAGUCCAUUUGUUUUUGGUAAGAGAGAGGUUAUAUUUAAGAGGAAGCUGAUGUCCUAGCUAUUUUUUGUUGCUACUGAAUUCUCUAUCAAAUGGGUUUCCAAAUUAGAAGUUCAUCGAUAAUGUCUAUUGGUUUGUAAAUAGUAUAUAAAAAGGAUUUGGUUGUCUAAAUUUGUAUUGAACAAAAUUAAUAUUGUUCAUUCUUUAUAAGGAUUUGGUUGUCUAAAUUUUUUGGGAUCUUUUAUCCUUUUAAAUUUCGCCCCUCCCCUCGAUAAUUCCUGGCUUCGCCACUACGUGCAGGCAUGUGCCUGGCACACUGACGGAUUCCCUAAUGGCGUUAGGGAAUAUUCCGUUAAAUAUAAGCAUAUGCCGUUAUAUUUACCUGACAGCGUUGAGAAUAUUCCGCCAAAAUUGACAAAAUAUGCUCCUUCUCCUUGCUUGGUUCGCCGAAGUCCCGCGUCUACCACUGUUGCGACCGCCGGAAACUGGAAAAACUUCAAACCUUAAUAUCUCAUCCAAUUGUCAACCAAACUUCAUGAAAUUUGUCUCAAAAUGAAGCUCUAAACAAGUAGAACACAUUCUUAUCUUUCAAAGAUCCUAAAAACCACAAUAAGUGGUUGGAAAUUCCUUCUCUAUUCCUGCUAAACCUGCAACUUCCCAAACCCGUGUAAUUCGACGUUCAAAACUUUCCAAAAUUGCUCCCAGAGCUUCAUAAAGUAGUUAUAAGACUUCUUCAAGCCUCAAAAUGCCGUGAAAAAUACACAAUCGCCACUGAGCAACAAAGCCCUCGUCAGAGGUUAUGGGUUCUCGUGUUUUUCGAAGUCCUCACGUCCAACCAAAGGUACGAUUGUGAUCCUGAGCUUGCAAGGAACCCAAAAAUCACGUCCACAACCUCGAUCCGUGACUUAAGGGUUGGUUUGGAAGUUGUUCGUACAAUUGUACGGAAAUGGAAAUAAGUCCGAGAGGGAAUGAAAGAGAGAGUCAACAGGAGAGUGUGAGUGUGUGGUCCAGGUUGCAACCCAACAAAACAAACAAAACAAUCUAACUUCCAAUUGGGUCCAACAACUUAGGAAGAAAAUGAAUUGGUCCACAACCUAAGUUCAUUUCACACAAUCACAACCCAACGCUCAAGGGCAAUAUAGUAAUUUCCACGCUCUCGAGGAUAAAAUAAUACAUAUCUUUGGAACGGGCUAUCACAAGUACGGUUUUGAGUGAAACCAAAUCAAAACUGAAUUUUUUUUGUGAAUUGGAUCAGUGCGGUUUUGGAGCUAAACUCGAAAUGGAACCAAACCAUUUGUUGCAAUUCAGUUUCAAAUGGUUUUAGUUUAAUUCGGUUUCAAACGAUUUUAGUUUCGGUUUCAAACCAUUUGUAAACUAAAUGCUCUAUGACAUUAAUAACAACUCAAAUUAAAAAAAAAAAAAAAUCCUUGACCACCAUACUAAAAAUCAAUUUGAUAUAAAGUUCGACAUCAAAACACCUUAUAACAUUAUUUUAGUAUUAAGUGUAGGGUCAGGAAAAUAUAACAUAAUGCUAACUUGAGAUGCAGAUGUUCGAGCCAGAUUAAAACCUACGUAAGUAUACCAAAUACAUGACAGAAGAACUUGAAUCAUAACAUACAACGAACCUUGCCAAUACUACGACUAAUAGUAAUAUGGAUUCAACCAAAUAACUAAUUAGAACCCAACAUCUAAUUUUAGUAUUAAAUUAAUAGUUAUUUAAUUUUUGCAAUCUGGUUCGAUUUUAGUGCGGUUUCAUAUGCUCAAAGCUGAAACCAAACUGUUUGUCUAGACUGCGGUUCAAUUUUAAAACCGCAAAAACCAAACCGUUUGGUGUGGUUCAAUUUAUUUUGUGUUUUGAUUUCGGUUUUCAGUUUCUAAGUGCCCACCCCUAAUUAGGUGAGGUGUAAUUGAAUAUUUAACUAGUGGAGUCUUUGCCUUGCUUUGCAUAUCAGUAGGAAAAUGAUUUACAUAGAACAAGUUUAUAGUCGCGUAGUGUCCUGUACUCAAUAAGGCAUUGUCAAGUACAAAUUUUUCUCUACGUGAUAAUGUAUUAUUUUAUUGAAACGCCACAUAAAGUGAACCCAUUAUAUAUAAAUUGUUCUUCAUCAGUAAACAUAUCAAGCAAGCGAGGCUACGUAGUCAUGCUCAUAUUGUAAUCCACACUCAACCAACAUCUAGGGUAGAUAAAUGAAGUUAGAAAACUAUAAGUAUUUCAAAUUUUUAAGGAAAGAUCUAAAGAGAUUAAUUGGGUGUCACAUCUGGCAUACAAGUUGAAAUCAAUUUUAUAUAAUUAUUCAUAUGUCUCUCUCAGUCGUGAUGUACAACACAUGAUUAUAUAUUAUUCUGUGACAACAGAUCAAAGGUAAACACAAUUAUGUACAAUCAAACCAUGCAUCCAUACAAGGAAAAGAAAAUUCUAAUGAAACCCUAGAAACAUUAAUGGCGUGUUUACAUAUGGGGAAAGGAUAUGACGGAAUAGGAGUCAUUCUCCAAUUCUGGUUAUUCUUCCGUUUACCAACUUAAACGGAAUGCACAGUUUUGCAGGCCCCCUUGUAAAAUCAGUAUUUCAAUUCCUGAUAUUGCCGAAAUUGACUUAAGUAGACAAAGGUGGUAUUUUGAUUCCAGAGAGAAGGCUCCAUCCUGUAUCAAAUUUUCCUUCCCAAAAUGCCCCUCACAUUCAAUACUCCUUUCCAUCUUCUCGUUGUCCUCCGCCAUCCUCUCCAGCAGCUCUCUGCCAAUGACAACUUCUUGGCCACUCCACGAAACUACGGUCACCUUCAUCGUCGACAGCAAGUGAGAGCGACCCACUUCAGCAAAUCGAUCAAGCAACAAACCCUUUUAAUUAUUUCAAAAAAAAUCACGCAAUUUCCAUUUGAAUUGCAUAGAGUGCGAAUCAAUCCGAAAAGAAAGAGAAAUGAGGGUGAGAGUGAGAUCCGGAAAUGGGCUCUUUCUACUGGGGUGGUGAUUAUGGGGUAGGGUGAGUGGGAAAGAUGAAAGCGAGGGGGAAAGGGGGAGGGAGGAGUUUUUAUCUUAUGCUGGUGAAGAUACAGAAGAUAGAUGAAGGUUUACAUAAUGAUAUUUUGUGAAAAUGUAAUAUGGGCAAGAAAUAAAACAAAAAUAAUAAGGGCAUUUUAGUAAUCAUAUUGAUUUUCAUUCCGAUUCAUAUGAAUAAGUAAACAACUUAUAUGAAUUUCGUUUCAUUUUUACUCUGAUUCCAGAACAUUUAAGUAAACAACUUCAACAAAAAUUUGAUUCUGACUCCUCAAUUCAAUUUCUCCUCAAUCUAAUUCCUCUAUUUUAAUUACGGUUAAGUAAACGCGUCCUAAAAGUGCAUUUUCCUCAACACCCUUAAGUGGUGGUAGGGUUCACAUCCUAUUCUAAUGUGCGGCUUGUGGACAUGCCUCCUAUUUGUUCAGGGAGGGCAGCAUGGCCUAUGAUGCUAAGAUGUUCAGUUGACCCCUUGACCUUGACAGGCAGAUGGCAUUUUUGAACGCUUUUAAAUUUUAAAAUUUAUGUUUAUUUAUUACAUAAAUUUUAAAAUUUAAAUUCUCUUAACGUAAAAUAAAAAAAUAAAAUAAAAUAAAAAAUAAAAUAAAAAUAAAAAUAAAAAUAAACCCUAUCUACUCAUAGUGGCUUUCACGUAGGCUAUGGGACAGCGCGAGCAGCAUUCUGACAAGGGUUUGGCGACAUGUCACUUUCCCCUAUAAUUUACUUUUAUCUUUUAGUGGGAUGCAUAUAUAUUUUAUUCAGAAAACCAGCAACGCUAGUCAAGCCAGUUGGAUCACAAGACAAGAUCCCAAUUUAUCAUAAUAUCGGGGAUAUAUUCAAAUUGGUUUCUUUUUCUUUAGUGGUCAGCUGUCAGUGACAGCAGCCAAGUAGGUCUUCUUUUACAACAGUGCUAUCAAUGACCUUUUAAAACUUUUAUUUCUUUUGCUUUUUUUUUAAAUUAAUCUUAUUAAUUCAUUAAUUAGUUGAAUAAUUAAUGACUCAUCUCACAUCACAUGCCCAGGAAGACUACUUAAAAGAACAAUAAUAAUGUUAUGCCAAAAGGAACACCAAAAUAUGUAUUAGGUUUUAUUGUGCAUUGUGCAGGAGAGAGGUGCUAACGUAAACCCGAAGGAGAAAUUUCAUCAUCCACAACAGGCCACUUUAUUUUAUUAUUUUUGGAGGGGGGUCAGUUCUGCUAAGUUAUACAAUGGACAAUCUAAUUUAGUAUCGAAUUCGCUAUCUACAAAAUUCGAACCUAAGACCUCUAACUUACAAGUGAAGAUAAUAUCAUCAUACUGUAAUACUAAGGGACUAAGAGCAACUCCACCCUUAGAGCCCUCCCCCAGGCAAUCCACUAUUCAAACCACCCUGUAAACAGUAACUGCCAUAAUGAACAGUAACUGCCUUUUGCAUCUCCACCCUUGCACUUGAAUAGCCCUGACAAUCGGCAAUAAAAUAUUUAUUAAUUUUUUUUUUUACAAAAUAAUACUAAAUAAUUUUUUUGUAAUUUCGGAUAAGAUAUUUUAAAUCGUUCUCGUUGCGCCACGUGUCAUUUACCCAAAACGACUAUUAUUGUUCAUAGAUUUCGAUAAGAUUUUUAUCCAAUGUCAUCGUGCCACGUGUCGUUAUCUUUUCAGAAUCUUUGAGGAUAGAUUUCGAUUAGAUUUUAAAUUGUUCUUGUUGCAUUAUGUGUCAUUAUUCGAAAAUAUAAUUAUUGGUGAUGGAUUUCGAUAAGAUUUUUAUCCAAUGUCAUUGUGCCACGUGUCGUUAUCUUUUCAGAAUCUUUUAGAAUAGAUUUCGAUCAGAUUUUUAACGAAUGACGGCAUGCCACGUGACACUAUCUACAACCUAAUCAUUUCAGAAUCCUCCAUAUAAUCCAUCAUCCAUGCUUUUAAAUCUCACACCAAUUUUCUCAAUAUCUCUAUCAUUAUUCAUAGUUUUUGCUUCCUUCUUCACCAAAUCAAAAUUUGUUUCAUUAUUCACAGUUUCUACUUACAAUGUCAUCUUCUUCAAGCAUGAUGUGGGAAAUUGAUCAAGAAGAGGAAAAUUGUUUAACCAAUCUGAAGGAAUGUUCAAUCUCCAUAUAGCCCAAAAUGAGAAGGAAGAGGAUGAGAAGCGGAGAAGGAGAGAUGACGAAGCAAGAAUGGCCAGAGACUCACAUUCUUGUUGAGUCGUCCAAGCUGUGGCUCAGAUAUGCAGGCCCACCAGUUUUGGAAACCUUGAUAGAAGCAGGCAACAACGAGGUGAUGAGCUGUUGGACGAUUAUUUUGUCUAUAAUAGUGCAUUUCAUAAUGAGUACUUCAGACGUCGUUUUAGAAUGGAACAACAUUUGUUCAACAAAAUCAUGAUUUCUGUUUGCAACCAUGAUUCUUACUUUGUGCAAAAGAAGGAUGCUUGUGGUGCUAUGGGUCUCCUUCCCGAGCAAAACAUUACUGGUGCGUUGCGGAUGCUUGCGUAUGGAGCAGCUGUAGACCAAGUGGAUGAGAUAGCGAGGAUGGGGAAAUCAACCAUUCUUGAGUCCUUUAUGAGGUUUUGGGGAGCAAUCGAAUCUAUCUACACUGCAGAGUACCUCCAGAAACCUACUCACAUGGACUUGGAAAGACUUCUGAAGAAGGCCGAGAUGCGAGGUUUUCCUGGGAUCACAUGGACUUGGAAAAACUGUCCAAGUGCAUGACAAGGCGCUUAUGGAGACAGAAAAUGAGCAAAAAGUAUAAUUUUGGAGGCGGUGGCAUCUUUUGAUACAUGGAUUUGGCACGCCUUUUUCAGGGUUCUGGGACCUUAAAAUGACCUCAACGUCCUUGCCCAAUCCCCAGUGUUCAAUGAUGUCCUGCAAGGAAAGGCACCAAAAGUCACGUAUGAGGUCAACGGACGUAUGUAUGACAGGCCAUACUACCUAGCUGACGGCAAUUAUCCAAGGUGGUCAACAUUUGUCAAAACAGUGCCAUGUCCGCGAAGUGCAAAGGAAAAAUACUUUGCAAGAUGUCAAGAGGGGUGCAGGAAGGAUGUGGAGCGUUGUUUCAGUAUCCUCCAAGCUCGCUGAGCGAUCGUCAAGGGUGCUACCAGAUUGUUUGAUGUAGAGUCGCUUCAAUCCAUCAUGAUGACGUGCAUCAUUCUUCACAACAUGAUUGUGGAAGAUGAGUACGAUUAUGAAGUCGUUGAUGAAUAUGAGCCAGACACAAUGAACAAUUCAAGAACACGUAUAUAUUGUACUCAUGACGCCAUCGAUGAGGCCGUGCAACAUGAGCCAUUAGAAAGGGAUGGACGUUACAAUGAAAGGGUCAUUCAACGAUAUACUGCAUUUCAAAGGUCAGACAUGCACAAUGCCCGGCAAAAUGACUUGAUAGAGCACCAGUGGGCAUUGAAACAAGCUGAAGAUAAUUAAGUUCAUUUAGUGUGUUUUUUAUUAUUUGGUAUGUUUAUGUAAUUUUAUUUGGUGUGUUUUAUUUUAGUUCAUUUAGUGAGGUUUUUAUUAUUUGGUGUGAGGUUUUUAUUAUUUGGUGUGUUUAUGUAAUUUUAUUUGGUGUGUUUAUGUCAUUUGAAUAAAGAUUCUCUUAUAGUAUAAGAUAUUACCAUAUUACAUAAAUUUAUUCUCACUUUAAAUAAAGUACUAAAUUCAAUAAAUUCAAAACAACAUAAAAUACUCAAUUCAAUAAAAAAUAAAUUACAACCCAUGGUGAUUGGAAAACUAUGGGCUCCGAUUACAAAAAGUACUCUAAUCAUCAUCACUUAACCAAUUUGUGGUGCUAGGAUGAUCUUCUCUUGUCGUGCUAGGACCAUCUCCUCUUGCUCUCGCUUCUCUUGCACGCCUCCUACACACCACAUCAUCUUUCUCUGACUUUCAAAAAUAUUUAGAAUUUGGAGACUUCCCUUCUAAAGGUGUGUUCAUAAUCUCACGAUCUCGUUGAGCCAUUCUUUCUUCUCUAACCAAUUCCCUUUCUUGCCUAAGUAGCUCUAUUUCUCUUUGAUUAGCUUGAAAUUCUCUCUCAACAACUGUAGCUUUUGCCUCCUCUCUAGCCUUAUCAGCCUCAAAUUUUGCCAUUUCCCGCGCCAAAGUCAAUUCACUAUGGCGAGUAAGUUCUUCCAUGUACUUUGCAUAAUCAUGCUUGGAAGCACUUCAUUUUCUUUUUGAAGCCUUCUUACCUUGAGGCCUAAUUGGAUAACGGGUCGAACCCGACGCUUGUUCAGGGAUGGGCGUUUCGGGCACUUCUUCUGCAUCAUCUUCAUGCGAGCCAUUAUCAGGUGUAGAGCAUAGCGAGGUGCUGUUUAUGACAACUUCUGGACCAACAGGCACAACUCUAAAUUUAGGACAAUCUUUGACAAUAUUCCAACAUUCCCACCGGUUGAAUGAUUUAUUUUUUGUUUUGGUUUUGGCACCAUACCAAGCUUGUGCUUGAAUUAGCUACACAAUGGAGGAGAAGAAAUAAUUAUAAUCAAAGUAGAUAACAAAUAAAUAAUACAAACAAAUAAUUAUAAUUAAAGUAGUUAACAAAUUAUUGGUAACAAAUAAAUAAUACAAACAAAUAAUUAUAAUUAAAGUAGGUACCAAAUAAAUAAUACAAACAAAUAAUUACAAUGUAAAUUUGGGUAUAGUACAAACAAAUAAAUAAUAUAUUGUUACCUGCUCCGUGUAAUUUUCCCCACUUCAAAGAUUAUAAUUUUCCCCACUUCGAAGAUUACUACUAGCUUGUGCCAAGGCGUCUCUCCAAAUAGUAAACGAUUGGCUAAGUAAUUUCCAACGACUAGACAUCAAUUCUUUGGUUCUACUCCCACCCAUUUUCUCAAGAUAAUUGGUAUGAAUAAGACUCCACAUUUCUCGCAACUGCAUCUCAUUAUCCGUACGUGAACUAUGAGUAACUUCAACCCCGCUAGUACACAAUGCAACAUCUUCAAGAGAUGUCCAAUUCGUACCUGCAUCAGUAGUCAUUUUGUUGAAAAAAAUUGGAUUGAAACUUUGAGAGAAAGAUAGGAAUGUGAUUGAAAGUAGUUGAGAACAUAUGAAAUUGUGGUGUAAGUUAGAUGAUAAUUGACACACCCCGUCCCGAAGGAGGGCAUGCUGGCCGUCACGUGAGAGUGACGUAACCAUUUACACAGUUCGGAAGCUUUAAAAAUACAAUUACUAAGAUGAAACACUCGAGGGUGAGUCCUACUUUUGUGAAUUCUGUCAGAACACCGUUGGAUUCCUCGUGGCCACCAAAGCUCUGCUAUCUAGAACCUGGAGGGGCGCAAACAAAGUUGAGUGGGUCAGUAAAACAAAGUUUUUCGAAAACAUUUCAUUUAAAACAUUUCUAACCCCUCGUUGUAAAACCUGUAUACUUUCCCAGAAAAUAUCAUAAUAGCAUAUACCUUCAAAUAUCUCAAAUCAUCAAUCUUUAUCAAAACCAGAAAGUAUGCCAUGCUAUAAUGUCAAAAACAGAAUAUGGAUGCAUCAAUAUAACAGGUGAAAUAAGGAAUCAACCGGAGACCCUGCAGUUGGUCCUGUACGGUUAAUUCUAUAGCUCAAUAUCCAAUCCAACUAGAGUCACCACGGUGACCUGUACGGCGCUACUCUGCACAUAAGUCGGAACUACCUGAAGUAAUUUGUACGACAAGAAUGGUGUAAUAAUACGCUCUAGUGCUUCUCUCAUCAAUCAUCUGUGCACAAAAUCUAAGGUCACCUACCAGUCGGAACCACCUCUAGUGGUCUGUACGACUAGCAUGUCAGAACCCUCUCAUGGUCUGUACGACAUGCACCUACUUAGAUCCAAGGUGAGUGUGCGGUGCGGUGAAUAAUAUAAGCACUAAUACCAGAGGUGCAGGUCAUGAGCUCUCAACACAAUUCACAUCAUCGAUGAUUCACAUGGAUAACAUAAAACUCACAUGAUACUCACAUGUGCAUCCCCAGCACCAAUUCACAUAUAUAUAUAUAUAUAUGCAUCAAUUAUCAAUUCAUAUAUCUCAUAAUAUGCAUGCAUGGCAUUUUAAAAUGUACUUUCAUUUAAACUCAAUUUCUAGGAAAAAUAUCAAUAGUAUAUAGGUAUAAACAGAAAUACUGCCCACUCACCUGGAGUUCACCCAACAACUCCCUAGCACAACACAUCAAGGCGUCAUGACGAUCGACGCCUAGAACAAUAAUCAAAUCCAUCCUCAGAAUUCAUAUCGAUAGAAUAUAUAACUUAUAUAAAACACGUCACUACGUAGUUCGAUCCAGACGAUCUGCAACUCAGAUUUCAAAUCCAUAACUUCCAAAGGUCCACAAUAUACCUCUAGGACAACAUCCUAAAAUUUCAUUACCAUCCAACGGUCGGAUCUCCGUAAAUUUCCAAAACCAAGUGACGGUUAACAUUAUAUUUUAUGAACUUACAACUCCAAUUCCGAAAGAUCCAUAAAUUGAAUUCUCGAUCCGUAAGUUCCUAUAAUCCUCAAAUAUUACGUAUUACAACGUAUCAAAGUUUGGUGACGAUCCAACGGUUGGAUCGUCGAUUCACCUUUUGGCCUAACCACGAAUCGUAACGAACUUAGGUUCAAUUACUCAAUUUACGUCCAUCAAUUAUCAAAAUUGAACCUAGAACCUUAAAAAAUGCUAAGAAUGACAUUGGCGGGCCAUUGGCCACGCGCCGCCACACGGGCCGCCGCGGGUGGUGGUUGGCCGCCCCGGCUCACCGGAAAAUCCAACUAUUUCCAAAAAUUCUCAAAAAAUACAGAAAUGAAGAUCUCAAAUAGUAGAGCAAACUUUAUACCUGAGGCCAAAGCCAAUUUGGCUUGGAAACACUUCAAUUUCACCAAAAUCAGUACGAAACCCUAGAAAUGGGUGAGUUCCAAUUCGUCUUCAAUUCAACUCCGUCGUCGCAACCAAUGCUUGGGAUUUGUUCUAGGCCUCAAGAGAAGUGUAUGGGUGGUGGCAAUUGAAAGAAAUUGCUUCGGGAUUGGGUGAAUUUGAACAAGAAAGUCGCGACACCUGUGUGGGUGUUUCUUCGCGAAAUCACCACGAAAUUCAUUGAUUUUUGGGUCAAUUAGGAUGCUAGGAUAUCUUGCAGGUGUUUGGGGUUGAUGGGAGGUUGAAGAAGACCAGAAAUUUGGACGGAAAACCGUCGGAAAAUGGCCUUGCGGGAGCGGGUCGCCGCGCGGGUCCAAUAGACCCGACCAAUCAUCUGUUUUCCUUCUUCCUCCUUUCCCUCCUUUCCUUCUUCUGGUUGGCCAAGCAGGUUCCUCUCUCCUCUCCCCAUUCGGCCUCUCCUUCUUCUUCUUCGAUUGGGCAGCUUUGCCCAAUCUCUAUUUUUCUCUUCUUCUUCCCCGGUGCCUUCCUCUCACGCACACACACCCACAAAACUUUCUUCAUCUUUUAUUUUUAUUUCCUUUCCCUUAUAUCCAAGCCAUCCAUUUCAAAUUUCUUUUAAUCUAGGCCAUCCAAAUUUUAAUAAUAAAAUUCAUAAAAUGUCCAAACUUCAAACUUUAAAAUCUUUUUCGUUAUAACUCCAAAUAGCGAACCGUAUGCGCCCACGCGUCCGUAGCGACGAGUACUACAAGGAUAUGUCAAGAAAACAAAUCUUAGAUGGCAUGACACAACGAUUAACCUCGAAUAAUGCGCGUGCCUCAAAGGGCAUUUUUGUAAAAUCCUUUAUUAAAACUUUAAAAACUCUUAAAAUUAGGGACGGGCUGUCACAAUAAUGAGAAGGUAUUUAUAGAAAAGUAGAAACAUUUUGUUUUUUAAAUUCAGAUAUUUUUUCGGAUUUGUUUUACAAUUUUUAAAAUUUUUUUAUUCAAAUAAUUAAUCUCUGCUGUUGGAUUUAAAAAAAAAAAUUGAAUUCCAACACUCUAGAUUGUGCCACGUGUCACAAUGGUAACUUUUCUUAAUUUUAAAACUAUUUUUUCGUUUUAUUUAUUUAUUUAUAAAGCAUAUUAAUAUCGACAGUUGAUCUUAGAUCGAACAAUUGAUAUUAAGUAAGAUUUUUUUUAUUUUUUUUACCGUUGAGAUCGAACUGUCCAAGUUAAAUAACCGUUGAGAUCGAACCGACCGUGGGAAGCAAUGUGGCUUCCCAAUGGUAACAUUGAAGUCUGAAAAGGUUUCUGUUUUUUUUUUUUUGAAAAGUUGUCGGGUGACAUGCCCCCAUGCUCGAGUGGGGUGCACGCGCUUGACAGAAAAAAAAUUAAAAAAAGGCCCGAAGCUUGGGCUCGCGGGCUGUCAACUCUUCACAGGCCCGGAGCUCUGGCCUCCACCUCGCUCGGGCUCCUUCAUGCUAGAGCAAAUCCAUAGGGCCUCGGGCCCUUUUCUCUCACCUAUCCCCCGAGCAAUCCACAAGGGUGGAGUUGCUCUAAGCUAUACAAUAAAUAAUCUAAUUUGAAGUUGAAUUCGCCUCUCACUUGCAAGUGAACAUGUCACGUUAUUAAGCAUGACAUUCUUUCCCUCUUUUUCCAUAUAAAAAAAAAAAACUAAUGAAAAUGGCUUAAAAACUUUGCGUUUUAACGAAAAUGAAAAAAAUAAAAGGGAAUAGUACUAUGGUUGACUUUUUAGUGUAAAAAUGUGGUUUUUCAUUAAAGUAAAUAUUACUGGGAGCUUUUCGUUAAAGUUCUUUAUUAAAAAUGUUAAAAGAAACCACAUUAUUGUACAACACUUUGUUAGAGAGAUAAUAGGACCCACUUGUACUGGGAGGCUUAGCUAUUUCUAAUAGAAAUGUGAUACAUUGUAACAGUGCAGAAAUUUUUAAUUGUGACGAGAACACAAGUAGUACACCACGUGUUUAAAUAAAAGUGGUGGGAAAUUUUAUUUUUUAAGUUAUUAACUUUUUAGUACACAUAUCCCACCAUUUGUAUAAUAACACAUGGUGUACCAUCCCAUGUACCGGUCAUAUUGAAAAAUCUCUCGUAACAGUGGUUGUAUUGGAGGCGUGCAAAAAGUGUCUCAGCAUAAGGAUGAGGAUACUUUCUAGAUUCUUUUAGUGAUCCUCAUCUCCAGAUUCUUUUUGUGAGGAUUCUCACAUCCUAUUUGUGACAGCCCGUUCCGAAAUAAAAUUUUUGAAUGGUGUGAAUUGUCUAAAAUACCUUAGAUGUUGAGAUGUGUUGUGUGAUAUGUUUUGAUUGUGGUCCAAUUCCUAUUUUCCUAGACUUUUGGAACUAUUUAGGAUUUAGGUUUUAAUUACUUUUGUUUUUGGUUGGCUGCAAACUGGACCACACACACACACACCCAUACCCAAUCCCGUUAACCUUCUCUUUUUCCUCCCUCUCGGUUUCUUUCCAUUUUUCGUACAAUAUGUACGGACAAACCUUAAACCAAGUAAUUUCUUCACGGAUUAAGGUUUUUGAAGUCAUCUUCGUGUGCCUUGUGAGCUCAGGAACACAUCUAUACCGUUUUUAAAAAGUGAUGACCUCAUUUUCCCGAGAACUCGAGAACCCAGUUUUGGGUUACUGUUCAUGCACUCAUGAUUUUAAAGUUUUUAGGAGAUUUUAAGUUGCUAGGGAGCCUUAAAACAUCUUCACGAAGCUCGGGGAGUAAUUUUGAAGUGAAUUGGACGUCGGGAAGCCCAAGUUUAGUGAGUUGCAGGUUUGGCUGGAAUAUCGAAGGUUUUUCAAGCAACUUUCUGUUGGUUUUAGGUCCCCAAAGUGGUAUGAAUAUGUUCUUCUCAUCUUAAGCUUCAUUGUACAAAAUUCGUGAAUUUUGGUUUAGAAUCGAAGGAGAUAUGAAGAUUUUAAAUUUUUUGAGAAACCGACAAGUGUAGUGGUGACCGGCACCGGACUCCGGCGAACCAAGGAAGAAGGAGAUUAUUCCGUCAAACUUAACGGAAUAUUCUAACGCCGUUAGGUAUAAUUAACGGUAUAUUCUAGUUUUUAACGGAAUAUUCCCUAACAACAUUGACUAUUCCGUCCCCUGUGCCAGGCAUGUGCCUGCGUGUGGGCCGUGUGUCUGGUCAUGCCUUGGUCGGCUCGUAAGGGCGCGUAGGGUCAUGAAAAGUUUUUCUAAAAAUUUGGGGAUGUUCCUGAGGUUGAGUAGAUCAUGGUGGUAUAUUCAAAUACCCCAUUUGAGCAAUGUAUGAGAAGUUAUUUCCUAGUUUUGUGUAUGUGCCUUAAAUAACGUUUAUUUAGUUAUUUCGCAUAUAGGUGAGACCUAUCCUGAGGACGAGCGCCAUCAAUAGAGGCUCGGGGGCUAUGACCCUUCGACAUAUCAGUGAGUGGGCUUUUGGUUUUUCGUAUAUACUUAUAUACUUGAUUUUUCCCAGAAAAUGAAUUUGAAUGAAAUUAUGUUUUGAAAUGCCAUGCAAAGUAUUUGUCUAUUUUAUUAUGCAUUAGUAGUUGCAUAUAUUUACGAUUGGUGUUGCGGAUGCACAGGUAAGUACUAGGUAAGUUUAUAAAUUAAAGGUAUGAAAUUGUUUCAGUUAUGCAAUGCUUAAUGUGAUGUAUUAAGAGCUCAUAAACCUACACCCCGGUGUUGGUGCUCCCGCCUAGAGUUAGGGCACAGUCCUUCACGUGAUGUUCACCUCCCGCACCAUAUGCUCACAUUGGAUCCAAGUUUGGUGCACAUGCUUGUCGUACAUACCACUUUAUGUGGUUCCGACUUGUAGAUGACCUGCGAUUAUUCGCAUAGUCUUCACGUUAUCGUAGCACUAGAGCAUAUUUAUUUUACACCUAGUCUUGUCGUAUAAACCACUUUAGAUGGUUCCGACUCGUGUGCAAGAUUUGAUUUGAUAUGAUUGAGAUUGGUUAUGAGCUAUAGACUCAGCUGUGCAGGUCACAUAGGUAGAUUCGGCUGAUAUGAUAUCUAGCAUUGAUGCAUUUUAACUGGAUUACUUAUGGCAUUUCAUUGAGAUACUUUGACAUGAUAUAUUUCUAUGGAUUUUCAUCUUGAGCAUGAAUUCUGAUAUAGCAUAUAUUAUAUUUUUCUGGGAAAUUAUACAAGUUUUACGGCGAGGGGUUAGAACUUUUGAGAAAUGAAGUGGUUUGAAAAGCUUUGUUUUUGCCUACUCACACUUUUUGUUUUGCGCCCCUCCAAGUUUUAGGUAGAAGUGCUUUGGUGGAUCACGAGGAUUUCGACGGGGGUUCUAACAAAACAUCAUAAAUGUAGGAUUCCCGUGGGUGUGUAUAAUUAGUACUUGUCCUGCUUGACUGCAUCUAGAGUAUUUAUGCUCUGGUUGUGUAUUUCACAUUUAAUCUCACACUAGCACUCUAUCUUAGAUAAUUCUGCUAGUAGUUUGAUUUUUAUUCCUUCGCUUUUCCCUUAUAUCUUUAUUGCUUCCGCACUGUGCACACGGUUACGUCACUCCCACGUGACAGCCAACAUGCCUCGAUCUAGGUUGGGGUGUGUCACUAUCUAUUUAUCGUAAAUCGUGUGAUAAAAAAUUAUUAGGUACUGUUUGUGUUUAAAUUUAAAUAAAAAAUUCACAAUGAUUUCUAGGCACAUGAUUUUCAAUGAAUGGAUGAGGUGUGAAGAUCCAUAAAAUUCUCACAAAGAAGAUCCGAAUGAGAUCCAAAUCCUCAGCAUGGGCCCCUAAUUUCUGAGAAGCCCCUGAAAUCUUCAUCCUCCUACAUUAUUUUCUAAUAAAUUUAAUAAAAUUAAAAUUUUCAGUUUAUAUAUGACAAUUGAAUUUUUUUUCGGUCAAUACAUUUCACAAUUAGUUAAGUGGAGCCUAUAAUUUUUAUAAUAAUUUUUCGCUUUUUUCUAACAAUAAAAUAUUAAGUUGUAUAUUCCUCUCUCUCAUAGAAACAAGUGUAUUUUCGUAUUUCUCCCUUUCAGUCAUGAGCACGCUUUUUGUUUUACAAGGAUGAAGCCAAAAUCUUAAUUUGAUGGCCGUUGGAAGAAAGAAAAAUCUCAAAUUAGAAAGACUAUUCAAUAGUUGGAGUGAGAUGUUGAAUUUCAUUAAGUUGGAAUUUUGCACAAAUACAUUGUUCGAAAUAAAUUUUUGCAUAGGCUCUCAGUACUACGAUUUGGUAGUAUUUUUUUUCACUUAAAAGUGAAAUAUCUUAGGUUCGAAUCUUGUAGAUAGCGAAUUCAAUACCAAAUUAGGUUGCCUAUUGUGUGACUUAGCCGAACUUCCCCUCCCUUUAGUGUAAAAAUAUUGAUGUACUAAUUUUGUUUUUUUGCACAAGUACCCUCAUACCAUUACUAAAAGUAAUCUUUGAAAAAAGAAAAAUAUAUGACACUUUUUUUAUGUAAAAUGAAAAUAAAUUAAGAACCAUCAAAAACACACAUAAGGUAAACAUGCCAAAUGUAGCCAAUUAAAGAUGUUACACACCCCAAAAGAAACACAAAAGCUUUAUAGUUACAAACUCAUUAAGAAUACAAUAGAACACAAUUUCCUAUGCACAUAGAACCCACAUCUAACUAACAUGAAAGAUAACUCUUAUGAAGAGUAAACAUUAAAAGACGUAGAACUACACCAAAGGAAUCGUGCGAAAAAAUACUACACUGCUCUAUGAUCACCUUGCAAUCAUAACUAAAAGAAGUAAUGUUAUGAGCAAUCUCCUCAUAAUCCUUUUCUAUGCACACAAACCGCAUGAAACACAAAAACCUCCAUCUCAACUCUUAACAAGUCAUCCAUUUAGAAAUAUGAGUUUGAGAUGAAAAUCAUAGACACUACAAAAACUCUCAUCGAUAAAGCGACCAAUGACCACAACUAUGAAAACUCUUCUCACUAAAACGAAAGAGAACCACAACCAGAGGAGAUGGUUUAAGUAUAUAGGUGUAACGAGAGGAAAAAUAGAAGAGAGUGAGACAAAUUGCCCCCGACCUUUAAACCAAAGAUAGGGGUGGAAAAUUUCUCACACAAAUUUAUUUGGAAAACCCAAAAAAGCCAUUAUUCAUUAAUUAUUCAAAUAAAAGCCCAAAUGGGAUUACCCAGCCAAAUAGAAAUAGCCAUCCCCAUCGAUCCACAAUUCCCGAUUAUAAUUGAUACCUUUCUUCCAAAGUAGGACCGCAUAGAGCUUACGUUCAAAUUACGUUCAAACAAAUUAAUAGAUAGAUUUAUAUGAUUUAGGAACACUACUGUAGUAAUGUUUCGUACCAAUAAAAUGAAAAUAUGUGUAAAUUUGCAUUCAUAUAUCAUCAUUUUAUUAGUAUGAAACGUUAUGUGGUGUUGUACUUUGUCUUGUCAAUUGUUUUUGAAAUGUGAGGUCCAUUUUGAAACCUAGAAAAAGAAAGAGGUCCACUAAGAUUGUGAAACCCACUUUCUAGCAAAGGCUUAUCACUAUAGUAUUUUUUUAAGGAGAAUGUAAUGAGGUGUCAUCUUUUUAGAUCAUAUUUUAUAAAUCAUAUGAUGUGGUUGUUGAAAGUUGAUAAUUAAAUUUUAUUUUUAAUAAUAUAGAGAAAAUAUUAAAUCGUCAACUAUCAUAUUAUAUAAUAUAUUUUAAAAAAAUGAUCUCUCUAACGUCACCAAUAAUUUGUCACUUAAUAUUAUUCUUGCUAAAGACGAAUUUGAAUCACAUUAUUACUAGUUCAGUGUGAAACUUAACCCACCAUCUAACUCCUUUAAAGGAAAUAAUAUUGUUUGUUUAUAAUAAUAAUAAUAAAUAAAAUAUAAAUAAAAUAAAUAAAAAAACCCACACGUAACUUGGCCCACUCUAUCACUGAUUUGGUUUAAAGCAAUUUCAAGCCACAUACUACUCCUCGAGGCAAUGAGCAUUUUCCCCCUAAUUAUAAAAACCAUCUUUAUUUCACGAGCUUAUAAAACUAAUGAAUUAUCGUGAUAUAUUGACCACAAUACAGUUUUAUUUUAUUCUGGCUUUUUAAAUUUGGUGCUUUUUUGGUAAAAUUAAAUUUGGUGCCUUUGAAUUGAUAGUGAAAUUAGGGCUGGGUAUGGGUCGGGUCGGACCCAAUUUUGAAGGGAUCAAACAGGACCUGGAUUUAAAUGAGACGGGUUGGACCAAGGCGGGGAUAACAUUUUUUAAUAUGGGAACCGGACCUUACCCGGCCUAGUGAAAACGGGCCGGUUAGGUCGGGUCCACGGGGCCUUUUGUUUUUUUUUUUGUGGAAAAAAAAAUAAAUUAAACGGAAUACGUUCGGAUAUUCAGUUAUGCCUUGUAAACGAAAUACGUUCAGAUAAAAUUUGAAUUGAAAGGGUGUGUGAACUCUAAAUUUCUCCAAAAAAAAAGGGAAAGAACCUCUCACAGAAGGAGAGAAGCUCUCUCAUGAAAGGAGAGAAUUUUUGCUUUUAUUCUUAGUAUGUAUUUUGGUACCACGUAAUGUGUCUAGUGGAACUCGUAGCCUUUUGUUUUUCUUUUUUGACAAGCCUACCACAAUUCAGCAUUUUUUUUCUUUAAAAAAGAGAUCAUCUGGUGGCUUAGCCACAACAGUUCACAUUAAUGUGUCUAGUGAAACUCGUAGCCUUUUGUUUUUCUUUUUUAACAAGCCUACCACAAUUCAAUAUUUUUUUCUUUAAAAAAGAGAUCAUCUGGUGGCUUAACCAUGACAAUUCACAUUUUUAGGGGCCAGGAAAGACUCACAGAAGUUGAAACCUGAGCCACCAUUGUGCGAUUCACCAGCAUCAGGAAUCAAACCCAAGAUAUGCCACUAGUGAAGGAAAAAUUUUGUCCUAGCUAAGAACAUGUGAGAAUAUUUGAAUACAUAUGCAAACUAUUAACACAUUAAAGUAGGCAUGCAUUCAAAAAUAAUUCGUAAAACCCAUGACUUUCAAAGCCUAGUAUAUGGUGAACCAACAAACUCUUUAACAACAUUAAAGAGAAUAAAGGAUUUAGAGUUUCUUUACCCUUGAAGCUCAUCCUUGAUUACACAAGGGAUUCACCCAAGUGGAGGGCCUUCAAGUCACCUCCUUGCUCCUUGGAUCUUCCUUGUGAUUUUCCUCCUUUUAGUGCUCCUUUGCUUCUUUGAGGAUUUGAGGAUUUGUUCUCCAAAACAUCAAAUGCUUGAUGUCUCUAAGUCUCUUCACCAAGGAUGUGAUGUGAAGAUGAAAUGGAUGACUUAGGGAAGAAAAGAUUGCUAGCUAUUCCUUCCCUAGGUGGCCGACCUCUUUUGAGAAAAUGAGAGAAAAUGUUUCACCUCAUUUCACCAAGAAAAACCCUAAAUGAAAAUAAAGCUAUAAAGUUGAAUUUAUACUUCAUCACAUGUGAGUGGCAAACUUGUAAUUAAUCCAAGUUUGACACUUCUCACCCUAAUGGCCGGCCAUAUCAAAUUGAUUGGGCUAAUUGCCCAUUUUGUUUUAGUUGUCAUACAACUUAAAUAUAAUGGGCCUUGUGGACCAAACGCUUUUGGGCCCCGAAACCCAAAACCAACAUAUAAGCCCAAUACGAACAUUUCGUAUAAUUAAAUAACUAAUUAAUUAACCUUGACCAUUCUUCAAUUAAACCAUUUAAUUGCUUAUCCAUUUCAUUUAAUUUCUUCACCAACAUCCUUACUCGGUGUACGAUCCAUUAGGUUCCAUUUAGCGAGGUAGUGGGCGAUUGUUACUCUUAACGAUCGAUUGUGAAUUGAAACCACAUUUCAAUUCUCCCUUAAAAUUAGUGUUUGCUAAUCUUUAGGGCUUCCACAAACCAUGAGUGACACCUAGCAGCAUAUCAUGGUUACCCAAGCUAAGUAGAAGUGGUUGGAGAACCUAUCCAGUUACAAUUACAAUGCAAUACGGUCAUUCUCUAAUACAAUACUCUUAAUCACAUUGUUUAAGUGAUAGUUUGUUUCAUGUCUACUAUCCAAUGUGAUACUUAUCUAUAUGAUUCAAUUGAAUAUGAUAUGGAACAAACUUCCUUAGUCAUAUUCAUAUGCUUUGGCCAAAGACUCUCGAAUCAUAUCUUAGAGUAUUCUCCUUCCACCAUGGAAGGUUAGAGAUUCCUUGUUGUGCAUUCAUAUGCCUACAUGACUAGGUAGCUUGACCACAACAAUGCCAUGGACACUCCAAUGGAAUGCCUUUGACAUGAUCAAAGAUCAAAGACCUAACCAUUAGACAUCUAUGAUGCCUCAGGUCAAAGGACUACUUUGCAUAUUGCAACUAUUGAGUUCUUACAUGACAUGUAUGUUCGAACUCUCUUUUGAUCGUUGUUCAGUGUACUCAAUCACUCUUUCGAGCACCUAUGUGUUUGCCUUAGUGUCCAACACUAAAUGACUUGAGACUAGUCAUACUCGCGCUUGAGUCAACAUAACACAUACUAACCUUAGCGGAUUGUCAAUGCCCAAUUGGCAAUCCUAUGGCUAGGAACUUUUUAGGAAUGAACAUAAGAGAAAGGUCUCGAUAAUCUAACUUACUUAAAUCACUUAUCUCUUAGAUCAAAUACAUUCCUUGGAUUCCCUUAUUGCUUAAACACAUGAUACAAUAAAUAGUGAUUAACAAUAAGCUUUGCCCUUCAUUAAACAUAUAAAAGUUUAAUACAAUAAGUAUUCCAAAAGCUAUUACAUCAAAUGAGUGGCUUUGUGGGCAUACUUCAAACAACCAGUGCCAAGAAUCGAACCCAAGACAUGCCUUGUGGAAUACGAGCCUGAAAUUUAUCCCCAACCACUAGAUCACCCCAUGGUAGUUACCACAAUUCAACAUUAAACUCAUUAUAAGUGUAUUGUUUUUUAUUUGUACACAAUAAAUAUAAAAUUUGCUCCAAUCAAGUAGAGACAACUACCAAAAUCAAAUGACUAUGUUCAGCAAUUGUAGAAGUCACAUCUCAUGAGCAACAAUCGUUGGAUAAAUAGAAAAAGCUAAAUUGGAUUAAUGAUCCCCGUGAUAAUAGAAUAAUCAGAAGCUAACACUCGUGGUAAAAAAAUUCAGAUUUAAACUCUCGUGAUGAAAUCCGGUAGGAUUCAAGCCCAAAUUAAUAUUUCCAUUUAGUCUCCAUUAACAUUUCCGUUAAGUCUUUUUCCCAGAUUGCUUACAUGCUUAUGGGCCUGCCUCAUUGUUUCUCCUAACAUUCCCACCCUAGCCCCCCACGCUUCCAAACAAUCGUCUCUAAAUACAUUGGACCUGCAUCCUCCUCCUCUCUCUCUCUCUCUCCCUCUCUCUAGUUCUUCAGAUUCCCUUCGUUGUCUGUGCCAUUGUUGAUGAACAAAUCCUCAUAAACAAACCAUUGAGGUCUGCAUGCUACUCCUCUUUUCAUCUUUCUUGGUUUUAGUUCCUACAAAAGUAACAAACAAGCAAUUCAACUAAAGUUCCCGUAUAAGAAAGGAAAGUAUAACUAAGAUUUUCAAUGUUACUUGGGUUGGCUAGUGCUGCAAUAAAUAAAUAAAAUCUAGUCCUUUUGAUUAACAAAAAAGCUUUGAACGAAGUCGGAAUCGAAGCAUGAAACAAAGAAUUCAUAGCCUUGAAUAAAUCUUAUUUUUUUUCUUCCUUUUUUUUGUGAAGGUUGAAUGGGUUAACGGAGGAAUAACGAAAAUGUUAAUUUUGGGCAUGAAUCCUAACAGAUUUCACCAUGAGGGUUUAAAUCUGAAAUUUUUUUACCACGAGGGUUAUCUUCCGAUUACCCUAUCACCACAUAGACCAUUAAUCCAAUUUAGCCAAUAGAAAAAGAAAUCUAACAAAAGAGUCUAGUGAUAUUUUUCCUUGUAAGUGUCUAAUUGAAAUGACAGAGGUUUGAUUUCUAUCAAUAAUCAGUUCAAUCUCAACUUAUUGUGUAGCUUAACUCAACCCAUACUCUUAGGCCAUCUCCAAUCGAAGGAGGGACAGAGGGCUCUCUUUGGCCCUAUAGCCCUCCAAGAAAUUAAUAUUUUAAUGAACAGUGUCAUGCUAUUUUUCUUACAAUCUCCAACCGAGGGGCCAGAGGGCCAUAGGCCAAACAUAGCCAUGUGACAAAAAACCAUCUCCAAUCGAAAGAGCCCAAGGGCCAUAGGGCCAAAUAUAAUUUAUUAUUUUAAUUAAAUUACUAUGGUAACUUAAAUUAAAUUACCUCAAUAAUUUUUACGUUAUGGAUUGUCAAUAAUUUAUCGAGAUGGAAUCUCAAUGAUUUUACAUCUCGGAUUUCAAGUGCCAUGUGUCAAUAUGUGAGUAACUUUACAGAUUUUUGUUGCUAAGAAAUCUUAAUAAUUUUACGUCUCGGAUUUCGAGUGCCAUGUGUCGAUAUGUGAGUAACUUUGCAGAUUUCUUGUUGAUAAGGAAUCUCAAUAAUUUUAGGUCUCGGAUUUCGAGUGUCACAUGUCGAUCCAUGAGUAAUUCUCCAGAUUUCUUAUCGAUAUGUAAUCUCAAUAAUUUUUUGAAUAUGAUUUGAGUGACACAUGUCGAGAUGUAAUUGGUUGUGGAAAUUUUUGAUAGGAUUUUUAUCUGCGUGACACUUUUUAUCUUCAACUUCCAAUGUCCAUAAAUAGGGUGGAUAUUGGCCUAUAAUUCACACACCUUCAACUUUGCCCUUUCCAAUAUCUUUUUCAAUUCAAGUUUGCAAUGAAUUCCAACUUUGGAUCCUCUUUUGGUUCCAACUGGGGGUCCUCUUCCAAUUCUGAAUUGGAAGAUAAAUACGCACAAAUGAGGUGAGAAGAUAAGGAGUCUGAUGAAGAAGAUGAAUCAUGGCACAAUACAUCAUAUAUAGCAGCCAUGGCUUGUCAGGCAACUGAAAAACAACCUCAAUAGGGUGGCUCUAUUGCUGGUCGCGGUUACAAGCCAUAAAAUAGAGAGAUGGCGCAUCAUAAUCUGAUGAACAACUACUUCAACCCCAACUCGGUGUACAACGACGAGGAUUUCAAACGUCGCUUCCGGAUGAGGCAUCAUGUCUUCGAGCGUGUACUUCAUGAUGUCCAACAUGUCAAUCCAUACUUUCAACAGAAACUAGACAGAGCAGGCAGCCCUGGUUUCUCACCUCAUUAGAAGGUUACCAUUGCACUCUGAAUGCUGGCCUAUGCCUCCCUAUGGAUGACACAUAUGGUAUGUCUGAGUCUACAUGCCUUGAUACUCUUGUUGAAUUCUAUCAAACAUUUGUUCAGCUUUACAAAGAGGAGUACCUCCGUUAACCAAAUCAAGCAUAUCUAGAGCGGCUCAUUCGCAAAGCUGAAGAUUGUGACUUUCCGGGCAUGAUAGGGUCACUAGAUUGCAUGCAUUGGCAGUGGAAGAAUUGUCUCACUAGAUGGCAAUGAGGCUGUAACAGAAGAUCGAGAAAACUAACAAUUGUGUUAGAAGUGGUUGUGCCAUUUGACACAUGGAUUUGGCAUGCUUUAUUUGGAGUCCCAGGAUCACAAAAUGAUAUUACAAUUCUUGGCUGUUCAUCCCUUUUCAAUAACCGGACGAAGGGUAAAUCACCUCAACUUGACUACUACGUUAAUUGGUGUCAAUACAAUAUGGGGUAUUACUUGGCAUAUGACAUCUACCCAAAGUGGGCGACACUUGUCCUAGCAAUUGCAAACCCUGCGAAUGAUGCCGAAAAGUGGUUUACCUUACACCAAGAGGCAUACCGAAAAGAUGUUGAAAGAGCUUUCAGUAUUCUACAAGCACGAUGGAAGAUCAUUAAGGAACCAAUAGGAGGUGGAGUUAAGAAAAUUUGGAAUCCAUCAUGAUGUCUUGCAUCAUAUUACAUAGCAUGAUUGUGGAGGAUGAGCGAAAGGGUAUAUUAAUGGAGAGUCUGGUGACGACCAAGAUGAUCCAAAUAGGUCAAGAAGGCUUUGUGCAAAAAUAUAUGAUGGGCCUAAUUUGCAUUUGAAUCCAAGAACUGGUAAUAUCUCUUUAAAUGAGUACAUGAGGGGCCAUAGGAUGAUACGUUCCCGUGCCACAAACAAGUACCUACAACAGAAUCUUGUUGCACAUAUUUGGGCCAAAAGAAGCAUGGAGUAGGUGUUUAAGUAUUAUGUUGUUAAAUGUUUUUAAAAAUGUUGUUUAAGUUUCAUGUUGUUAAAUGUUUUUUUUAUGUUGUUUAAUGUUACUUAAUGUUAUUUAAUGUUGCUUAAUAUUGUUUACUAUUGUUUCAUGUUACUUAAUGUUAUUUAAUGGCUUAGGAAGUUAUAGGGAAAAAAAUUUUGAAAAAAAAAAUGUAAAAAAAAAAACAAUCAAAUAUAACAGCUAGCUGACAUCAGCAACUAGCCGUUGGUUUCAAACAUUUGGCCCACCCUGGGGCUGGCUAGGUUGGGCCAGCCGGUUGGCCAUUAUCUCUGUUUUUGGCCUGGUGGGACCCACGUGCCAUUCUGCCUAGCCCUUGCUUGGAGUGGUUUUUGUGACAUUUCGAGUUAUUUUCAAUCCUAUGACCCUUUGACCAGAUCGAUUGGAGAUGACCUUAAUUUCGUGAGUGCAUUUUUGCUCACCACCAUUUAUGUGGUGUAUGCUUACCAUCCUAUUUAUCACCGUUAGAUGAAUUUGAAUUUUGAGAUUUGUGCUUAUCCACGACAUGAAUCUCGAAAUUCAAACUCAUUUAACGGUGAUAAAUAGGGUGGUGAACAUACACCACACUAAAUGGUGAUGAGCAAAAAUGCUCCCUAAUUUCGUGGUAGGGAAGGAGUCUUUGAGGGUGGAUUUCUAGGCUAGCUAGAAAAAGUGGGCCUGCAUGUUAUAACUUAGGAACAAGGUAACCCAUCAAUGCUUGAUUUUAUUUAAAUAAUAAUUACAAAGUUAGUUCACCGCCUUAUAAUAAGUCAAAGGGAUGUGAUAUCCACACACAAUUUUUUACUUCUCUCACACCUUUUUAGUUUUUCGGCUGUCCGAUUGGAUGAAUUGAAAAAAAAUCAAUGGACAUAAAUUAACAAGGGGUGUGUGAGAAGUAAAAAAAGGUGUGUGGAUAGCACACCCCUAAGCAAAAUCUUUCUUAAUCGAAAUCGAAGGGUAAUUUAGAGCAAUCCAGCUUUUGUUGUUGGGAAAUGACAACCAAACAAUUUUCUUUAUCCUCCUAUACAUCCUUUUUAAUGUUGUUCAUGUUUUUCGUUUGAUUUUAUUUAAAGAGAGGGAAGAAAAAAUUAGCGUGUAGUUAUCAAAUUUUUUUAUAUAACUAAUUAUUAUGAGGCCAGUAUUAACUCAGCCCCAACACUAUAUUGGUCUAAAAUUUAACCACCAAAGUUGAAUAUUAAGUUGUGUAAUUAGUCCAACUUAAGUUCAAUGCUAUUAGUAAUGAACUAUCUGCUUUUAUAUUCUACAUUGUGAUAUUUUUUUUAUGACAUUCAUGAUAUAUAUCAAGCCACACAACCACAACAUUAUUGAUACCCUUCCAUCUCAAAACACGCAUUCCCCGUAAUCAAACCUCUACAUUUAUUGUAAUUACAAUACGCUCAUUUGGGAAUAAUUUUAUUGGGCAUGGGAUGGGUGGCUAGAGCAUUGUUCAAAUGGUUCAACCUCAACAAGAUAUUCAGUAAGAUUGCUUGAUUACAAAGGGCCCACCAUUUCACAAGUUUUUGUCAUGCACUCAGAAGGUUAACUGAUUUUUUUUAUAUAAAUGAUAAAAUAAUUACACUAAAUUCAUAAAAUAUGAGAAAAAAAUAUUCGAACUUGGUUGUAAAGGGUGGAGCACAUUGCUCUUUUAUUUUAUUCACGUGGUGCAAAUUUUGUGUCCACCUCAACACAAACAUGGGCAUACGCAUGCGAAGUAAGCAAAAAGUAACUGGCGAAAGCAAUACUUUAUACUAAUCCACACCAAAUGGAGGGGAAAAAGUUUGAACUCAAGACAUAGUAGAUUAAAAAAGAACACCCUAACCACUAGAGAGAUCCACCACUUGAGCUACCUUAAUUGGAGAGGUCCCGAAAUUCAAACUCCUGGUUCUCAAUGAGUAGACAGUGUUAUACAAGAAUGCAAGAAGUCUGGAUGUGUAAAAACUUCUGAACAGGGGCUUCCACUUCUUCAACCCAGUGUUGUUAUUUGUCACAUUUUUUUAUAGGACUAGUUGUUCAAGUAGGCCCAGUAUAUUCUCCAUCAAGGGUUUUUGCUGGGCUACAUAAAGCUUGGGCUCAUACAGUGGGUAAAUGUCCCCACUGUCAAUUCUCUCUCUUUCUCUUCCACUUCUUCAACCCAGUGUUGUUAUUUGUCACAUUUUUUUAUAGGACUAGUUGUUCAAGUAGGCCCAGUAUAUUCUCCAUCAAGGGUUUUUGCUGGGCUACAUAAAGCUUGGGCUCAUACAGUGGGUAAAUGUCCCCACUGUCAAUUCUCUCUCUCUCUCUCUCUCUCUCUCUCUCUUUUGGUUCAAACACUGUGAAUUUUCUCUAGUGCACAUCAAAAUAGUACAUUUAAGUUGCACAUCUGAACAAAUUGUUAGAUCCUGUUAGGUUAAAAUGGUAUAAUGACUCUUAUUUAAAUAUGUGACUUGAAUGUGCAUGUAGACAUGUAAAUUUCGUUGCAUACAAAUGAUGCAUCACAAAGCUUCAUGUGGCAUAUGACUCAUCACAAAUGGACAAAUCAUCAAUGACAUAUGGCAUAAAUCAAGCAAGGGAAGUAUAAAACAUUCCCAAAAUUUGGCAAAAGGUUCUAAAGUGAUCCUAAAACUAGAAAGAAAGCUAAGGCAUCUUCACAAAACAAGCAAGAAUUGAAGAUUGUUCACAAAAUAGGCAAUAAAGCCUCUAAAUUUCGGCCAAGGGGAGUAAAGGUGGCUGAAAUUAAGACACAAAAUAUGCCUAAAUUAAAUCAUGGACGAAUCAAGACACAAAUCAAAGCUAAAUCCAUCCAAAGGCAAGCUUUGAGAAGUCUAUAAAUACAAGGUCCUCCCAUAAGCAUAGGGUCGAAAAUUACACAUUGAGGAGAACCUCUGCCAAAUCUUUGAAGACUAAUACGCUGCCAAAGCUCUUUUCGAAGAACUCAUAACCAAAGUUAAAGCUUUUUUUCGACCAAAAGCCGAAGCACUCUCUUGAAGAAUCAACAAGCACUUGUGCCGAUUCUUUCAAGACUUUGUUACAAUCUCAAAACUUGUAAUAACGUUCGAUUCAAGAUCAAGUCGUCAAGGCCCUUGAAUCAACGAAAUCUCAUAUCUACACCAUCUUUGCUACAGCUUUGCGGUGAAGACUAACGAAGCAUUGUUUCAAGCUCAAAACUUAAAGCAAUUGUUCAAUCGUUCAUCCGAGAUCAAGUCAUUGCGACCCUUGGAUCAACAACCUACGCAUCUACAUCAAAUUUGAAGACUGAAUUGGAGGAAAAUUGUAAACAAAGAUUGUAACCUACAAAUUCAAAUUAAUACAAAUCUACUUUGUACACGUGGUUCUCAUUUCAUUCAUUACAGAAUUUUCGUGUUUACAAUGUACUUUUGAUGUGCACUAGAAAAUGACAUCCGCACUAACUUAAGUGCCUACCGCCUUAUUUAUUAUUGUUUAAAAAUUUAAAUUAGUAGAGAAUUGCUACUAGUCAAAGGGAUCCACACCCGCUCUGGCUCUAUUGUAGAACACAAGAACGCGGGACUUAGGCCAUCUCCAACCGACCCACCCAAAGAGUCAUAGGGCUAGCAAUAGCUCAAAAUGACACAAAAAUCGUCUCUAACUGAGGGCUAGGCCAAAGGGCUUGUGGGACCCACUGGGCCAAAACCACCAAAUCAGGCCAACGAGCUUGGCAUUUCUAGCUAACCAGCCAGCUCGAUGAGCCCAGCCAACUUUUUUCUUUUUUGGACAAUUUUUUUUUAAAUUUCUAAUUUUUUUCAUACACCAUUUCUCACAUACUUUUCACCAUUCCAUACUAUCUCACUUCAUUUUAUUUCAAUUCUUCACAUUCUAUUCUCUUCCAAUAAUAUUUCCUUUAAUUUUUUCAACAAUUUUCAAAUGGCCACCUCUUUCAAUAAUUUUCCAAUAUGUCCGAAAAUCUUAUUUUAAUAUGGUAGUUAAUUUAAUUAACUAUAUUAAUUCAAUAAAAAUAGUAAAUUAUGUUUGGCCUAUGGCCCCUCGGUUGGAGAUGGUUUUUUGUUAAAGGGCUAUGUCACAGCUCGUCCCGGAUAUGUUUAUUAUUUUACCCUUGACGGCGUGAAAUUACUUAAAUGCAUUGGACGUUUUGAGUUGUGUGGUGUGGUUUAGACUUGCGUGGUGGACCAAUAUGCUAAGUUCUAAUUAUUUUAGACCAAUCCUUUUUAUUCCUAAGUAUUUGGAACUAAAGGAAUUUGUUUGUGUUGUUUGGUAGCCAAUUAGGACCACAUACAUCCAUACACACACAAAAACACAACCCGUUGACCCUCCCUCUCCCUCUCUCCUCCCUCUCUCGGAUUUCUACCAUCGUCCGUACCAUUGUACGGACAAUCUUUGACCCAACAUGUUUCUUCACGGAUCGACGUUAAAAAGGUAAUAUUCUUGUUCCCUACAAGCUCUUGAGUUCAUUCGUACCAUCUUUAGGACUUGAAAACUUCGAAAACCCGAGAAAUUGAGAUCCUAGUUUUGAGGUACUAUUCAUGUAGUCGUAAUUAUGGAUGUUUCAGGAAAAUUUAAGCUUGUAGGAAGCUUUAGAAUGUCCUUAAGAAGCUCGGAGAAGAAAAACCAAGUAUUUUGGACGUCGGGAAGUCGAGUUUGACGAGUUGUAAGUUUUGUUCAGAUUAUCGAGUUUUCUUCAUCGAGAUUCCGUGGAUUUCAAGGUUUGAAAUUGGUAAGGUUUUGUUCUUCUAGUUGCAAGCUUCAUUUUGGGACAAAUUUGAGGUAAUUCAGUUAAGAAAUGACUAAAAUAUCAAGGUUUUUCGAAUUUCCAGUUUUCCAGCGACGGCAACGGUCAUCGGAGUCGAAGGAAGAAGACGAGCGAAUAUUCCAUCAACUUUGACGGAAUAUUCUAACAGCGUCAGGUUAGUUUUAACGGUAUAUGUUAUUAUUUAAUGGAAUAUUCCCUAACACCGUUAGGAUUACCGUCAGUGUGCCUGGCACAUGCUCGUGCGUGGGCAGCGUCUGGACGUACCUUGGCCAGCGAGUGACGGCGCGUGGGUGGUCAUAAAUUUUUCUAAAAAUAUUGGGAUGUUUGUGAGGUUGUGUGAUGCGUGAAUUACUUGACACACAAAUUAAACCCUCUUUUUGACAAUUGUAGUAUAGAUGUAAGUAGGGUAUCGUUCUAGGCCGGGGAUUAGGAGGGAUUGCUAAUCUAUUAAAUUAACUUAAAAAUAUUAAAUAAGACUCAAGGACACAAAACUAGGCUAAAAACUCUAAUAACUCGAAACACACUUAAAAUGACUCAAAAUAAUGAAAACAAUUAAAUUAAACACUAGGAACUGAAAUGGACGGAAAUUAAAUUAAAAGACUAACAAUAAAGAAAACUAAAUAAAUAAUAUAAUUUAAUAAUGGAUGGGUGUUUGGUUUUGAUGAAAAGUAAAUUAAACUUAAUUAAAUUACAGAAUUGACAAAAACAUAAAAUUAAGGUAAAAUGAUAAAUGACGGACUAGCUAGAGGGUUUUUCUCCACACAUGACACAUAUGCAACCUAAAUUGAUUUUCAAUUGUUCUUUCAAUAAGUUGUGAAUUUCAACACUUCAGAUUAACCGUGAAUAGCACUUUUUUAAUCUUCAAGUUUUCCUUAAGUUAUUGAAUUGGACGGGAAAACGCAUACAACAAUUCAAAACAUUCUUCAAAAGUCCCCUACGUGAAAAGCACAAUAGAGAUACAAUCAAAGAUCAUUAAACUUUGUGAAAACUAUAAGCAUUGACGAGGCAUUCGUAACUAUGAAAAGCAUGAUACUCUUGCCAAGAAUUUACUUAACGUGAUUGUGACUAGCAACCUUUACUACUUGUGAAAAUAAGUUCAUAACGAUUAGGUGAAAUUCACUUAUAUUCUAGCAUCAAAUUCAUGCAUGUAAAUUAAGCGUGCACUCUCAACCAACAUACACAAAUCAGUUUUUAUACGAACGGAUAAGUAAAUUGAAAUCACAACUUAUGAAAUCACAACCGAAGGUAAUCAAUUCAUAUUACAAAUAUAUUCAUGGCUUUGAAUUAACCUCUAGCCAAAAUAAAUUUAAUUACACAUUAUUAAAACAAAAAUAAAAUAGAAGUUUGAAAAGAUUAAACCGAAAGAAGGUGAUCUGUUGCUUUCGUGCCCACGCUGCCAAGGGUAGCUUUCUGUGCCGUUGGUUUCUCGUUCCUGCGCCUGCCGUUCUCUCCCCUCGCGCUGAUUUCUUCUCGCUGACCCCGUGCUGCCCAAGGCAGCCUCCUUAUUUCUCUCUUUCCUGCGUCUCUGCGAGCUGCCCAAAGGGCAGCCCCUUUCUCCCGCUCCCCAGACCCCCCUGUCUUCUGACCUCUUUCCCUCCUUUUAUUAUUUUCCUCCCUCCACCAAAAAUGAAGCUCGAGCUGCCUACCUCGACAACCAAGCAGGUACUUCUUGAUUUUAUUCUUGCAUCAAUUCUGACCGUCCCUUUUCUCCACGUCAGCCCCCACCUGCUUUCACGUUUCUGCCUUGCUAUCUUUCUUUCCUUUAUUUUAUUUGUUUCUCUUUUUCUUUCCUGUUUUCACUUCAUAUUUUUAUUUCCAUCCCAUCUGCUGACCAGCUGCAAAGCAGCUUUUCACGCCUAGCUUUGGACCUGCCACUUAUUCCCUUUGCAGUCUGUCCGUCCCACGUUUUUCUAUUUAAUUUCUCAGUGCUUUCCACUUUCUUCUCCUACAAACACAAUAAAUCAAAAUAAACCAAAAUAAAACCCAAUCCAAAAAUAAAACCAAUAUUCUUUCUGUUUAUUAUUUAAAACUCAUUUGUGCUAUUUUUAUUUUCUUUGCAUAACAAAUCCUAAAAACAUAAAAAUAACGUAAAUAGAUUAAAAAUAUAAGGAACUAACUAAGAAAAGAUGAGUGAAUUCGAAGUAAAAAUAUAUAUAAAUAUCAUCCGAUCAAAUACCCCCACACUUAACUUUUGCUAGUCCUCGAGCAAAACAAAGAAAACAAGAACAAGAAGUAACAAGAAAAACAUUAGUUUCUCCCUAUCUGACCCUCAUAGAAUUUCAUUUAAGAAAACAAAUCAUCAAGAACCAUAGCUAGCAUCAAGGAACUAAUCCAAGUUCAUCUUCCUUAUUCAAAUAUUAGCAGUAGUCUUCAAAUCAUCCUUGAAGUGUAGUGUGUGAGAUAGCCAUGCUAAUGCAAUUUCAAGUUUUUAUUUUUAAAAUCAUCAUAUGCAAACUAGUGACCUUCUCAUGGGAUAUGCACUCAAUCACACAUGUGUUUAGUUUUAAUGUGUUUCGCUCAAAGAAACAAAUGUGAAAUUUCUACCAUAAGCUUGCAUAAAGAUCACUUCUCCUCAGUCAUAAUUGCAAAACUUAAAUCAAGAGGACUUUUAUUGGAUGUAAUGAGGCUUGGGGAUAGGGUUAUUGAAAUGAAAGAAUAGGAAAACACAAGUUCCAAGCUAUAUUGCAAGCAAUUCUUUUGUUUAGAUUUAUAAGAACUCAAUUUUUCCAGCGAUUCUUCUAGCACCUCCAACCAUACCCUUAAACUGAAACUUUUAAAAAAAACUUUUUUUUUCUUUUUUUUUCUUCUUUUUUUUUUUUUUUUUUUUUUUUUUUUUUUUUUUAAUACAAACAUGAAAUACCCCUACACUUAAUCUUUUGCUAAACAUCUUCACAGUACUUCACAAACGUUUCUCAUAAAACAAUCUCACAUUGCUCACUAGCUUGCUUGGAAAGGGUAAGGAAAAAUGUUUCAGGUAUAAGGGUAGACAUAUCUGGUGAUAAGAAAUAAAAGGCUCAACAUACAUGGCUCAAAUUGGCAAUCUAAUGAUAUCAUUUUUCUUUGGGAAACAUGGUUAUUUGGGCCAUAGUGGUAAACCUAAUGCCUCUAUCAUUUCCAAGUUUAUGCAAUCAAUGACAAACAUUUCGAAAGAUCGUUACGCAAGUUCUAGAGAUGUAUCUCACAUAAGUUCAUCACACAUGAAAAAAUAGGAGUGUAUGAAAAAUGCACACACUUUCAAUAGGCUCAAAAACUCACAUAGGAUGUAUAUGGUCACUAAAUUCACAUAUGAAGCUUUAAGUCAUACUUUAGUUUCACAUUAACAAGGCUAUGUGCAUUUGGUUUUUCAAAGAUGGUCAAACAUGUACAAAACUAACAAGAGAAUAAGGAAUUUCACAAAACACAUGUUAACUAAGUUCUUGAUGAUCAUGGUUCGAAUUUGAUCCAAUUAUAUCAUUGGGUCGGGAAACUAACAAAAAACUAAUUCAAAACAAUAAGGGAAACAAGACAAUAUUUUUGGAUUUUUUAAAUUUUCCGAUUUUUUUAUUUUUUUUUAUUUAUUUUUUUUUAUUUUUUAUUUUUUAAGAAAACAAAAACUAACAACACAUAAACAAAUGAAAUUCUAGAGAUUUCUACCCCCACACUUAAACUUGACAUUGUCCCCAAUGUCAGAAAACACUAUAAUGCAAAUAAAAAAAAUAAAAUAAAAUAAAUAAAUAAUAAGAAACAAAAUAACGCAAUUGGACUGAAAACUUCCCUAAUUUGCAGUAAAAUCAAGCGAUGACCCCCAAGCUAAAAUUCUGCAAUCAACUUCAAGGGUGGAAAUAACCAAAAGUUCCUGCAAAGAAAAGAAAUAAUUCAGUUAAGUACGCAAGAAAAUUAAUUAAAAAAAAAAAUUGCAAACGAAAAAUUGAAAAUUACGAUAAAAGAUAAUGAAUAAAACUAAUAAGUAAUCAUUGGUCGUGCUUGUUGACUUUCCACAGCUUUCCUCUUGAACAGGGUGACACUUAGCUUUUCACUUGCAAGUGAUGAUUUUAUGAUAUUGUACGGCGAAGCUUUGCUCUUUGGUUAUGUUGCAGUUCCUUAUUUGUUCUCCAAGCAGAUGUGGCAGCUUCUCUAGUUCCUCAGUUCGGACUCCUUCCGCUGGGAUGAUUGUGCAAGCUGCAUUCUUCUCUGCUUGUUUCUUCUGCACAACGGGCAGGCACGAGGGAAAGGUGUUGGUCCUUAUUUCUUUCUUCAAUCUUUCCAAGUGCCCACCUCUUGCUUUCUUUCUCCUUGUCCCUAGCUGAAUUGUCUCCACAUGCUUCGAGGUAUCAUUUUCACUUCCCUUACUGUCCCCCAGGCAGAUGUGGUAGACGAAGAGAAAGCAUAAAAAUGAUGAAGAUGAGUACUCGAGAGCAAGGCUAGGUAAGCAAUCAGGAAAGGGUUCCAGGCAGUUGGCUCCAGAUUGGAAGAUUGAUACCAAAUGCUGGCUGAUUGCUCUCUUUCUCCUUGUCGGAAAACAAAGACAAGGAGAAGGACAUGGAGAAAGCAUGAUAUGAGAUACUCUUGCUUUCAACCUUUAUGAUAUGAAAUACUUUUGCUUUGAAUGGGUUGUUCGCAGGAGUAUCCCAAGGAAUGAGGAACACAGAGUGACUCGAGAGGAUUAUUUGGGAAUGCAUUUUCGGAGAUGAAGAGGUGUUGAGAGGGUGUGCUGAGAGAGUGUGCUUUUGCUGUGGAAGGCGAAGGUAGAAACUUAUAGGACUUGCCUUCACAACCGGAACUGUUCUCUCACUCAUUGUCGGCAGCCGGUGGAUGGAUGAAUAGUACAAAUUACGCGCUUUUUGACAAAGCUGCCCGUAAUUUCCGCAAAGCAGAUUCCUCAUUGAUAUCUGGAAUCGGCGCUUCGAGCUCUGAGCAUCGUCGAUUGUAGAGGUAGCAUGUGACACGUGCGGAUAAAUCUGGAAAAGAAGAUUUGCCCGUGGGUUGAAGCCCAGCUUUUGAGAAAGCUAGCGUGUCUUUAACUGUUGAAUUUCCCUCUUCGAUUUCUGAAUUGGUGCUUCGACAAACUGCCCGAGAUUUCCGCAAAGCAAUUCGCGUGUGACAAGUGACGACACGUCUGGACAAUUGAUCCUUUGAAAUCCGGGGUUCGGCUCGUGGUUUCUGAGCAAGCCCAGCCUUUAAGAAAUGAAACCUCUUUUGAGAAAAGAAUCCGGCUUUUGAGAACGGAAACUCCUCUUUUGAGAAAAGAAUCCGGCUUUUGAGAAAUGAGCCCCGACUCUUCGAUUUGCGAGAGGACGCUUCUCUGAGGAGCGCCUCUUUGAUUUCUUCUUUUUAUAGAGGCGUUAAUUUUGUUCCACAACACACUUGAGUACCCUCCUGUAAACACUCCCUUCUUGCACUUGUUUAAUCUUGAUCAUUCCGACUCUCUUCUUUCUUUACCACCUCUGAAAAAUGUCUGGCCCUUCUGAUCGUCGUUUUGACUUGAACAUUGGUGAAGAGGCAGCUCCGCCUUCACCAGACAACAUAUGGCGGCCAUCCUUCAUAUCCCCUACCGGUCCCCUUACCGUGGGGGAUUCGGUGAUAAAAAAUGAUAUAUGACAGCUGCGCGGUGGUGGCCCGAAACCUUGUCACUCCCAGAGAUAACAGACUGCUCGCAAGGCGGUCUGAUGAAUUGGCGGUCAAGGAGUCUCUGGCUCUCAGUGUGCAGUGUGCGGGUUCCGUAUCCAACAUGGCCCAACGCCUAUAUGCCCGAACCCGUCACGUUGAAUCCUUGGUGGCUGAAAUACAGUGUCUCAAGCAAGAGAUUAAAGGGCUUAAGCAUGAGAAUAAGGAAUUGCACAAGCUCGCACACAGCUAUGCCACCAGCAUGAAGAGGAAGAUUGACCAGAUGCAGGACACCGAUGGUCAAAUUUUACUUGAUCAUCGGAGGUUUGUGGGUUUGUUCCAACAACAUCUGCCUUCGUCUUCUGGAGCGGCACCGCGUAGUGAAGCUCCAACUGAUCAACCUCUGCUGCCUCCUCCUUCUGUGGCCCCGCCGACUGCUGAAGCCCCGCCCACUACUGAAGCACCACCCGACCAAUGAAUACUAUUAGUUUACAUUAUUGUAAAAUAUUGCAUUUUUUUUUUUUAUGUAUUUUUUUUUUUAAUAAUUUUUUAUUUAUUUAUUUAUUUAUUUUUUUUUAUGUUUAUUUUUUUUUUCAUUAAUUUUAAAUUUUAUCUUUUUUUUUUCUUUUUAAAUGUAAAUUAAUGUAAAGAGACUUUGGUUAACCUUCCCCCACACUUAAACUAAAUAACACAAACACAAACUCACAGAAAUCAACCAAAUAACACAACUAACUAAACAAAACAAAAUGAAAGCAGUAAAGAUAAGGGUGGAAGAAUGCAAAGCUGAUUGGGUUAGUGAUUCCAAAGUCUCCCUUCGUUGAAUGCUUGGGUUGCCUCCCAAGAAGCGCUUGAUUUAACGUCUUUAGCCGGACGCAUCUUUCCUUUAAAUUUCCCUCAGCUCCAUUUGUGCCUAAAAUCAAAGAAAGAAAAAUAAAUCAAAUAUCAAAAGUAAAAUACACAAACACCAAUAUAAACAUAAACAAAAACAAAAAUAAAAGGAUUAGCAAAGUUACUAAUCCCCGGCAACGGCGCCAAAAUUUGAUGCGUGAAUUACUUGACACACAAAUUAAACCCUCUUUUUGACAAUUGUAGUAUAGAUGUAAGUAGGGUAUCGUUCUAGGCCGGGGAUUAGGAGGGAUUGCUAAUCUAUUAAAUUAACUUAAAAAUAUUAAAUAAGACUCAAGGACACAAAACUAGGCUAAAAACUAAUAACUCGAAACACACUUAAAAUGACUCAAAAUAAUGAAAACAAUUAAAUUAAACACUAGGAACUGAAAUGGACGGAAAUUAAAUUAAAAGACUAACAAUAAAGAAAACUAAAUAAAUAAUAUAAUUUAAUAAUGGAUGGGUGUUUGGUUUUGAUGAAAAGUAAAUUAAACUUAAUUAAAUUACAGAAUUGACAAAAAAUAAAAUUAAGGUAAAAUGAUAAAUGACGGACUAGCUAGAGGGUUUUUCUCCACACAUGACACAUAUGCAACCUAAAUUGAUUUUCAAUUGUUCUUUCAAUAAGUUGUGAAUUUCAACACUUCAGAUUAACCGUGAAUAGCACUUUUUUAAUCUUCAAGUUUUCCUUAAGUUAUUGAAUUGGACGGGAAAACGCAUACAACAAUUCAAAACAUUCUUCAAAAGUCCCCUACGUGAAAAGCACAAUAGAGAUACAAUCAAAGAUCAUUAAACUUUGUGAAAACUAUAAGCAUUGACGAGGCAUUCGUAACUAUGAAAAGCAUGAUACUCUUGCCAAGAAUUUACUUAACGUGAUUGUGACUAGCAACCUUUACUACUUGUGAAAAUAAGUUCAUAACGAUUAGGUGAAAUUCACUUAUAUUCUAGCAUCAAAUUCAUGCAUGUAAAUUAAGCGUGCACUCUCAACCAACAUACACAAAUCAGUUUUUAUACGAACGGAUAAGUAAAUUGAAAUCACAACUUAUGAAAUCACAACCGAAGGUAAUCAAUUCAUAUUACAAAUAUAUUCAUGGCUUUGAAUUAACCUCUAGCCAAAAUAAAUUUAAUUACACAUUAUUAAAACAAAAAUAAAAUAGAAGUUUGAAAAGAUUAAACCGAAAGAAGGUGAUCUGUUGCUUUCGUGCCCACGCUGCCAAGGGUAGCUUUCUGUGCCGUUGGUUUCUCGUUCCUGCGCCUGCCGUUCUCUCCCUCGCGCUGAUUUCUUCUCGCUGACCCCGUGCUGCCCAAGGCAGCCUCCUUAUUUCUCUCUUUCCUGCGUCUCUGCGAGCUGCCCAAAGGGCAGCCCCUUUCUCCCGCUCCCCAGACCCCCCUGUCUUCUGACCUCUUUCCCUCCUUUUAUUAUUUUCCUCCCUCCACCAAAAAUGAAGCUCGAGCUGCCUACCUCGACAACCAAGCAGGUACUUCUUGAUUUUAUUCUUGCAUCAAUUCUGACCGUCCCUUUUCUCCACGUCAGCCCCCACCUGCUUUCACGUUUCUGCCUUGCUAUCUUUCUUUCCUUUAUUUUAUUUGUUUCUCUUUUUCUUUCCUGUUUUCACUUCAUAUUUUUAUUCCAUCCCAUCUGCUGACCAGCUGCAAAGCAGCUUUCACGCCUAGCUUUGGACCUGCCACUUAUUCCCUUUGCAGUCUGUCCGUCCCACGUUUUUCUAUUUAAUUUCUCAGUGCUUUCCACUUUCUUCUCCUACAAACACAAUAAAUCAAAAUAAACCAAAAUAAAACCCAAUCCAAAAUAAAACCAAUAUUCUUUCUGUUUAUUAUUUAAAACUCAUUUGUGCUAUUUUUAUUUUCUUUGCAUAACAAAUCCUAAAAACAUAAAAAUAACGUAAAUAGAUUAAAAAUAUAAGGAACUAACUAAGAAAAGAUGAGUGAAUUUGAAGUAAAAAUAUAUAUAAAUAUCAUCCGAUCAUUGUGUAGAUCACGUUGGUAUAUUCAAACAUCCCAUUGGAGCAAUGUCUGAGAAGUUAUUAACUAGUUUUGUCUAUGUGCUUUAAUUAAUGUAUUUAUAGUUAUUUCACAUAUAGGGGAGACCUAUCCCGAGGACGAGGGCAGUCAAGGGCAGCUUAGGGGCUACGACCCUUCGACUUACCAAUGAGUGGACUUUUGGUUUUCAGUAUAUAUGUAUAUGCUUGAUAUCUUUCCCAGAAAAUGCAUGUAAAUGAGUUAUGAUUUAAAUUGCCCUGCCAAAUGUUUUACAUUUAGAAUAUGCAUAUGAUGUUUGCAUAUAUAUAUAAUUGUGGUGCUAUGGACGCUCAGGUAAGUCCUAGGUGAGUUUAUGAAUUGCAAAUGUGAAUAACGGUUGUGAGUAAUUGAAAGACAUUGAGCUCAUAAACCUAGACCCCAAUGUUAGUGAUUUAGCUAGAGAUAUGGCAAGCCUGUAUAUGAUGUCACCUCUUGCACCAUAUGCUCACAUUGGAUCCAAUUUAGGUGCACAGUCUUGUCGUACCGACCACUAUAGGUGGUUCUGACUCGUUGGUGAUUAGCGAUUUAUCGCAUAACUAUCAUGAGAGUGUAGCAUUGAGCAUAACUAUAUUACACCCAGUUUUUUCGUACAGACCAUUACAGGUGGUUUUGACUCGUGUGCAGAUGUAGUGCCAUACAGGUCACCUUCUGUGACUCCGGCUAGAUUUGAUCAAUGAGCUUAUUUUCACCUGAGUUACUCAUUCUGUUAUAUAUUUGUCAAGGCAUACUUAUGAACAUGGAUACGUGAAGCAUAAAUUGAUAUACAUAUAUAUAUUCAUUUAUAUUCCAUCUGAGGGAAAAUUAUACAUGUUUUACGGCGAGAGGUUAGAGCAUUUGAUAAAUGAAAUGGUUUUGAAAAGCUUUGGUUUUGCCCACUCACACUUUCUGUUUUGCACCCCUCUAGGUUUUAGAUAAGCUUGCAAAGUUGGUGGCUCAUAAGGAUUGAUUGGAGGUUCUGAUAGACUAUCACAAAUGUAGGGCAUCUUUGGGUGUCAUUUAAUUAGUACUUGUUUUCUGAACUGAACUUAGGCUACUUAUGCUCUUGUUGUAUAUUCACACAUAUUCUAGCACUUGUCUUAACUAGUACUCUUAUGAGUUGGUUUUCAUUUAUUCGUAUUCUCUAUUAUCAUUAUUGCUUCUGCACUGUGUAUAUGGCUACGUCACCCUCAUGUGACGGCCAGCAUGCCCUGAUUCUGGUCGGGGUGUGUCAGUUUGGUAUCAGAGCCUAGGUUUAGUAGUCAUGUAUAGAUCGUGAAUAUUUUAAUCAUUAUGAUGUCUUCUAUCAGAACUAUGCCACCUCGUAGAGAGCGACAUCACUCAGUUGAACCUAGUUUCCCUGAUAUUGCUCAGUUAGGGGAAGCUAUAGCUAAUGCCAUUCAGUCUUCGCUAUGUCCUCCUCAAAGGAUACCUCUUGAAACCGUGUAUAAUCUGAAGCUAAUCAUUUUAUGGGGAAUGAAGGACAUGAAGGAGAGGAGAAAUGGAUCAAUCAUAUUGAGAAGACUUUUCGUGUACUGUAGAGUCAGGGGAAUCUUUCGCCUGAUAGGUGGGUUGAGACGACUACCUAGUUUUUGGGUUCGGAGCCUACAUCUUGGUGGAGACAAGAGUCCUAUCAGCUGACCCCAGAGGAAAUUGCGGACUAGGAAGUGUUUAACCAAUUGUUUCAGAAAAUUUUUAUUCCCCCUAAGUAUAUUGAUCACAAAAAACAAGAAUUUAGGCAUCUGAAACAAGGAAAGAUGACAACGAAUGAAUAUUAUAGGAGAUUCACUAACUUGUCUUGCUAUCAUCUGGAGGUUGUUGCUAAUCCAGUUGAGAUGCUCCGUCGUUUCAAGUUGGGUACUAAGAGGAAAUGGCGUUCUAUAGCGACCUCGACUCAUUGUGCCACUUACCAGAAGUUUUAUGAGAUUUUGUUAAGGAUUGAGGACUCAGAGAACAUGCCUAGUGAAAGUGAAGAAGAAGAAGAAAAGAACGGGAACCAGAGGCAAGAUGAUAAAGGUAAAGGUCAGUCUUCUCAAGGACCUCAUAAGACCUAGAGUUUUAAGAGGAGUGGAACUAGUUCCAACUCUUCUAGCGGAGGUUUUAGUGCCACUAGUCAGAUGAGACGUGGUAGAUUUUCAGGAGGUCCUAGAUUUCAGAGGCAGGGAGAUGUUGGAAGAGGAAGUGCUCAUUUAUGCCAUAAAUGUAAUAAUAGAUAUUUUGGGGAGUGUAGGAGAGGCAGCAGUGGAUGCUAUACUUGUGGACAGAUGGGGCAUAGGGUUGUACAUUGCCCUUAAAAUCAGCAGAGGCCUCAACAGCCUUCCUUACCACCACCUGCGCCGACCCAUCAAGUUUCAGGACCUAGUGGUUAUGCCCAGACUGGUCGUGGUGGUGCUUAUCAUUAUCAGGGCGACGCCACUCCUUAUGUUACAGGGCAAUAUCAGUAUCUGCAGGACCCUCAUUAUCAGGGUGGUUACCCACAGUAUCUUGGAGGUUCUAUGGCAUAUCAGCCACAUUCAGCAGAUGGAUUCUAGUGGUACCAGGGGGGACAGCCCCUGCAGAUAGACAUUGUUGCUAGCAGUGCAAGAUCUUCGAGACAAUUGGGUCAGCCAAGACAAAGACAAGGUAUUCAUGCUAACAGAAAUUGUGGUGGACGACAGCAAAAUCAAGGACGUAUCCACAAAAUGACACUACAGGAUGCUCAGAACAAUCUUGAUUUAAUCAUGGGUACGUUAAAUAUUCUUGGUCAUUUUGUUAGAGUAUUAAUGAAUUAUGGUGUUAUGCAUUAUGUUGUUUCUCUUACAUUUGCUCAAGUGAUGCAACCUCAUCCUACACUUCUAGGAUAUGAUUUAGAGUUUUCUAUGCCUAGAUGGGAAAGAUGUUAUGUUGAUCGGGUGUAUCCAGGAUGUCCAAUGAUGGUGGAGGAUGUUGUUAUGCCAGCUAACCUUAUUCUGUUAGACAUUGUUGAUUUUGAUGUGAUUUUAGGCACUGAUUGGUUACACUACAAUAGUGCCAAGAUAGAUUGCUACGGGAAAACGGUUACUUUCCAUCGUCUAGGAUUAUCUGAAGUUACUUUUGUGGGAGAUCGUAAUGGGGUGAGGCAUGGCGUUAUUUCUACUGUAAGAGCAAAAAGAUUGUUGUCGAAGGUUUGUCAGGGAUAUUUGGCUCAUGUGGUGUUGAAUAAUAAUGCUCCUAGUAGUGUAGAUGAUGUACGAGUAGUUAGACAUUUUCCGGAUGUGUUCCCUGAUGAUCUUCAUGGAUUGCCGCCAAACCGAAAUGUGGAGUUCACUAUUGAUUUACUCCCACGUACGGAUCCUAUAUCCUUAACUCCGUAUAGAAUGGCUCCUGUUGAAUUGAAGGAAUUCAAAGUCCAGUUGCAGGAAUUAGUCGAUAAAGGUUUUAUUCAGCCUAGUACUUCACCCUGGGGAGCUCCAAUUUUGUUUGUAAAGAAGAAAGAUAGGACUUUGAGGCUAUGUAUUGAUUAUAGGCAAUUGAAUCGGGUAACGAUUAAAAACCGUUAUCCAUUGCCGCGUAUAGAUGAUUUGUUUGAUCAACUUCGAGGUGCCUGUGUGUUUUCUAAGAUUGAUUUGAGGUCUGGUUAUUACCAAUUGAAGAUCAGCAAUGAGGAUGUCCCUAAGACUGCUUUCAGGACUUGAUAUGGUCAUUAUGAGUUUCUAGUAAUUCCAUUCGAAUUAACGAAUGCACUAGCAACUUUCAUGGAUUUGAUGAAUCGAGUAUUCCAGCCAUUUAUAGACAGAUUUGUCAUUGUUUUUAUUGGCGACAUUUUGGUAUACUCUAAGACUAAAGCAGAGCAUGUUCAACAUCUUACUUUGGUGUUGAAGAAAUUAAGGGAACAUCAAUUGUAUGCUAAGUUUAGCAAAUGUUAAUUCUGGUUGAAUCAAGUGGCAUUUUUGGGACAUGUCAUUUCUGCUCGAGGUAUUCAAGUGGAUUAUUAAAAAGCGGCAGCUGUGGAGAAUUAGGAGCAACCUCGAAUCGUCAUUGAGGUACAAAGUUUUCUUGGCCUAACAAGCUAUUAUAGACGGUUUGUUAAGGAUUUUUCAGUCAUUGCUUUGCCAUUGACGAGAUUGACUAGGAAAGAUGUUAAGUUUGAAUGGGAUGAUAAUUGUGAGUAAAGUUUUCAGCAGUUGAAGUAUUAUCUCACUCAUGCACCUGUUUUAGCACUCCCAGAUGAUAGUGGUAAUUUUGAGGUCUACAGUGAUGCUUCUUUGAAUGGCCAGGGUUGUGUAUUGAUGCAACAUGGUAAGGUAAUUGCUUAUCCUUCAAGACAGUUGAAAUCUCAUGAGAAGAAUUACCCUACUUGUGAUCUGGAGUUAGCGGCUAUCAUCUUUGCUUUGAAAAUUUAGAGACAUUAUCUUUAUGGUGAGAAAUGUAAGAUCUUCAGGAAUCAUAAGAUUCUUUAGUAUGUUUUUACUUAGAGGUAUCUUAAUCUUCGGCAGCGAAGGUGGAUGGAGUUGCUUAGUGAUUAUGAUUGCACGAUUGAGUAUCACCUUGGUUGUGUAAAUGCAGUGGCGGAUGCACUGAGUAGGAAGACUCUAGUUAGACUUAAUGCCAUCUAUGAUUGUCAUGUUCCUCUUCUUGAGAAUUUAAGGUCCACUGGAAUGGAGUUAGGAGUGGAAGAUCGAGAGGAAGCCUUACUUGCAAAUUUUCAAGUUAUGCCAAUUGUAAUUGAUCGUGUGCUCGAAGCCCAGAAGAAUGAUGAAGAGACCUAGGAAAUAAUUCAAGCAAGGAAUGAGGGGAAGAAGAAAGAUUUCAGAAUUUGAGAAACUGAUGGUAUGCUUAUGCAGGAGAGUAGAAUGUAUGUGCCAAAUAAUAUGGAAUUAAAGAAGGCAAUUCUUGAUGAAGCACAUAUUUCAGCUUAUGCAAUGCAUCCAGGAGGUACAAAGAUGUAUCAUACCAUUCGACCAUUUUAUUAUUGGCCUGGUAUGAAAAAAGAAAUUGCUGAAUAUAUGAGUAGGUGUGUCAUUUGCCAGCAGGUUAAAGCUGAAAAGAAUAAGCCGUUUGGGUUGAUGUAGCCACUUCCUAUUCCACAGUGGAAAUGGGAAAAUAUUACUAUAGAUUUUGUGUACAUGCUUUCUCGUACACAGAAUGGUUAUGAUGGCAUCUGGGUGAUAGUUGAUCGGCUUACUAAGACAACACAUUUUAUUUCUGUGAGGGAGAAGUAUUCUGUCAGCGGAUUAGUUGAAUUAUUUGUAUCGAAGAUCGUGAAGUACCAUGGAGUUCCAAUUAGUAUUAUCUCGGAUCGUGAUCCUAGAUUUACUUCCAAGUUUUGGAUAGCAUUUCAAGAAGUUCUUGGUUCGAGAUUAUUUUAUAGUACAACAUAUCAUCCUUAAACAGAUGGACAAUCAGAGAUGACCAUUCAGACAUUGGAGGAUAUGCUGAGAACUUCGAUGUUGCAGUUUGAUGACGCUUGGCAUAAAUGGUUGGAUUUAAUGGAAUUUGCCUACAACAAUAGCUUUCAUUCCAGUAUUGGUAUGUCACCUUUCGAGGCUCUUUAUGGUAGAUCUUGUUGCACACCCUUAUGUUGGUCAAAGAUGGGUGAAAGGGUUUUAGUGCGUCUUGAGAUAGUGGAAGAGACUACUCAGAAUAUUCAGGUGAUUAAGUCUAACCUGAAAGUGGCCCAGGAUCGACAAAAGAGUCUAGCAGACAGACAUGCCACUGACCAGAUGUAUAAUGUAGGUGAUUGGGUAUUUCUGAAGCUAUCACCAUGGAAAGGUGUUAUGUGGUUUGGAAAGAAAGGCAAGCUGAGUCCUAGAUACGUUGGACCAUAUAUGAUCAUCGAGCGAGUCGGUGAAGUUGCUUAUAGACUUGAGUUGCCUCCAGAGUUGUUCAAAGUGCACGAUGUUUUUCAUGUCUCUAUGCUUCGUCAUUAUGUUGCAGAUCCUUCACAUGUGAUUCCUCCUCAACCAUUGGAAAUUAAUUUGGAUUUGAUUUACGACGAGGAACUAGUGACUAUUUUGGAAUGGAAAGAUAAAGUUUUGAGAAAUAAAACCGUGCCCUUGGUGAAAGUUUUGUGGAGAAAUCACUCAGUGGAAGAGGCUACCUGGGAGACAGAGGACCGAAUGAGAGAGAUGUAUCCAUGAUUGUUUUAUGGUUAUUAGUGGAUGUAUUGUUGUGUAUGAAUUUGGAGGACGAAAUUUUUUAAGGUGGGUAGAUUGUCACAACCCGUCCCGGAUAUGUUUAUUAUUUUACCCUCGACGACAUGAAAUUACUUAAAUGCCUUGGACAUUUUGAGUUGUGUGGUGUGGUUUAGACUUGCGUGGUGGACCAAUAUGCUAAGUUCUAAUUAUUUUGGACCAAUCCUUUUUAUUCCUAAGUAUUUGGAACUAAAGGAAUUUGUUUGUGUUAUUUGGUAGGCAAUUAGGACCACACACAUAAAAACACAACCCGUUGAGACUCCCUCUCUCCUCCCUCUCCCGGAUUUUUGCCAUCGUCUGUACCAUUGUACGGACCAUCUUCGAACCAACCUGUUUCUUCACGGAUCAACGUUAAAAAGGUAAUAUUCUUGUUCCCUACAAGCUCCUGAGUCCAUUCGUACCAUUUUUAGGACUUGAAAAUUUCGAAAACCAGAGAAACCGAUAUCCCAGUUUUGAGGUAUUGUUCAUGUGGUCGUAAUUAUGGAUGUUUCAGGAAAUUUUAAGCUUGUCGGAAGCGUUAGAACGUCCUUACGAAGGUCGGAGAAGAAAAACUAAGUAAUUUGGACGUCGGGAAGUUGAGUUUAACGAGUUGUAAGUUUUGGCCGGAUUAUCGAGUUUUCUCCAUCGAGAUUCCGUGGAUUUCAAGCCUUGAAAUUGGUAAGGUUUUGUUCUUCUAGUUACAAGCUUCAUUUUGGGACAAAUUUGAGGUAAUUCGGUUAAGAAAUUAUUGAAAUAUCAAGGUUUUUCGAAUUUCCAGUUUUUCGAAGAUGGCAACGGUCAUCGGAGUCGAAGGAAGAAGACGAGCGAAUAUUCCAUCAACUUUGACAGAAUAUUCUAACGGUGUCAGGUUAGUUUUAACGGUAUAUGCUAUUAUUUAACGGAAUAUUCCCUAACGCCGUUAGGGUUACCGUCAAUGUACCUAGCAUGUCUGGUGUGCCUUGGCCGGCGUGUGACGACACGUGGGUGGUCGGAAAAUUUUUCUAAAAAUAUGGGGAUGUUCGUGAGGUUGUGUAGAUCACUUUGGUAUAUUCAAACAUCCCAUUUGAGCAAUGUAUGAGAAGUUAUUAACUAGUUUUGUCUAUGUGCUUUAAUUAACGUAUUUAUAGUUGUUUCGCAUAUAGGGGAGACCUAUUCUGAGGACGAGCGUAGUCAAGGGCGACUCUGGGGCAACGACCCUUCGAUAUACCAGUGAAUGGGCUUUUGGGUUUAAGUCUAUAUGUAUAUGCUUGAUACCUUUCCUAGAAAAUGCAUUUAAAUGAGUUAUGAUUUAAACUGCCAUGGCAAAUGUUUUACAUUUAGAAUAUGCAUAUGAUGUUUGCAUAUAUCUAUAAUUGUGGUGUUGUGGACGCUCAGGUAAGUCCCAUGUGAGUUUAUGAAUUUCGAAUGUGAAUAAUAGUUGUGAUUAAUUGAAAAACAUUGAGCUCAUAAACCUGCACCCCGGUGUUAGUGAUUUAGCUAGAGAUAUGAUAGGACUGUAUAUGAUGUCAUCUCUCGCACCAUAUGCUCACAUUGGAUCCAAUUUAGGUGCACAAUCUUGUCGUACAGACCACUAAGGGUGGUUCCGACUCGUAGGUAAUUAGCGAUUUAUCGCACAGCUAUCAUGAGAGUGUAGCAUUGAGCAUAACUAUAUUACACCCAGUCUUGUCGUACAGACCACUACAGGUGGUUCCGACUUGUGUGUAGAUGUAGUGCCGUACAGGUCACCUUCGAUGACUCCGGCUAGAUUUGAUCAAUGAGCUUAUUUUCAUCUGAGUUACUCAUUCUGUUAUAUAUUUGUCAUGGUAUACUUAUGAACAUGGAUACGUGAAGCAUAAAUUGAUAUACAUAUAUAUAUAUAUAUAUAUUCAUUUAUAUUCCAUUUCUUGGAAAAUUAUACAUGUUUUACGGCGAAGGGUUAGAGCAUUUGAUAAAUGAAAUGGUUUUGAAAAGCUUUGUUUUUUCCCACUCACACUUUCUGUUUUGCGCCCCUCCAGGUUUUUGAUAAGCUCGCUCGUUGGUGGCUCACGAGCAUUGAUUGGAGGUUCUGACAGACUAUCAAAAAAUGUAAGGCAUCUUUGGGUGUCGUUUAAUUAGUACUUGUUUUCUGGACUAAACUUGGGCUACUUAUGCUCUGAUUGUGUAUUCACACAUAUUCUAGCACUUGUCUUAACUAGUACUCUUAUGAGUUGGUUUUCAUUUAUUCGUAUUCUCUAUUAUCAUUAUUGAUUCUGCACUGUGCAUAUGGCUACGUCACCCUCACGUGACGGCCAGCAUGCCCUGAUUCGGGUUGGGGUGUGUCAGGCUAUAUUUGGCCUAUGGUUCUUUGGCCCCUCGGUUGGAGAUGGUAUAAAAUAUGGCAUGGCACUGUUCAUUAAAAUAUAAUUUCUCGUAGAGCUAUAAGGCUAAAUAUAGCCCUUUGACCCUUCAUCGGUUGGAGAUGUCCUUAGGCAGCCUUAAUCAACGUCCGUCUUUGGUGGUGUUGCAUGACCUUUGUGAGGGAAAAAUUUUGUCCUAGCCAAGAACAAGUAAGAACAUUUGAAUACACAUGCAAACUAUUAACACAUUAAAGUAGGCAUGCAUUCAAAAAACAAUUCAUAAAACCCAUGACUUUCAAAGCCUAGUAUAUGGUGAACCAAAAGACUCUUUAACAACAUUAAAGAGAAUGAAGAAUUUAGAGAUUCUUUACCCUUGAAGCUCAUCCUUGUUUACACAAGGGAUUCACCCAAGUGGAGGGCCUUCAAGUCACCUCCAAGCUCCUUGGAUCUUGCUUGUGAUUUCCUUCUCCUUUUGUGCUACUUUGGUCCUUGAGGAUGUGAGGAAAGGAUCUCCAAAACACCAAAGGUUUGGUGUCUCUAAGUCUCCACACCAAGGGUGAGGUGUGAAGAUGAAAAUGGAUGACUUAGAGAAGAAAAGAUUGCUAGAUUAAUCUCCUCUAAGUGGCCAGCCUCUUUGUAGAGAGAAAGAGAGAAAAUGUUUCACCUCUUUGCCUCAAAGAAAAACCCUAAUGAAAAUAAAGCUAUAAAGUUGCUUUUAUACUUCAUUACAAGUGAGUGGCAAACUUGUAAUUAAUCCAAGUUUGCAACAUUCACCCUAAUGGACGGCCUUCCCUUUGUUAUUGGGCUAAUUGCCCAUUUUGUUUUGGUUGUCAUACAACUUAAACAUAAUGGGCCUUGUGGACCAAAACGCUUUUGGGCCCCGAAGCCCAAAACUAACUUAAAAGCCCAAUACGAACAUUUCGUAUAAUUAAUUAACUAUUUAAUUAACCUUGACCAUUUUUCAAUCAAACCAUUUAAUUGCAUAUCCAUUUCAUUGAUUUCAUCACUUUCAUCCUUACUCGGUGUACGAUCCAUUAGGUUCCAUUUAGCGAGGUAGUGGGCGAUUGUUACUCUUAAUGAUUGAUUGUGAAUUGAAACCACAUUUCAAUUCUCCCUUAAAAUUAGUGUUUGCUAAUCUUUAGGGCUUCCACAAACCAUGAGUGACACCUAGCAGCAUGUCAUGGUUACCCAAGCUAAUUAGAAGUGGUUGGAGAACCUAUCCAGUUACAACUACAAUGCAAUACGGUCAUUCUCUAAUACAAUACUCUUAAUCACAUUGUUUGAAUGAUAGUUUGUUUCAUGUCUACUAUCCAAUGUGAUACUUCUCUAUAUGAUUCAAUUAAAUAUGAUUUGGAACAAACUUCCUAAGUCAUAUUCAUAUGCUUUGGCCAAAGACUCUCGAAUCAUAUCUUAGAGUAUUCUCCUUCCACCAUGGAAGGUUAGAGAUCCCUUGUUGUGCAUUCAUAUGCCUACAUGACUAGAUAGCUUGACCCCAACAAUGCCGUGGACACUCCAAUGGAAUGCCUUUGACAUGAUCAAAGGUCAAGGACCUAACCAUUAGACAUCUAUGAUGCCUCAGGUCAAAGGACUACUUUGCAUAUUGCAACUAUCGAGUUCUUACGUGACAUGUAUGUUCGAACUCUCUUUUGAUCGUUGUUCAGUGUACUCGAUUACUCUUUCGAGCACCUAUGUGUUUGUCUUAGUGUCCAACACUAAAUGACUUGAGACUAGUCAUACUCACGCUUGAGUCGAUAUAACACAUACUAACCUUAGCGGAUUGUCAAUGCCCAAUUGGCAAUCCUAUGGCUAGGAACGUUUUAGGAAUGAACAUAAGAGAAAGGUCUCGUUAAUCUAACUUACUUAAAUCACUUAUCUCUUAGAUCAAAUACAUUCCUUGGAUUCCCUUAUUGCUUAAACACAUGAUACAAUAAAUAGUGAUUAACAAUAAGCUUUGCCCUUCAUUAAACAUAUAAAAGUUUAAUACAUUAAGUAUUCCAAAAGCUAUUUACAUCAAAUGAGUGGCUUUGUGGGCAUACUUCCAACACUUUGCAUUUCCGGAAACUUGUACUAAUGGGAUACGACUAGCUUCUACUUCUUUCUUCACAACUUGGCUUAAGCCAAGGGCUUACAAUUCUUAGACUUGUGUACUUUGUAAGUUUAUACAUGGAGUAAUUAGGUUCACAUCCUUCUUUUUGUUACUUCAUUGAUUAAAAUCCUAUUCAUUUUUAAUUUUUGAUCAAGGUCCUUGUGACACACCCCAAUCCUAGAAUCAAGGCAUGCUGGCUGUCACGUGAGCGUGACGUAACCAUAAGUGCGGUGCGGAAGCAAAAUAAGAGAAUUACGAAAGAAUAAAAACCAACUACUAGCAAGAAUAACCAAAAGCAUGCUAGAGAGAGAGAGAGUUAAAGUGUGCAACACACAAUUUCAGAGCAUAAGCAACUAGGUGCAGUCAAGUAGGACUAUAAUUAAGUUACAACACCCGCAGGUGAGUCCUACAUUAGGAGAGUCUGUCAGAACACCGAAGAAAGCCUCGUGAGCCACCAACUGCUAACUAGAACCUGGAGGGGCACAAAACAAAAUUGAGUGGGUCAGUAAAACAAAACUUUGCGAAAACCUUUCAUUUAAAACAUUUCUAACCCCUCGCUGUAAAACCUGUAUACUUUCCCAGAAAAUAGCAUACUAGCAUAAUACUUUUCAUUUAUCUCAAAUCGUCAAUCUUUCUUAAAAACCAGAAAGUAUGCCAUGUUAAAAACUUUCAAAAACAGAAUGAAUGAUGCAUCAAUGUAACAGGUGAAAUAAUGAAUUAACUGGAGACCCUACAGUUGAUCCUGUACGGUUAAUUCUAUAGCUCAACAUCAAAUCCAUCCGGAGUCACCUCGGUGACCUGUACGGCACUACACUGCAUAUACAUCGAAACUACCUGAAGUAGUCUGUACGAUAAGGAUGGUGUAAUAAUAAUACGCUCUAGUGCUUCUCUCAUCAAACAUCUGUGUACACAAUCUAAGGUCACCUAUCAGUUGGAACCCUCUCAUGGUCUGUACGACAUGUCGGAACCUUCUCAUGGUCUGUACGACAUGCACCUACUUGGAUCCAAGGUGAGCGUGCGGUGCGAGGUGAAUAAUAUAAGCACUAACACCAUGAUUGCAGGUUAUGAGCUAUCAACAUAAUACAUAUCAACAAUGCACAUGAAUAACAUAAACUCACCUGAUACUCACCUGUGCGUCCACAACACCAAUUCACAUAUAUAUGCAUCAAUUAUCAAUUCAUAUAACUUAUAUCAUGCAUGCAUGGCAUUUGAAAACGUAUUUUCCUUCAAACUCAAUUUCUGGGAAACAUAUCAAUAGUAUAUAGGUAUAAACAGAAAUACUGCCCACUCACUGAUAAGUCGAAGGGUCGUAACCCCCGUGACGUCCCUGGAUGCGCUCGUCCUCGGGAUAGGUGUCACCUAUAUGCGAAAUAACUAUAAAAACGUUAUUUUAAAGCAUAUAAUCAACAAUUCGUAAUAACUUCUCAUACGGUGCUCAAAUUGGGUAUAUGAAUAUACCACAGUGACCUACUUGACGUCACGGACGUCGACAUAUUUUUAAAAUAAUUUUUGGGCUUGUCACGGGCCCCCACGCGCCGUGGGUGGCACGGACCUACGCGCCUCCACGUGCAUCUUCUUCCUCGAUGCUUGCCGGACUGAGUUUUCCGGUGGCUGGAAAACUGGGCAAUUUUCAAUUGCCUUGUUCUCCCUCGUUUCUCAACCAUUUUCUUCGAAUUUUAUAUCAAUUUGAAGCCCUAAACAUGUAGUUUCACGAUAGACUAGUUUAAAGCUCUAAAAACUACGAAAUCUCAUCGUAGAAAUUCCAAGAAAACCGGCCAAAGUCGAACCCAGUGAUCCCGACGUCCAAAACCUUCAAACGAAGCACUCCGAGCUUCCUUGGGACCUCACUAAGCUCACUACAAGCUUAGAAUUCCUUGAAAAUCGACAUAUUAUGAUUGCAUGAAUAGUGACAUAAAAUGGGGGUUCGGGUUUCACGUGAUUUCGAUGGUUUCACUUUCUAAAACCAAUAUCAAUCGACUCAGGAGGUUGAAAGGAUGAAGAUUCAUACGUUUUUGGCGUCGAUCCGUGGAAGUUCGAGGGUUUUGGGCUUCGUCCGUACGUUCGAGGGUGAGAGAGUGAGAGAUUGAGAGAGUCGUGAGGGAGGAGAGAGAGAGAAGGCACGGGGGAAGGGGAGAGGUCCUGUGUGUGUAUGUGGUCCAACCAAAACCAUACAUACCAAUUUUAAUCCCUAACCACACAAAAAAAUACCAUCCAAAAUUAAUCCAACUUAAAUUAUUUCUCCAAAAGCUUAGGGAAUAGGAAAUAUUCAAAACAUGUCACAACACUUACCUUAGUAACGUCAAGGGUACUUUCGUCCUUUCACGUCCUUAAUAAGAAAAUCUCGGGACGGGCUGUGACACCUUGGGUAUUAAUAACAUCAUUAAUUAUUUGAAUAAUAAAAUAUUUUUAUUUUUCAAUAUAUUCCUUUAGUGUUAAAAAUGUUACAAUUAGUAUAUUUAUAUUUAUGGCUAAAUUUUUUAUCAUAUAUUUUUAUUUUUAGUUUGUACCUAUUUUUAAUUUGCAAAUAUUUUUUAAUUUGUACAAUUUUCUUUUAAUUUUUAAUUUGUACCCAUAUAUGUUAGUUUCUUUUUGUGCCCAUAUUUUUUAAAGUUUUAUUUGUGUUUGUACCCAUGUGUUUAUCGUCACGUGACAUUGUAUAUUUAAUCAAUGAUAGAAAAAUUACAUAUGGUAUAUUUAUGUUUUAUGCCUAAACUUUGUAUCACAUAUUUAUAUUUUUAGUUUGUACCCACUUUUCAUUUACAAUAUUUUUUAAAAAUUUGCAGUAUUUUCUUUUUAGUUUUAUUUUGUACCCAUGUAUUAACUUCUUUUAGGGCCUAUAUUUUUUAAACAUUCAUUUGUACUCAUAAUUUUUUAAACUUUUACAUGUACCCUAAUUUAUUUAUAAUGUACCCAUUCUUUUUUAUUAAUGUACAUAUGUGAAAUGUACCAAUUUUUUUAACACUAUCAAUACAUUCUUUUGCCAUUUAUUAUUUCUUAUUUUUACAUAGUUUUUAUCCAUUUAUUCAAUCAAAAUGUUUGAAUUCUUUUAUUGUAACCAUUUCUAAUAGUAUUAUAAUUGUAAGACACCAUAUCGCCUAGGAGUGAGGAUCCUGUAAGCUUUAUAUGUAUAUUCCCAUCUCUACCUAGCACGACGCCUUUUGGGAACUCACUGGCUUCGGGUUCCAAUGGAACUCUGAAGUUAUGCGAGUUCAGGCGAGAGCAUUCCCAGGAUGCGUGAUCCACUGGGAAGUUCUCGUGUGAGUUCCCAGAAAUAAAACCGUGAAGGCGUGGUCGGGGCCUAAAGUGGACAAUAUCGUGCUACGGUGGAGUCGAGCCCGGGAUGUGGUGGGGGCCCGGGCCAAGAUGUGACAAAAUUGACACACCCCGACCUAGAUCGAGGCAUGAUCACGUAGUGACGUAAUCAUGUGAAGACAAAUACUAAAAAAAACACACCCAAGGGCGAUCAUACAUUUAUGAUGUUCUGUCAGAAUCACCGUUGAAAUCCGCGCGAGCCACCAAAGCACUUUUACUCAAAACCUGGAGGGGCGCAAAAUAGAAAGUGUGAGUGGGCAAAAACAAAGCUUUUCAAAAUCAUUUCAAUUCUCAAAAGUUCUAACCCCUCACCAUAAAACCUGUAUAAUUUCCCAGAAAAUAAUAAUAAUAACAAUAAGCUGAAUCAGAAAUCAUACUCAAUAUGAAAAUCCAUAGAAGUAUACCAUGCUAAAGUAUCUCAAUGCAAUGCUAUAAGUAAUCCAGGCAAAAUAUAUUAAUGUCAAAUAUCGCAUCAACAAAAUCCUUCUAACUCAAUCUGCACGGCUGAGUAUAUAGCUCAUAACCAAUUUCAAUCACAUCAAAUCAAAUCCUGCACACGAGUCAGAACCACCUAAAGUGGUUUGUACGACAAGACUAGGUGUGAAGUAAAUAGGCUCUAGUGCUAUGAUCUCGUGAAGGCUGUGCGAAUAAUCACGGGUCACCUACGAGUCGAAACCACCUAAAGUGGUAUGUACAACAAGCCUGUGCACCUAACUUGGAUCCAAGGUGAGCAUAUGGUGUGGGAGGUGAACAUCACGUGAAUGAUUGUACCCUAACUCUGGGCUGGAGCACUAACACUGGGGUGCAGGUUUAUGAGCUUUCAAUACAUCACAUCAUGUCUCGCAUAACUGAAGCAAUCUCAUAUCUUUAAUUUAUGAACUUACUUGGCACUUACCUGUGCAUCCGCAACACCAAUCAUAAAUAUAUGCAACUACUAAUGCAUACUAAAAUAGACAGAUACUUUGCAUAAAAAUUCAAAACGUAAUUUCAUUCAAAUUAAUUUUCUGGGAAAAAUCAAGUAUAUAGGUAUAUACGAAAAACCAAAAGCCCACUCACUAAUAUGUCGAAGGGUUGUAGCCCUCAAGCCUCGAUUGAUGGCGCUUGUCCUCAGGAUAAGUCUCACCUAUAUGCGAAAUAAUUGAAUAAACGUUAUUUAAAGCACAUACACAAAACUAGGAAAUACCUUCUCAUACAUUGCUCAAAUGGGGUAUUUGAAUAUACAAGCCAAAUUUUUAGAAAAAUUUUCCGACCACCGAAGUGCCGGCCAAGGCGCGAACUACUGUUAGGAAUAUUUCGUUGACGCCGUUAGAAUAUUCCGAUAGACUUGAUAGAAUAUUCCCCUUCGUCUUCCUUAGAUCGCCGGAGAUCGUCGCUGGUGCCAGUUUCUAGAAAAUAAUCAAACCUUCAUAUCUUCUUCAAUUUUCAACCAAAACUCACGAAAUCUAUAUCAAAUUAAAGCUUUGGAUGAGAGGAACAAAGACUUACGACUUUGGGGACCUAAGACUGAUCGAAUCAUAUUUAUAUAUAUUUUUACUUCGAAUUCACUCGUCUUUUCUUAGUUAGUUCCUUAUAUUUUUGAGCUAUUUACGUUAUUUUUGUGUUUAUAGGAUUUGUUAUGCAAAGAAAAUAAAAAUAGAAUAAGUGAAAUUUUAUUCGUGAAAAGCAAAUUUAAAUUACAAUAUUGCUAAACCAUUGUGACGCUAAAUGAUAAACCAAUAUUUAAACUUUAUAUUUCAUCAUUUUAUAUUUCUUUUCUUGUCUAAUUUAUUUGAAAGCUUUAAGUAUUUAUGAUACUUUUGAUAUAUUGUGUUUGUAGGAGUAACAUGAUCCAAAGAACUUAUUUUUCUGCUAUGUGGGGCUGCUAGAAACUAAAUGAAAAUAAAAGGAGAGCAUCGGGAGGAGAAUAUAGAGGAAAGCAAGCUGCCUUUGCAGCUGGAGGAAAGCAGGUCAGCGACAAAGGGAUCCAAGGAAGUCAGAAGAAUUAAGGGACAGCAACUGGCAAAGCAGAGAAAAUGGAGGAGUCCACACGGGGGACGGAAAAAGAAUCCAAAGAAGGGGAAAAAGACUGACAGCUCGCAGAAGAAAGGGGGCCUCGGUGAGAAAGAAAGAAGGGGAGUCAGAGGAGAGGAGAGAGGUCAGGGGAGGGCAGACUUGAUUUGAGGGCGGUCUUGGGGGGGAAUUAAGGAAAAGGGGGAGCUGCCCUUUGGGCAGCUCGAGAAGGGAGUCAGCGUGAGGGCAGAAGAACAGAGGCAGGGGAGAGACUGACGCGAGAGGACAGGGAAGACUAAGUGUGCGAAAAAAAAAAAUAAGAAAUAAGAAGAUAGAAGCAGAGAGACUGACGAGAGAGGCAGUGUGCAGAAAACAGAGAGGACAGACCGAGGGCAGAAGCAGCAAGCACUCUCCUCUCUCUCGGUUAAAUCUUUCUAAAUCUAUAUUUUAUUUCUGUUUUAAUAAUGUGUAAUUAAAUUUUAUUUUGGCUAGAGGUUAAUUCAAAAACAUGAAUAUAUUUGUAAUAUGAAUUGAUUACCUUCGGUUGUGAUUUCAUAAGUUGUGAUUUCAAUUUACUUAUCCGUUCGUAUAAAAACUGAUUUGUGUAUGUUGGUUGAGAGUGCACGCUUAAUUUACAUGCAUGAAUUUGAUGCUAGAAUAUAAGUGAAUUUCACCUAAUCGUUAUGAACUUAUUUUCACAAGUAGUAAAGGUUGCUAGUCACAAUCACGUUAAGUAAAUUCUUGGCAAGAGUAUCAUGCUUUUCAUAGUUACGAAUGCCUCGUCAAUGCUUAUAGUUUUCACAAAGUUUAAUGAUCUUUGAUUGUAUCUCUAUUGUGCUUUUCACGUAGGGGACUUUUGAAGAAUGUUUUGAAUUGUUGUAUGCGUUUUCCCGUCCAAUUCAAUAACUUAAGGAAAACUUGAAGAUUAAAAAAGUGCUGUUCACGGUUAAUCUGGAGUAUUGAAAUUCACAAUUUAUUAAAAGAACAACUGGAAAUCAUUUUGUAUGCAAGUAUAACAUGUGUGGAGAAGAACCCUUUAGCUAGUCCGUCAUUUAUCAUUUUACCUUAAUUUCAUGUUUUUGUCAAUUCUGUAAUUUAAUUAAGUUUAAUUUACUUUUCAUCAAAACCAAACACCCAUCCAUUAUUAAAUUAUAUUAUUUAUUUAGUUUUCUUUAUUGUUAGUCUUUUAAUUUAAUUUCCAUCCAUUGCAGUUCCUAGUGUCUAAUUUGAUUGUUUUCAUUAUUUUGAGUUAUCCUAAGUGUGUUUCGAGUUAUUAGAGUUUUUAGCCUAGUUUUGUGUCCUUGAGUCUUAUUUAAUAUUUUUAAAUUAAUUUAGAAUAGAUUAGCAAUCCCUCCUAAUCCCCGGCCUAGAACGAUACCCUACUUACAUCCAUACUACAAUUGUCAAAAAGAGGGUUUAAUUUGUGUGUCAAGUAAUUCUCACACCAAAUUUUGGCGCCGUUGCCGGGGAUUAGCAACUUUGCUAAUCCUUUUAUUUUUGUUUUUGUUUAUGUUUAUAUUGGUGUUUGUGUAUUUUACUUUUGAUAUUUGAUUUAUUUUUCUUUCUUUGAUUUUAGGUUCAAAUGGAGCCGAGGGAAAUUUAAAGGAAAGAUGCGUCCGGCUAAAGACGUUAAAUCAAGCGCUUCUUGGGAGGCAACCCAAGCAUUCAACGAAGGGAGACUUUGGAAUCGCUAACCCAAUCAGAUUUGCAUUUUUACACCCUUAUCUUUAAUGCUUUCAUUUUGUCUUGUUUAGUUAGUUGUGUUAUUUGUUUGAUUUCUGUGAGUUUGUGUUAUUUAGUUUAAGUGUGGGGGAAGGUUAACCAAAGUCUCUUUACAUUAAUUUACAUUUAUAAAAAAAAAAAAAAAAAAAAAAAAAAAAAAAAAAAAAAAAAAGAUAAAAUUUAAAAUUAAUGAUAAAAAAAAAAAAAAGUACAAAUAUUUUACAAUGAUGUAAACUAAUAGUAUUCAUUGGUCGGGUGGUGCUUCAGUAGUAGGCGGGGCUUCAGCAGUCGGCGGGGCCACAGAAGGAGGAGGCGGCAGAGGUUGAUCAGUUGGAGCUUCACUACGCGGUGCCGCUCCAGAAGACGAAGGCAGAUGUUGUUGGAACAAACCCACAAACCUCCGAUGAUCAAGUAAAAUUUGACCAUCGGUGUCCUGCAUCUGGUCAAUCUUCCUCUUCAUGCUGGUGGCAUAGCUGUGUGCGAGCUUGUGCAAUUCCUUAUUCUCAUGCUUGAGCCCUUUAAUCUCUUGCUUGAGACUCUGUAUUUCAGCCACCAAGGAUUCAACGUGACGGGUUCGGGCAUAUAGGCGUUGGGCCAUGUUGGAUACGGAACCCGCACACUGCACACUGAGAGCCAGAGACUCCUUGACCGCCAAUUCAUCAGACCGCCUUGCGAGUAGUCUGUUAUCUCUGGGAGUGACAAGGUUUCGGGCCACCACCGCAGCGGUCAUGUCAUUUUUCAUCAUCGAAUCCCCCACGGUAAGGGGACCGGUAGGGGAUAUAAAGGAUGACCGCCAUAUGUUGUCUGGUGAAGGCGGAGCUGCCUCUUCACCAAUGUUCAAGUCAAAACGACGAUCAGAAGGGCCAGACAUUUUUCAGAGGUGGUAAAGAAAGAAGAGAGUCGGAAUGAUCAAGAUUAAACAAGUGCAAGAAGGGAGUGUUUACAGGAGGGUACUCAAGUGUGUUGUGGAACAAAAUUAACGCCUCUAUAAAAAGAAGAAAUCAAAGAGGCGCUCCUCAGAGAGGCGUCCUCUCGCAAAUCGAAGAGUCGGGGCUCCUUUCUCAAAAGCCGGAGUUUUUUUCUCAAAAGAGGGGCUCCUUUCUCAAAAGUCGGAUUCUUUUUCUCAAAAAGAGGCGUUUCAUUUCUUAAAAAUUGGGCUUGCUCAGAAACCACGAGCCGAACCCCGGAUUUCGCAAGAUCAAUUCGUCCAGACGUGUUGUCACCCGUCACACGCAAACUCAGCUCUACGAAAAUCACGGGCAGUCUGUCGAAGUGCCGAUUCCAACCAUCUGUCUCUCUCAGCCUAGUCAGCACUUGUCACAUGCAACUAGCAGCUUUGCGGAAAUUACGGGCAGCUUUGUCAGAAAGCGCGUAAUUUGUAUUCUUCACCCAUCCACCGGCUGCCGACACUAAGUGAGAGAACAGUUCCGGUUGUGAAGACAAGUCCUAUAAGUUUCUACCUUCGCCUUCCACAGCAAAAGCACACUCUCUCAGCACACCCUCUCAACACCUCUUCAUCUCCGAAAAUGCAUUCCCAAAAAAUCCUCUCGAGUCACUCUGUGUUCCUCAUUCCUUGGGAUACUCCUGCGAACAACCCAUUCAAAGCAAAAGUAUUUCAUAUCAUAAAGGUUGAAAGCAAGAGUAUCUCAUAUCAUGCUUUCUCCAUGUCCUUCUCCUUGUCUUUGUUUUCCGACAAGGAGAAAGAGAGCAAUCAGCCAGCAUUUGGUAUCAAUCUUCCGAUCUAGAGCCAACUGCCUGGAACCCCUUCCUGAUUGCUUACUUAGCCUUGCUCUCGAGUACUCAUCUUCAUCAUUUUAUGCUUUCUCUUCGUCUACCACAUCUGCCUGGGGGACAGUAAGGGAAGUGAAAAUGAUACCUCGAAGCAUGUGGAGACAAUUCAGCUAGGGACAAGGAGAAAAGAAAGCAAGAGGUGGGCACUUGGAAAGAUUGAAGAAAGAAAUAAGGACCAACACCUUUCCCUCGUGCCUGCCCGUUGUGCAGAAGAAACAAGCAGAGAAGAAUGCAGCUUGCACAAUCAUCCCAGCGGAAGGAGUCCGAACUGAGGAACUAGAGAAGCUGCCACAUCUGCUUGGAGAACAAAUAAGGAACUGCAACAUAACCAAAGAGCAAAGCUUCGCCGUACAAUAUCAUAAAAUCAUCACUUGCAAGUGAAAAGCUAAGUGUCACCCUGUUCAAGAGGAAAGCUGUGGAAAGUCAACAAGCACGACCAAUGAUUACUUAUUAGUUUUAUUCAUUAUCUUUUAUCGUAAUUUUCAAUUUUUCGUUUGCAAUUUUUUUUAAUUAAUUUUCUUGCGUACUUAACUGAAUUUUUCCUUUUCUUUGCAGGAACUUUUGGUUAUUUCCACCCUUGAAGUUGAUUGCAGAAUUUUAGCUUGGGGGUCAUCGCUUGAUUUUACUGCAAAUUAGGGAAGUUUUCAGUCCAAUUGCGUUAUUUUGUUUCUUAUUAUUUAUUUAUUUUAUUUUAUUUUAUUUAUUUGCAUUAUAGUGUUUUCUGACAUUGGGGACAAUGUCAAGUUUAAGUGUGGGGGUAGACAUCUCUAGAAUUUCAUUUGUUUCUGUGUUGUUGCUUUUUGUUUUCUUUAAAUAAAAAAAAAAAAAAAAAAAAAAAAUCGGAAAAUUUAAAAAUCCAAAAAUAUUGUCUUGUUUCCCUUAUUGUUCUGAAUCAGAUUUUUAUUAGUUUCCCGACCCAAUGAUAUAAUUGAAUAAAAUUUGAACCAUGAUCAUCAAGAACUUAGUUAACAUGUGUUUUGUGAAAUUCCUAAUUCUUUUGUUAGUUUUGUACAUGUUUGAUCAUCUUUGAAAAACCAAAUGCACAUAGCUUUGUUGAUGUGAAACUAAAGCAUAACGUAAAGCUUCAUAUAUGAAUUUAGUGACCAUAUACAUCCUAUGUGAGUUUUUGAGCCUAUUGAAAGUGUGUGCAUUUUUCAUACACUCCUAUUCUUUCAUGUGUGAUGAACUUAUGUGAGAUACAUCUCUAGAACUUGCGUAACGAUCUUUCGAAAUGUUUGUCAUUGAUUGCAUGAACUUGGAAAUGAUAGAGGCAUUAGGUUUACCACCAUGGCCCAAAUAACCAUGUUUCCCAAAGAAAAAUGAUAUCAUUAGAUUGCCAAUUUGAGCCGUGUAUGUUGAGCCUUUUAUUUCUUAUCACCAGAUAUGUCUACCCUUAUACCUGAAACAUUUUUCCUUACCCUUUCCAAGUGAGCAAUGCGAAAUUGUCUUAUGAGAAACGUUUGUGAAGUACUGUGAAGAUGUUUGGCAAAAGAAUAAGUGUGGGGGUAUUUCAUGUUUGUGAUUAAAAAAAAAAAAAAAAAAAAAAAAAAAAAAAAAAAAAAAGAAAGAUUGUAUAAAAAGAAAAUAAAAAGUUUUUAAAGUUCAGUUUAAGAGUAUGGUUGGAGGUGCUAGAAGAAUUGCUGGAGAGCUUGAGUUCUUAUAAAUCUAAAGAAAAGAAUUGCAUGAAAUGUAGCUUGGAACUUGUGUUUUCCUAUUCUUUCGUUUCAAUAACCCUAUCCCUAAGCCUCAUUACAUCCAAUAAAAGUCCUCUUGAUUUAAGUUUUGCAAUUAUGACUGUGGAGAAGUGAUCUUUAUGCAAGCUUAUGGUAGAAAUUUCACAUUUGUUUCUUUGAGCGAAACACACUAAAACUAAACACAUAUGUGAUUGAGUGUAUAUCCCGUGAGAAGGUUACUAGUUUGCAUAUGAUGAUUUUAAAAAUAAAAACUUGAAAUUGCAUUAGCAUGGCUAUCUCACACACUACACUUCAAGGAUGAUUCAAAGAUUACUGCUAAUAUUUGAAUAAGGAAGAUGAACUUGGAUUAGUUCCUUGAUGCUAGCUAUGGUUCUUGAUGAUUUGUUUUCUUGAAUGAAAUUCUAUGAGGGUCACAUAGGGGGAAACUAAUGUUUUUCAUGUUAGUACUUUUUCUAGUUUUCUUGGUUUUGCUCGAGGACUAGCAAAAGUUAAGUGUGGGGGUAUUUGAUCGGAUCAUAUUUAUAUAUAUUUUUACUUCGAAUUCACUCGUCUUUUCUUAGUUAGUUCCUUAUAUUUUUGAGCUAUUUACGUUAUUUUUGUGUUUAUAGGAUUUGUUAUGCAAAGAAAAUAAAAAUAGAAUAAGUGAAAUUUUAUUCGUGAAAAGCAAAUUUAAAUUACAAUAUUGCUAAACCAUUGUGACGCUAAAUGAUAAACCAAUAUUUAAACUUUAUAUUUCAUCAUUUUAUAUUUCUUUUCUUGUCUAAUUUAUUUGAAAGCUUUAAGUAUUUAUGAUACUUUUGAUAUAUUGUGUUUGUAGGAGUAACAUGAUCCAAAGAACUUAUUUUUCUGCUAUGUGGGGCUGCUAGAAACUAAAUGAAAAUAAAAGGGAGAGCAUCGGGAGGAGAAUAUAGAGGAAAGCAAGCUGCCUUUGCAGCUGGAGGAAAGCAGGUCAGCGACAAAGGGAUCCAAGGAAGUCAGAAGAAUUAGGGGACAGCAACUGGCAAAGCAGAGAAAAUGGAGGAGUCCACACGGGGGACGGAAAAAGAAUCCAAAGAAGGGGAAAAAGACUGACAGCUCGCAGAAGAAAGGGGGCCUCGGUGAGAAAGAAAUAAGGGGAGUCAGAGGAGAGGAGAGAGGUCAGGGGAGGGCAGACUUGAUUUGAGGGCGGUCUUGGGGGGGAAUUAAGGAAAAGGGGGAGCUGCCCUUUGGGCAGCUCGAGAAGGGAGUCAGCGUGAGGGCAGAAGAACAGAGGCAGGGGAGAGACUGACGCGAGAGGACAGGGAAGACUAAGUGUGCGAAAAAAAAAAAUAAGAAAUAAGAAGAUAGAAGCAGAGAGACUGACGAGAGAGGCAGUGUGCAGAAAACAGAGAGGACGGACCGAGGGCAGAAGCAGCAAGCACUCUCCUCUCUCUCGGUUAAAUCUUUCUAAAUCUAUAUUUUAUUUCUGUUUUUAAUAAUGUGUAAUUAAAUUUUAUUUUGGCUAGAGGUUAAUUCAAAAAACAUGAAUAUAUUUGUAAUAUGAAUUGAUUACCUUCGGUUGUGAUUUCAUAAGUUGUGAUUUCAAUUUACUUAUCCGUUCGUAUAAAAACUGAUUUGUGUAUGUUGGUUGAGAGUGCACGCUUAAUUUACAUGCAUGAAUUUGAUGCUAGAAUAUAAGUGAAUUUCACCUAAUCGUUAUGAACUUAUUUUCACAAGUAGUAAAGGUUGCUAGUCACAAUCACGUUAAGUAAAUUCUUGGCAAGAGUAUCAUGCUUUUCAUAGUUACGAAUGCCUCGUCAAUGCUUAUAGUUUUCACAAAGUUUAAUGAUCUUUGAUUGUAUCUCUAUUGUGCUUUUCACGUAGGGGACUUUUGAAGAAUGUUUUGAAUUGUUGUAUGCGUUUUCCCGUCCAAUUCAAUAACUUAAGGAAAACUUGAAGAUUAAAAAAGUGCUGUUCACGGUUAAUCUGGAGUAUUGAAAUUCACAAUUUAUUAAAAGAACAACUGGAAAUCAUUUUGUAUGCAAGUAUAACAUGUGUGGAGAAGAACCCUUUAGCUAGUCCGUCAUUUAUCAUUUUACCUUAAUUUCAUGUUUUUGUCAAUUCUGUAAUUUAAUUAAGUUUAAUUUACUUUUCAUCAAAACCAAACACCCAUCCAUUAUUAAAUUAUAUUAUUUAUUUAGUUUUCUUUAUUGUUAGUCUUUUAAUUUAAUUUCCAUCCAUUGCAGUUCCUAGUGUCUAAUUUGAUUGUUUUCAUUAUUUUGAGUUAUCCUAAGUGUGUUUCGAGUUAUUAGAGUUUUUAGCCUAGUUUUGUGUCCUUGAGUCUUAUUUAAUAUUUUUAAAUUAAUUUAGAAUAGAUUAGCAAUCCCUCCUAAUCCCCGGCCUAGAACGAUACCCUACUUACAUCCAUACUACAAUUGUCAAAAAGAGGGUUUAAUUUGUGUGUCAAGUAAUUCUCACAUCAAAUUUUGGGGACCUAAGACCAAUAGAAUCUCGCUGGAGAAACUUCGAUAAUCCGGCUAAACUUGAAACUUAUCGAACUUAACUUCCUGACGUCCAAAACACUUCGUUUUUCUUCUCCGAGCUUCGCAAAGAUGUCCUAAAGCUCACUAGCAGCAUAAAAUCUCCUAAAAACUUUGAAAUCACGAGUGCAUGAACAGUAACCCAAAACUGGGUUCUCAGAUUCUUGAAAAAAUCAGGUUUUCACGCCUAAAUAAUAGUAUUAAUGGGUUCCUAGGGUCACAAGGAACUUGAAUAUGGUCUCUAUUGGUUCAAUCUGGGGACAGAAGUGAAGGUUCAAGGUUUGUCAUACAAUCGUACAGACAUGGAAAAAAAUGCGAGAGAGAGGAGAGAGAGUCAACGGGAUAGGGUGAGGGUAUGUGUGUGGUCCAGUUUGCAAUCAAUCAAUCAAAACUUUAGGCCUUUGUUCUAAUUAGGUCCAAAUAAUAAGGAAUAGAACCUAUUGGUCCAAAACCUUAGUUUAUACACACACACAACUCAAUAAUAAAAAGGGUUUAGUAGAAAUUUCCACGCUCUCGAGGAUAAAUAAUAUAUAUGUCUGGGACGGGCUGUCACAACCUACCGCCUUAAGAAAAUUUUGUCCUCGAAAUUUACACAAUAAAUGCAACCCACUAAUAAACAUAAAACAAGCACGAAUACAUCUCUUUCAUAUGCUCCUUAGUCUCUCAGGUGGCUUCCUACACCAGUGAUUUCCCUACAAAACCUUCACUAAGUGCAUUGUUUUAUUUCUCAGAACCUUAUCUUUCCAUUCCAAAAUAGUCACUGGCUCUUCAUCAUAAGUCAAAUCUAAAUUAAUUUCCAGGGGUUGAGGAGGUAUCACAUGAGAAGGAUCUGAGACAUAAUGACGAAGCAUAGAGACAUGAAAAACAUCGUGCAUUUUGGAUAACUCUGGAGGCAAGUCACUCCUGUAAGCAAUCUCACCGACUCGCUCGGUGAUCAUAUAUGGUCCCAUGUACGUAGACUCAGGUUGCCUUUCUUUCUAAACCGCACAACACCUUUCCAUGGUGAUAGCUUCAGAAAUACCCAAUCACCUACAUUAUACAUCCGGUUAGUGGCAUGUCGGUUUGCUAGACUUUUCUGUCGAUCCUGGGCUGUUUUCAGGUUAGACUUAAUCACCUGAAUAUUCUAUGUAGUCUCCUCCACUAUCUCAGGACCUACCAAAACUCUUUCACCAACUUCUGACCAACAUAAGGGUGUGCGACAAGAUUUACCAUAAAGAGCCUCGAAAGGUAACAUACCAAUACUGGAAUGGAAGUUGUUGUUGUAGGCAAAUUUCAUUAAAUCCAACCGCUUAUGCCAAGCGUCACCAAACUGCAACACUGAAGAUCUCAACAUAUCUUCCAAUGUCUGAAUGGUCCUCUCUAAUAGUCCAUCUGUUUGAAGAUGAUAUGUUGUACUAUAAAAUAUUCUCGAACCAAGAGCUUCUUGGAAUGCUAUCCAGAAUUUGGAAGUAAAUCUAGGAUCACGAUCUGAGAUAAUACUAAUUGGGACUCCAUGGUACUUCACAAUCUUCAAUACGAAUAAUUUAACUAAUCCGCUUAAAUGAUAUUUCUCCCUCAUAGAAAUAAAAUGUGCUGACUUAGUAAGCUGACCAACUAUCACCCAAAUACCAUCAUACCCAUUCUAUAUACGAGGAAGCGUGUACACAAAGUUCAUAGUAAUAUUUUCCCAUUUCCAGUGUGGAACGGGAAGUGGAUGCAUCAAUCCAAAAGGCUUCUUUCUUUCUGCUUUGACUUGCUGACAAAUGACACACCUACUUACAUAUUCAACAAUUUCUCUUUUCAUACCUGGCCAAUAAUAAAAUGGUCGAAUAGUAUGAUACAUUUUUGUACCUCCUGGAUGCAUUGCAUAAGCUGAAAUAUGUGCUUCAUCAAGAAUUGCUUUCUUUAACUCCAUAUUAUUUGGCACAUACAUUCUACUUUCAUGCAUAAGCAUACCAUCAGUUUCUCGAAUUCUGAAGUCUUUUUUCUUCCCUCGAUUCCUCGCUUGAAUUAUUUCAUGGGUCUCUUCAUCAUCCAUCUGGGCUUUGAGCACACGAUCAAUUAAAAUUGGCCUGACUUGAAAAUUAGCAAGUAAGGAUUCCUCUAGAUCUUCCACUCCUAACUUUACUCCAGUGGACCUCAAAUUCGCAAGAAGAGGAACAUGACAAUCAUAGAUGGCAUUAAGUCUAACUGGAGUCUUCCUACUAAGUGCAUCUGCCACUGCAUUUGCAUAACCAGGGUGAUACUCAAUUGUGCAAUCAUAAUCACUAAGCAACUCAAUCCACCUCUGCUGCCGAAGAUUAAGAUCCCUCUGAGUAAAAAGAUACUGAAAACUAUUAUGAUUUGUGAAGAUCUUACAUUUCUCACCAUAAAGAUAAUGUCUCAAAAUCUUCAAAGCAAAGAUGAUUGCUGCUAACUUCAGAUCAUGAGUAGGGUAAUUCUUCUCAUGAGGCUUCAAUUGUCAUGAAGCAUAAGCAAUCACCCUACCAUGUUGCAUCAACACACAACCCAGGCCAUUUAAUGAAGCAUCAAUGUAGACCUCAAAAUUACCACUAUCAUUUGGGAGUGCCAAAACAGGUGCAUGAGUGAGAUAAUACUUCAACUGCUGAAAACUUUGCUCGCAAUUAUCAUCCCACUCAAACUUAACUUCUUUUCUAGUCAACCUCGUUAAUGGCAAAGCAAUGACUGAAAAAUCCUUAACAAAACCGUCUAUAAUAGCUUGCUAGGCCAAGAAAACUCCGUACUUCAGUGACGGUUCGAGGUUGCUCCUAAUUCUCCACAGCUGUUGCUUUUUGAGAAUCCACUUGAAUACCUUAAGCAGAAAUGACAUGUCCCAAAAAUGCCAUUAGAUAUAACCAAAAUUGACAUUUGCUAAACUUAGCAUACAACUGAUGUUCCCUUAAUUUCUUCAACACCAAAGUAAGAUGUCGAACAUGCUCUGCUUUAGACUUAGAGUAUACCAAAAUCUCAUCAAUAAAAACAAUGACAAACCUGUCUAUAUUGUUGGAAAUAUGCCCUGAAAGUCAAUCUUUGGAAGAAACCUUUCAGGACAAAUGAAUGGAUGUAUAGAUGACUCUUAUACAUCAAAUGGCAAAGAUACUAAUUAGGACUAUCUCAAUGAACGAUAUAUGUCCUAAAUAGUGAAUCCAUGGACAAUGGAUCGGUUGAAGAAGUAAUCUAAUGAUGUUAGACUACAGAGACCUUCUUCACAUAACCAUCAUGUCCAAAAGGUUCCUGGUCAUAGGAUUGUCGGAAGGAAACUGACAAUGCAUAGACCGAUACAUACUAUGUCCGCUUCAAUUGGAAGGAUGGAAAGUCUCAUCCCAUUCGUGUAGUGACACUAAGACAAGUAUGUAGGUGCUCAUUAAGGGAAUGAGUUCACUGAACACAAUCGAACGAGAGUACUUGCAUGGAGGUCUACUCACAUGUCAAGCAAGUAACUCUUAUGGUUGGAAUAAUGUAAGUAGUCAUUUGACCUGAGGCAUCGUCGUUGUCUUGUGGUUAAGUACUUGAUCUUUGAUUAUGUCAAAGUCACCCCAUUCGCGGGUGUCCACGGCAUAGUUGGGGUUAAGCCACUUAGUCAUGAAGGCAAGUGAAUGCGCAACAAGGAAUCUCUAAUCUUCGUUAAGAGAGGAAGAAUACUCUAAGAUAUGAUUCGGGAAUCUUCGGCCGAAGUAUCGAGCGUAAUAAAGGAAAGCGUUCCUAUACGACUCAAUUGAAUCAUAUAAGAAGGAAUAAUCACAUUAGGGGUUUGACAUAAUAUAUCCAUACCCUAAUGAUGUGAUUGAGAGUAUUGUUUUAGAGAAGGAUCGAAUUACAUUGUAAUUCCAACUGAAUAGGUUCUCCGAACAAAUUCUACAUUAGCUUGGGUAGCCAUGAUAUAUGGUUAGAUGUCACUCAUGGCUUGUGAGUUCUUCUAGAUGAUUAAAUGUAGUAGUCAAAGAAGAAGGUGAAUUAAAAGGAAGUUUUAAUUCACUAAGUGAUUGGAUUAAAUAUAAUCAAUUGGAUUGGUGCCAAUCACCUCACUGCCUUGCUAAUUAGAACCUAAAGUGAUUGUACACCGAUACACUCUUGUAGUGAUACCACUAAUGGAUGAUGGGAAUAAUUAAUUGGAUUAAUUAAGUGUUGUGAUUAAUUAGAAAGUCUAAUGAAAUCAUAAAAGCGAUAUAAGAUCGUUUUGGGCUUAAAGAAACGUUCGGGUUUAAUUGGGCCCAUUGGGCCUAGACCCAUUGGGCUUUUAUUCAAGCAUAGGAUGACUUGAAAUAAUAAAAGCCCAAAGCCCAAACCAAACACUAAAGGCCGGCCACUUAAAGGGAAAGGGAGAGAGUGGAAGUCAAGUUGUUGACUAGGUUUCUUUUUAUCUAUAUAAGGAACUUUAUAGAGAUAAUUUUCAAUAGGGUUUUUGUGAGUUAAAAUAACAAAAGAGAAAAAGAAAAUAUCUCUCUAAAACACCCAAAGGCCGGCCACCAUUAGGGAGUGUGAGCUAAUCAUCUUAUCUCGCUUUUGGUCAUUCCUCCAUCCAUCUCACUACACUAGUGGGUGUGGAUCUUUAGAGGUCUUCUACUUUGGAGACUAAAGGAGAACCAAAGGAGCACUCAUACUAACAAAGUGGAGGAGGCAAGGAGGGAGACUAGGCUCAAGGAGUUCAAGGAACAAAGGGUUUGAAGGUAGUCCAUCCUUGGUCUAAAAUCUAGAUCAAGAGGUAUAGAUCUAUUCCUACACUUUGUUCAUAACUUAAAUGUUUUGAUGCAUCAUAUAUAAACCUAUGAACCUUGAAGGGGAUUUGCAUGACUAUAGCUUUGAUAUUUUGUGAUAAUUGCUUCCGUUGCUUUCGUAUAUAAAUUUUGAAUUGUAUAUGCAUGCUAGUCAUUAGAAAUCCCACAUGAAUCUCAUAGAUUUCCCUUCAUAUAUAUGGUUGGAAUACUCGAUUCAUCAAAUCCAUGAAAGUUGUUUGUGCAUUCGUUAAUCUGAAUGGCAUCACUAGAAACUUAUAAUGACCAUAACGAGUCAUGAAAGCAGUCUUAGGGACAUCCUCACUGCUGAUCUUCAAUUGGUAAUAACUAGACCUUAAAUCGAUCUUAGAAAAUACACAGGCACCUCGAAGCUGAUCAAACAAAUCGUCUAUACGCAACAACAGAUAACAGUUUUUAAUCGUUACUCGAUUCAAUUGCCUAUAAUCAAUACAUAGCCUUAAAGUCCCGUUUUUCUUCCUUACAAACAAAACUAGAGUUCCAUAGGGUGAAGUACUAGGUUGAAUAAAACCUUUAUCAACUAAUUCUUGCAACUAGACUUUCAAUUCCCUCAAUUCAGCAUGAGCCAUUCUAUACGGAGUCAAAGAUAUAGGAUCCGUACCUAGAAGCAAAUCAAUAGUGAACUCCACAUCUCGGUCUGGCGGUAAUCCAGGUAAAUCAUCAGGGAAUACAUUAGGAAAAUGUCUGACUACUCGAACAUUCUCCACACUACUUGAAGCAACAUCAUUCAGCACUACAUGAGCUAAAUAUCAUUGACAACCUUUUGAUAACAACCUUUUUGCUCUUACAGCCGAAAUAACACCAUGCCUCACCCCACUACGAUCACCCACAAAAGUAAUUUCACGUAAUCCAGGACAAUGGAAAGUAACUAUUUUCCCAUAGCAAUCUAUGUUGACACGAUUAUAAUGCAACCAAUAUGUGCCUAAAAUCACAUCAAAAUCAACAAAAUCUAACGGGAUAAGAUUAGCUGGCAUGACUACCUCCUCCACCAUCACUGGCCAUCCUGGGUAUACAUAAUCAACAUAACAUCUCUCCCCUCUAGGCAUAGCAAACUCUAAAUCAUACCCUAGAGGCAUAGGAUGAGGUUGCGUCACUUGAGCAAAUAUAUGAGAAAUAACAGAAUGCGUAGCACCAUAAUCAAUUAAAACUCUAGCAAAGUGACCAAGAAUGUUUAAUGUACCCAUGAUCAAAGCUGGAUGAUUCUGAGCAUCUUGCAGAGAGAUAUUAUUAAUAAGUCCCUGGGCUUGCUGCCGUCCCCCACGACUGCUAAUAGCUUGAUUACCUCGCCCCUGCACACCUCGUCCCUGACUUGGCUGACCAGAUUGUCUUGAAGAUUCUGCACUACUGAACCAAUCUCUACUUGCUGGGGUUGUCCUCUCUGAUACCAUUGAGAUCCACAGCUGGAACGGAAGGAUACGAUGUAUAACCUCCAGGAUACUGAGAAUACCCAUUCUGGUAAUAGGGAUCCUACGAAUACUGAUAUUGCCUGAAGCAUAAGGAACGACAUCGCCUUGAUAAUGGUAAGCACCACCUUGACCCAUCUGACCAUAACUAGCAGACCCCGGAACUUGUUGGAUUGGCGCUGGUGGUGGCAUAGGAGGCUGCUGAGGCCUCUGCUGACUCUAGGGACAAUUUAUAGCUUUAUGUUCCAUCUGCCCACAAGUAAAACAUCCACUGCUACCUCUCCUACACUCCCCAAAAUGCCUAUUAUUACAUCUGUACUCUUCCAGCAUCUUCCUGCCUCUGAAAUCUAUGACCUCUUGAAAAUCUACCACCUUUCUUCUGACCAGUGGCACUAAAACCUCCGCUAGAAGAACUGAAACUAGUUUCACUCCUCUUAAAGCUCUGAGUCUUGUGAGGUUCUUGAGAAGACUGACCUUUACCUUUAUCAUCUCGCCUUUGAUUUCCAUUCAUUUCUUUUUCUUCUUCAUUUUCGCUGGGCAUAUUUUCUAAGUCCUCAAUCCUCAACAAAAUCUCAUAAAACUCUUGGUAAGUGGCACAAGGAGUCGAGGUCACUAUAGAACGUCAUUUCUUCAUUGUACCCAAUAUGAAGCGACAGAGCAUCUCAACCGGCUUAGCAGCAAGCUUCGGAUGAUAAUGAGACAAGUCAGUGAAUCUCCUAUAAUACUCAUUUGUCGUCAUCUUCCCCUGCUUUAAUUGAGUAAACUCUUGUUUUUUGCGAUCAAUAUACUCAGGGGGAAUAUACCUUUUCUGAAAUAACUGUUUAAAUACUUCUGAGUCCGCAAUUUCCUUUGGGGUCAACUGAUAAGACUCAUGUCUCCACCAGGAUGCAAGUUUGGGACCUAAAAACCAGGUAGUCGUCUCGGCUUACCUAUCAGGAGGAAGAUUCCCCUAACUCUGCAUUACAUGGAAAAUCUUCUCAAGAUGAUUGAUCCAAAUCUUCGCUCUUUCAUGUCCUUUAUUCCCCAUAAAAUGAUUCAGCUUCAGAUUAUACACAGUCUCAAGAAGUGUCAUUUGGGACGGACGAAGCGAAGACUAAAUGGCAUUAGCUAUAGCUUCCCCUAACUGAGUUAUAUCGGGGAAACUAGGCUCAAUAGAAGGACAUGGAUCUCUACGAGGCGGCAUAGUUCUGACAGAAGACAUCAAAAUAAUUAGAAAUUCUCAAGAUAUAUAGGACUGCUAACCUAAAGCUCUGAUACCAAACUGGCACACCCUGACCUAGAUCAAGGCAUGCUAGCCGUCACGUGGGAGUGACGUAACCAUGUUCACAAUGCGGAAGAAAUAAAGAUAUAAGGGAAUUUCGAAGGAAUAAAAACCAAACUACUAGCAUAACUAGCUAAGAUAAAGUGCUAGUGCGAGAUUAAAGGUGAAAUACAUAACUAGAGCAUAAAUAACCUAGAUGCAAUCAAGCAGGACAAAUACUAAAUAAACCACACCCAAGGGUGAUCCUACAUUUACGAUGUUCUGUCAGAAUCACCGAUGAAAUCCCCGCUAGCCACCAAAUUACUUUUAGCUAAAACCUGGAGAGGCGCAAAACAGAAAGUAUGAGUGGGAAAAAACAAAGCUUUUCAAAAUCAUUUCAAUUCAUAAAAGUUCUCAAAAGUUUUAACAAUAUGGAUACAUUCUUUUGCCAUUUAUUAUUUCUUAUUUUUACAUAGUUUUUAUCCAUUUAUUCAAUCAAAAUGUUUGAAUUCUUUUAUUGUAACCAUUUCUAAUAGUAUUAUAAUUGUAAGACCCCACAUUGCCCAGGAGCGAGGAUCCUGUAAGCUUUAUAUGUAUAUUCCCAUCUCUACCUAGCACGAGGCAUUUUGGGAGCUCACUGGCUUCGGUUUCUAUCGGAACACCAAAGUUAAGUGAGUUCGGUCAAGAGCAUUCCUAGGAUGGGUGACCCACUGGGAAGUUCUCGUGUGAGUUCCCAAAAACAAAACCGUGAAUGUGUGGUCGGGGCCCAAAGAGGACAAUAUCGUGCUACGGUAGAGUCGAGCUCGGGAUGUGGUGGGGCCCCGGGCUGGGAUGUGACAAUUUGGUAUCAGAGCCAAUCCCCGGUCUGAAGUGUGUCGAUGAGGACGUUGGGCCCCUAAGGGGGUGGAUUAUAAGAUCCCACAUCGCCCAAGAGUGAGGAUCCUGUAAGCUUUAUAUGUAUAUUCCGAUCUCUACCUAGCACGAGGCCUUUUGGGAGCUCAUCGGAACUCCGAAGUUAAGUGAGUUCGGGCGAGAGCAUUCCCAGGAUGAGUGACCCACUGGGAAGUUUUCAUGUGAGUUCCCAGAAACAAAACUAUGAAGGCGUGGUUGGGGCCCAAAGCGGACAAUAUCAUGCUACGGUAGAGUCGAGCUCGGGAUGUGGUAGGGGCCUGGGCCAGGAUGUGACAAAACUGACCUAGAUCGAGGCAUGCUAGCCGUCACGUGGGGGUGAUGUAACCAUGUGCACAAUGUGGAAGCAAUAAAGAUAUAAGGGAAUUUCGAAGGAAUAAAAACCAAACUACUAGCAGAACUAGCUAAGAUAAAGAAGUGCUAGUGCGAGAUUAAGGGUGAAAUACACAACCAGAGCAUAAAUAACCUAGAUAAAGUCAAGCAGGACAAAUACUAAAUAAACCACACCUAAGGUUGAUCCUACAUUUAUGAUGUUUUGUUAGAAUCAUCGUUGAAAUCCCCACGAGCCACCAAAGCACUUUCACCUAAAACCUAGAGGGGCGCAAAACAGAAAGCUAAGUGGGCCAAAACAAAGUUUUUCAAAAUAAUUUCAAUUCUCAAAAGUUCUAACCCCUCACCGUAAAACUUGUAUAGUUUCUUAGAAAAUAAUAAUAAUAAUAAUAAACUGAAUCAGAAAUCAUACUCAAGAUGAAAAUCCAUAGAAGUAUACCAUGCCAAAGUAUCUCAAUGCAAUGCUAUAAGUAAUCCAGGCAAAAUAUAUCAAUGUCAAAUAUCGCAUAAGCCAAAUCCCUCUAACUUAAUCUGCACGGCUGAGUAUAUAACGCAUAACCAAUUUCAAUCACAUCAAAUCAAAUCCUACACACGAGUCGAAACCACCUAAACUUGUCUGUACGACAAGACGAGGUGUAAAGUAAAUAUGCUCUAGUGCUACGAUUACGUGAAGGCUGUUCGAAUAAUCGCGGGUCACCUACGAGUCGUAACCACCUAAAGUGGUAUGUACGACAAGCUUGUGCACCUAACUUGGAUCCAAGGUGAGCAUAUGGUGUGGGAGGUGAACAUCAUGUGAAGGACUGUGCCCUAACUCAAGGCGGGAGCACUAACACCGGGGUGCAGGUUUAUGAGCUUUCAAUACAUCACAUCAUGUCUCACAUAACUGAAGCAAUCUCAUACGUGGCAUUUACCUGUGCGUCCGCAACACUACUCAUAAAUAUAUGCAACUACUAAUGCAUACUAAAAUAGACAGAUACUUUGCAUGACAAUUCAAAACGUAAUUUCAUUCAAAUUCAUUUUAUGGGAAAAAUCAAGUAUAUAGGUAUAUACGGAAAACCAAAAGCCCAUUCACUGAUAUGUCGAAUGGUUGUAGCCCCCGAGCCUCGAUUGAUGGCGCUCGUCCUCAGGAUAGGUCUCACCUAUAUACAAAAUAAUUGAAUAAACAUUAUUUAAAGCACAUACACAAAACUAGGAAAUAACUUCUCAUACAUUGUUCAAAUGGGGUACUUGAAUAUACGACCAUGAUCUACUCAACCUCAGGAACAUCCUAAAAUAUUUAGAAAAAAAUUCCGACCACCCACGCGCGGCCAAACCCUAACUUAAACUUAACUGCCGUUAGGAUAUUCCGUUAAAACCUUAAAAAAAAUUAAUGACGUUACCUGACGUCAUUAGAAUAUUCCAUCAGACUUGACGGAAUAUUCCCCUUCGUCUUCCUUGGAUCGUCAGAGAUCGUCACCGGUGCCGGUUUCUAGAAAAAUAAUCAAACCUUCAUAUCUUUUUUGAUUUUUAACCAAAAUUCACGAAAUCUAUACCAAAUUAAAGCUUAGGAUGAGAGGAACAAAACCUUACCACUUUGGGGACAUAAGACCAACGGAAUCUCGCUGGAGAAACUUCAAUAAUCCGGCCAAACUUGAAACUUAUCGAACUCAACUUCCUGACGUCCAAAACACUCUGUUUUUCUUCUCCGAGCCUUGCAUAGACAUCCUAAAGCUCACUAUCAGCUUAAAAUCUCAUAAAAACUUCGAAAUCACGAGUGCAUGAACAAUAACCCAAAACUGGGUUCUCGGAUUCUCGGGAAAAUGAGGUAUUAACGCCCAAAUAAGAGUAUCAAUGGGUUCCUAGGCUCGCAAGGAACUUGAAUAUGGUCUCCAUUGGUUCGAUCUGAGGACGGAAGUGAAGGUUCAAGGUUUGUCCGUACAAUCGUACAAACAUGUAAGAAAAUGCGAGAAGGAGGAAAGAGAGUCAACGGGAUAGGGUGAGGGUAUGUGUGUGAUCCAGUUUGCAGUCAAUCAACAAAAACCUUAGGCCUUUUGUUCUAAUUAGGUCCAAAUAAUAAGGAAUAGAACCUAUUGGUCCAAAACCUUAAUUUAUACACACACACAACUUAAUAAUAAAAAGGGUAUAGUAGAAAUUUUCACACUCUCGAGGAUAAAUAAUAUAUACGUCAGAGACGGGCUGUCACAACCUACCCCCUUAAGAAAAUUUCAUCCUCGAAAUUUACACAAUAAAUGCAACCCACUAAUAAACAUAAAACAAGCGCGGAUACAUCUCUUUCAUACGCUCCUCCGUCUCCCAGGUGGCUUCCUCCACCGAGUGAUUUCUCCACAAAACCUUCACUAAGCGCACUGUUUUAUUUCUCAGAACCUUGUCUUUCCAAUCCAAAUUAGUCACUAGCUCCUCAUCAUAAGUCAAAUUUGAAUUAAUUUCCAGUGGUUGAGGAGAUAUCACAUGAGAAGGAUCUGAGACAUAAUGAGGGAUUUUAAAGUAAUUUCCACGCUCUCGAGGAUAAAUAAUAUAUACUUCAGGGACGGGCUAUCACAAUAAUGAGGGAUUUUAAAUUUAUAGGAUUAUAAAUCUCAUAAAAUAUCAAACAAUUAAUGUCAAAACUAUAAAAAUAUAAAUAUUACUAUAUAAUGAGGUGUACAAAGGUAAGAGACUUUGAUCAAGCUUUGAAUACCAUUAAGGUUUUAAUCAAAGAAUGUUAAGGAUUAGGGACUGCAUCUAAAGUAUCAUUUUAAUCAUUCAAGGCAUACUCUGUUUAGAAAAUUUAAUUCAAAAUGAUGAAUUAAAUUAUUUUAUGUGAAUGUAAAUUAUAUUAGAUGAGUUGUUACUAUUCAAGAAUAAGUUUGUGAUUGUUCAAUUAGAGAAGGGGUGCAACCUAAUCUUUGCCAUUUUAUUGAAAAAGUAUAACUAUUGACUCUUUAAGAAAAGACACAACUAUUCAGAAGAGUCACUCAUACAUCUAUUAAAGGCAUCAUCAUAUUGAGUUAUUAGUAAUUUACUUAAUUAGUGGAGUCAUACACGUUCAUGUAUCAUAUCAUACUUAGAGAUUAAGUGAGUCUUUAAAAGAGUCAAACACAAUCGUGGUUUGUUAAAGCCUAACGAUCUUGUAUGCAAGUUGAGGUUAUGGUGGUGUUCUUGUCUAAUGAAGGAGAGAAAGGUCUCUUAAAUACACAAAUUGAUCCGCUAGACUACAAAAUUGCUUUUAAAAAAGUCGUCCAAUUAUUUACAACUGUUUAUGAAAGUGGCUGUGUUAAUGUCACUGUUACUGAUUUGCACUGUUUAUGGACAUUUCUGCCAACUGUUAUUGAUUCUGACGAAAUCUUUCUUAGACCACACCGCAUGUCUUUUUUUAUUUGUCUUCCCAGACCAAAUUCUUGUGUUGUCUGAAUGUUUUCAAGGGCAAAAUUGAUAUUUUAUAAAAAGUUGUCUUCAAGAUUAAAUAAGAGUUUUGAAGAUUUUUCAUUAGUUUUGCCUAAAAGUUAACCAAUCUGCAUAUGAUAUGGGGAAAAAAACAUAACACAUGGGAUUAAACCAACCAGAUUAAAUUGUAUUAGAUUGAAUUCUCGUAAGCAAAUCCGGCAUUUAAUCCAAUAUUGUAUAUUUGAGGAUUCAGGGGUCUAAUCCCAAUCCUAGGAUUGAUAGGUCUAGCCAAAUUGGAUUAGAGUUCUACUUAAGCUUUCUAAGAUUAAGGUGUGCAAUAAAGUUAUCAUUAAGCCAUUAGACAACAUAUAUUUGUAGGAGUCGGCAUGAUCUAGUUUGGAUCGGUUUAACCCCAAAUCAUGUCCGAACUAUUUACAAUACAACAGUGUGAUGCCCCUAUCGUGAUCCUAUCGAAUAGCUUCAAAGUGUGAGUAUACUGUUUGUUUACCUUUCGGCUUUUGCUGCUAAAAGGGCUCUUUAUGGUAGUGAUUGUUUUCAGAUAUAGCGAUUAGUUCUCUAGGUGCCUUGUAUGUUGAACACAUGAAAAGUGACGUGUAGCGCAAGGUAUUGUUUCUGUAAUCUUUGUUUCUUCUCAUGUUAAAGGGUAUUUGAUUCAUAUUUAAAGAUGCUAGCUAGAGUUUUCAGGUACUUAAUCCGCAAUUUGUUCAAUUGGCUAAUAUUAAAUGUGCAUUUACUUGCCCGUAUUUUCUCACAAUUCGAGGAAAAACACUUGGCAGAUUUCUACAAUAUAUAAGAGUUAUGUCUUAACUUCGAUUAACGUGGACAGCAAAGACAAUUUAAUUAUAAAUUGAGUUUGAUACUUUGGAGUGGAGAAUCAUUGUAUUAAGAAAAACCUAACGAUUUUAAAAUACAAGAAAAAAAGGUUUCUGUACCAUGUCAACAUUCUUUAUUAACAUCGUGGUUUAUGGUUAGGUGUCCAUCUUCCGAUACAAACUUUUUAUUUAAUAAAGUUGGAAUUGUGGUAAGUGGUGAAUUGUCUUGGUAGACAGAGUUAUUUUGUAACUCAUUACAUUUUGAGUUCAAACGAAUCAAUCUUUUCCUUGUCCCUUGUUUUAGUAUUGUUUGGAUUAAAAGUUAACUUUGGGCUCAAGAAAGGAGUUGGCCCAAAAGGAGGCCCGAAAGGGGAAAUAGCCGAAGCCCAACCGAAGCCCAGAAGGCAGGAGAAGGCCUUUUCUGACUUGGUGCAGUUCAUGAAGACCACUUGCUUACCUACCCAAAGGCCAAGUGGUGUAGACUGGUCAGCUACACAGCCCAUGAAAGUACUUUAUGGUGGCAUUACAUGUAAAAUAGCUGAUGAGUCAUCACCCUCAAACCGCAUUCGGGCAAAGCUGCUGCUACCAAAGGCCAAGCCGAGUUGUCUAUAUAAGAAGAAAGAAAAUCAAGGAUUAAGGACACUCAAUCAAACAAACAAAUGCAAGCACAAACUCUGCUCAAAGCCAGAUUUGCCUUCAAAACAAAGCUGUAGUCAGCCUUCAUCCCUUUCGGGAUAAACCUCCAUCCCUCUCGGGAUAACCCUCUCUUCAACCUUUUGUAAUAGCUCUGCUACCUUGUUCAACCUUGCUGUAGUAUCGAUUAAUCUUUUGUAAUCUCUCUCUCUCUCUACCCCUCUAAGCUUUCAGACCUUUGACAAAACUACAAAGAUAGGAACCUGCAAGACGAGCAACCUUACCCGAUAAGGUUUAACCUUGCCCGACCUUCUUUGCUUUAGUUUUAUCUUUUCAAUAUGUUGUAUACUUCCAGUUAUAUGCAAGUUAUUUCUAGCAACAUGAUUAUUAAGAGGCUUUCUCAGUACUUGAAUCCGAUUUGAAUAUAUCGUCAGUGUUCAAACCAGAUCCAAGUCCUAAGCCAUCGGGCAUGUAAAUCUGAUCAGUUAAAAGUCCUUGGCCUCAAGGCAUAAAAAAGAACCUUAUGUGGACUUAACCCAUCCACGAUAGUCCUUGAUAAACGAGAAGUCCGAAGUUACUUGGGGCGCAAGUAAUCAACCUACCUUCUAGUUUUCUUUCUAUUAUGUCAUGAUUAUCAUAGAACGCUUGAGCAUGGGAUGGAUUCUAAUGGAAAGCCUCAAGGCCUACACCUAAAGCCCCACAAAGGCAUCCAUUUGGAUUCAUUCCGUUCAGCGAUCUAAAGAGUCUAAGUAUAAGAAUGAACUCUGAUGGGAAGCCUCAAGGCCUACACCUAAGGCCCCACAAAGGCACCUAUUUGGGUUCAUUCUACUUCUUGGAUUCGGGUAAUCAGAAGUAUAAUAGUUAGAAAACUCCUAUAAUCACGAGAACAAAUAUGAUGCGUUCGAGCACUGGUUUAGUUAUUUAUGGGAAGCCUCAAGGCCUACAUCUAAGGCCCUACAAAGGCACCUGUUAUAACUAACACGGUUUCUUGAAUACAUACAUAUAUACAACUAAAGCACGACAACCAUUUUACAUCUGCCAUGCUAAAGAUGGCAGUGGCACGCCUGAGCACCUAAAUGUUAACCUUGAUUGUGAGCCUCAAGGCCUACACCUAAGGCCCCACAAAGGCGCCUUUCAAAGUUAACGCUGUCCUUCUCUUUCAGCCUUGCCCGAAGAGUCUUGCCCGAAGAGUCUUGCCCGACGAGACUUGCCCGACGAGACUUGCCCGACAACGCCCGAAAACGAAGCAGAAGCCCGACAGCAGCCCUCAACCGACGCCAACCUCCAGGGGAGCUGUGUGCUCGUCGGCCAGGAAACAUCCUCGACGGAAAUUCCUGCCACGAACAUAGUUUUGGCACGCCCGGUGGGAUUUCAAGCUUCUUGAUCUCGCAUGUCCAAAAAGAAAAGACAGAAAACUUGGCAAAAACAAUUUGAAGGAAAGUCUUUACAAAUGGCAGAUCAAUCAGAAAACCCUUCCUCCCCAUCAGGACAAGUGGUCCUAGAGAGCCCAACUGCAUCCGAGAGAUCAGAAGGAAAUGGAACUAAUGAAGAGCUACAGGCUACGAUGAUCCAAGUGUUGAAGAGCAUGGAAAGAAUCUCCUUGGAAACCAAGGGAGAAGUAAGUAGGCUUUGUACACUAACGGGGAAUCUGCAGCGAAGACUGGAUUUAGAGUUCUCUACUCCAAAAGGGGCUCAGGGGAGCGGGAUGAGCCAAGUAGUUAUGAGAAAUGAACCAGUCAUUCCUUUAUUCCCACUGUUAGAAGAAGAAAAAGAUAGGGGAAAGAAAAAGGUAGCUCCUGAAGGGAGUCAACCAGUGAUAGAGCCAGUUAUGGAGAGAGAGUUUCCCAGCUUCCCAGUAUUAUCAUUCAAUAAUAGGAAGCCAAGCGAGCAAGAGAGAACGAGGUACGGGAUGCCUGCUACGAUGGGCGAAACUAGAGCAAAGGAAGGCUCCAGUACUGCAGAUAAACCCCCACCUUAUCGGCCACCCCCGUUGGUGAAUAAAGGUAGAUGAGCUAGUUGGAGGAAGCCCGAACCAAGGAGGGAAGCAAGUGCGGGCAAUGACCGGAGUCCAAAAAUCAAACCUACUCUCUUUGGUCAUAAUGAUACUCUAGCUACUCAGCAGCUGAGGGAGGAACUAGCUGAGUUGAGAAGGGCGGUGGCUCAAAAUGCUCAACCACGAGCUCGCCCAGUAUUCAGGAUUACUUACCAGAAGCCUUAUCCUGAAUACGUUGACGAGUUGAAUCCAUUCCCUCUCAACUUCAAGAUGCCCGCAUUCCCAAUAUUAACAGGUGAAGAUAGCAGCGUGUCCUCCAGAGACCACAUUUUUAAAUUCUCCAAUCAUUGCGUGGCGUAUGAGGACAACCCAAACUAUAAGUUGAGGUUGUUUGGGAAUUCAUUAGCUGGGUUAGCAUCUCAGUGGUAUUCUCUAUUGCCCCCUAACUUUAUCGCUAACUGGGGGCAAAUGGAGAUGGCCUUCCAUGAACAAUUUUACAGAAUAGAGCCAGAAUUGACUAUCAACGACCUAGUUGAAGUCAAGCAAUACGAUCAUGAAUCUACUGAGGACUUCAUGAUGAGGUUCAGAAGAACAAGGAUGAGAUGCCAAUUCACCGUCAACCAAGCGCAGCUCAUAUCGAUUGCUCAAAGGGCUUUGAAAUUGCCUUUGAGGAAAAGAUUUUAUGAUGCACAGUUUAAUGAGCUGCAAGAGUUGGUGAUUGUUGCCACGAAGUAUGAGAGGCUGUUGCAAGAAGAGCAACAAGUGAAGCACACUUCCAAAGUUCCUCCUUUCUACAAAAAUAAGGCUGCAAUUCAUUGGGUGGAAGUGGGAGAAGCCAGGCCAGAGCAUGAAGAUGGCCGUGAUGAAGAGGAUGUAGAUGUGUGUGCCGCUGAGAUGACCACACCUUUCAAACCAUUGACGGUAAAGGGGCUGGUCCAGCCUGUCAAGGAUCAGAAGGUCGUUAUGAACGAUGGUGGUUUUGUCCCCAUAAAACCACCCAAGUACCAGAGCUAUUCGUUCGAUCUAUCCAAGACACCCGAGAUCUAUGAAGAGCUGGUACGAGCAAGAGUAAUCUUGCCCGACAAUACUAAGAAAAUGCCCAAGCCAGAAGAACUCAGGGGGAAAAAGUAUUGCAAGGUGCACUAUACCUUCAACCAUUCCAUAGUUAAUUGUGUCCAGUUUAGGGACUGGAUACAAGAUCUUAUAGUGAAGGGAAAGUUGUUGCUUGAUCCGCCCCAAGCCAGUAUGAUGGUGGAUACUAACCCUUUCCCUGAGGCUCCUAUCAAUAUGAUCAACCUCAUUUUACAAGAGGCGGGGUCACCAUUUGGUAUUGCAGGGAAAGAGAAGGGCCCAGGUUGUCCCAGCACCUUUGCAUGAAUAAAAUGCCACGAAGGGGAUCAAGGGACCAAGAUCAGGUCCUGAGAUUGGUGUUAGCCAGGGCAGAAGAAGAAAGAGGAUUAAAGGGGGGGCAAAGAAUUGUCCAAAGUCAAUACAAGCAGUACCAAAGAGCAGAGCAGGAAGCAAAUUACAUGUUCAUUCCAAUAAAAGAAGAGUUACAAAUCAUCAUAUUCUAAAAAAUUUACAUCUUCACAUAGGGUGAUUAUUCGGGAAUGAUAUGUUUGCAUAAUGGUAAAUAUCCUACUGGGUUCGGCCAAAACAGUAUGGAUAUUCACAAGUUGAGACCGGGCAUGCUCUAACUCCGAAUUUGACUUCUCCACCCCCUCAAUUUGAUUUUCAAGGGUAUCUAGAAGAGUUGCUUGUUCUGCUUUGAGGGCAACCAAUUGUUCCUCCAGCUCUUGGAUUUUAGAAGUGACAACUCUAACCCUUUCUUUUGUUUGUAAGCUUUCUGCCAUCCUCCGAUCAAUUUGGGCAGAGGUGCUUGAUUCUUUCUCUAUGAAGCAUUUUGCCCGAUUAGCCUGUCUGUCCGCUCUCUGGUAUUGUUCCCUAAGGGCUCUCAAGUUCUCAAAGAAGGAUAGAAAAGAAUCAUGUUGAGACUUUGAUAGCCGACCGGUUUUGAAAGACUCAGUUAUGAUCUUCUCCAAAUCACAAAGAGCCCUAAGGCUGAAUGAAGCGGUGAAGUCCUUCCUUGCCCAUUCCUGAAGGACUCGCUUUUGCUCUGAAGAAAUGGGGGUAGCUGAAGAUUGUCUUAAUGAUUUCAACCGCGUCUCAAGCCGUCCAAGUGCUUCGAACAGUCUGGGCAACUUAGCAGGGCGUGGAGGUGUGAAAGAAGGAGAAUCCUGCACUGCAGCUUCCUCUAAUGAAGGAAUGCCCAUUGAGGGGGCAAUUUCUGCCUGCCCGACCUGCUCAAUACCAGAAGGGGGAAUCGCAGUACCUCCAGAAGAGUGAGGAUGAGAGCGCUUUGAUUUGCGGACCAAAUGGGGGGGAGAAGUUUCUCUUGAAACUUGCUGAAGAAAGCCAAAAGACCAGGUCAAGACAAUUUGAAUAUGGUUUGAGGCAAAAGAAGAUUUGGAGAGAUGAAAUAUACCUGACUCAGCCCUGGGGUUUCACCAGGAAGAGGACUAAUUCUUGGUUGGCGGGAAGGUUCCUCACCACCAGCACCACCAGCAGGAGAAUGAUGAGCUGCACCUGAACCUGUACCAGUGCCCUAGAGGUACCCAGAGAUAGCAGUAAUUGUCAGUAAAUAGAGCCUAAGAGAAAGACUAAUGAGAGAAUACUCCCAUACCUGAGUUUGGUCUUGAGGAGGAGAAGGAGGUUUAUCAACUGUCGGGCAAGCAAAUACCCGCGAGGUUGCUACCUCGGAAGCUACAGGGAUCUCAUGGACUAUGGGUUCAUCAUCUGUAACCACUAUUGAAGGGGGUGGCCCAUAUACUGGAGAAGGCUGUGGAGAACAUAAGUAAAAGUUAGUUGGGAAGCAAUGCGCAGAAGUUCAAUAUGGAAUAUGCGACUCACCAAGUUACUAUCUUCAUCCACGAAGUGCAGCAUAACUCAUGUGGAUGGAUCAAAUUAAGAAGAAGGGGUUGCAUCCAGAGCAGUAGAAGAGGUCAUGGACCUCAGAGGAGGGCCAUGACAAGGCAAGGAAGCGGAUGCUCCAGCCUAACAAUAUUCAGACAUUAGGUUCAGAAGUUAGAAAAUUAUCCAAGAAUCAAAAGAGAAGAAAAAUCACCUCUGCAGGGUCGACCUGAGAAGGAGGUAGGCUUGUCUCUCGGGCAAAUGGUGGAGAGGCUUCGGGCGAAGAAAGCUUUUCCUUUCUUGCGGCCUAAGUCAAAUAAUCAGAUUUAGAGUUAUAUGAGAGCAAGAAGAGGCCUAAAGAGAAAUAUAUAAAUCAUACCUCAAGUUCUCUGAGGGCAGUAUUUCGCAGAUCUUCGGCCUUUUUGAGUAUUGCAGCUCUUAGUGGUUCCUCCUUAGAAGCAAGGAUUGGUCUUUUAGAUGCUUGGGGUCCUGUUCACCGAUGAAGGAGACAAUCAGAUAAGUGUGAAAGGUAACAGUUUGAAAAAAAACAGAAACUCACUUGAGGAUUGUUGCUUCUUUCUGCCGGCCUCAAGAACUGAUGGAGCUGAUAACUUAGGAGGAGCGGUAGUUCUUGCUCUCUUACUUUUUCUAGUAAGAAUUGGUCGGGUGGUUUUGGGUAGAGGUACUGGAUCAGGAUCUGAAGUCUUAGUCACCGCCGCUUUCUUUCUCUUAGUUGCUUUGAUAAGAGCUUCAGGUGUUUCUUCAGCUCCUGAAUCCCCAAAGGAUUCUGAGACAUCUGCACCCUCCCCAGCUUCUCGUCUCCCAGCUUCUGCGGCAGCUCCAUGAAGAAUUGCAGCAUCAGCAGAGUCAUCUUCGGAUUCAAUGACUUCCGAUUCAACAUCCACUGGAGCUGCAAAAUUCAGCAAAAGUAAGGAUAGAAGGACUUCAGAAGGGAAGCCAAAUCGAGUUGAAAGAGAAGUACCUAUCAGAAGUGACCGAUUCUCCUCUUGAAUCAUUUCCUUCCAAUUUUCAAGUUCGCCCGAGCUAGGGUAUGACUUAAGAGAAAGUUGGUUGAAAAGGCGAUCGUGAGUCUCUUUCAAAUCUCCUCCAUACUUCUUAGUCCAUUUGUCUUCCCACCAAGAAGAGAAAAGCAAGGUGCACUCAAAAUUGAGGAUAAUGGACUUUCGGGCUGCUUGACUCAUUACGUCAAGACUUCGUCGGGCAGCUCGGAAUGUCACUUCAGAUGGAGUUGGUAACCGGAAGUGUUGGAAAUGUGCCCUAAAGCCAAUCAUAUGAUGAUACUUUACGGACAUUUCACAUGUUAAACUAAUCUAGUUUAAUAUAAAGGGCAAAGAUUAUUGUUUGAGCCGUCUCAUAUAAAUGUUAUAUGCUUAAACGAUAAAGUCCAAGGAAUAUGUGAUUGGGAGAAUGCAAUCUAAUGAAGUUAGAUUCAUGAGACCAUUCUUUCGUAGACACAUCCUAAAUGUUCCUGAUCAUAGGAUUGUCAAUUAGGCAUUGACAGUCCGUUAAGAUCGGUAUGUACUGUGUCUUCUCUCAGGGAGAGUGACUAGUCUCGAGUCAUUGGUGUGUGUGACAUCAAGUCAAGUACGUAAGUGCUCAAUAGAGAAUGAGUUCGCUGAACACGAUCAACGAAGAGUUCUCAUAUUCAUGUCACAUGAGAACUCAUGGUUGGGAUAAUGCAAAGUAGUCCUUUGACCUGAGGCAUCAUCGUUGUCUUGUGGUUAAGUCCUUGAUCUUUGAUUAUGUCAAACGUCAUUCCAUUGGAGUGUCCACGGCAUCGUUGGGGUUAAGCCACUUAGCCAUGGAGGCAAGUGAAUGCGCAACAAGGGAUCUCUAACCUUCAAACCGUUUGAGGGAGAAUACUCUAUGAUAUGAUUAGAAUAUCUGGCCAGAGUAUGAAUGAGAUUUAGGAAUGCGUUCCAAAUCACAUUCAAGGUAAUCAUAUAAGCACACGAAUCACAUUGGAUAGUAGACAUGAAUAAAUAAACUAUCAAACCAAACAAUGUGGUCAAGAGUAUUGUAUUAGAGAAAGAAGACCGUAUUGCAUUUGUAAUCCUAAACUGAAUAGGUUCUCCACCUCUUCUGAUUAG